This 104326-nucleotide long non-coding RNA is filed under the name Brassica napus (rape). Its description in RNAcentral is "long non-coding RNA (BNAP_LNC002422)". Lineage: Eukaryota; Viridiplantae; Streptophyta; Magnoliopsida; Brassicales; Brassicaceae. The record is from RNAcentral.
AAUAUGAUCAGGUUCUUGGUGGAUAGCUACAACAAGCCAGUUCCUGCAAUCCUGGAGAUCCCUUCCAAGGACCAUCCCUAUGAUCCUGCUCAUGACUCUGUUCUCUCCCGUGUCAAGUACCUCUUCUCUGCGGAAUCUGUGUCACAGCGUUAAACAUAUACACAUUCUGCAAGCUCGCCUGAGCUUUUAUAUCAUUUCUUUGUUUUUGACAUUCUUGUGUUCCUCAGUUUUCAAUAAUGUGUAUCUCUUGAUUUUUGUUUGGAAAUGGAUGUUAUAUCAGUAAGAAGCAAUGAUAACACCAUCUAGUUCUUUUUGCAUUGAAUAAAGAGAGUGAGUCAUUGUGUAUUCAAGAGUCAAGAGCAGACUUUAAAGGUUUAAGUGAAGACUCCAUCUAUUCAAUGUGAAGCAUUUUGAGUCAGAGAAGCAACCAAAAGGAAGUUCAAAUCAGGUCCACCUGGAUUUAAGAAGAAGAAUAUAAGUACAAGGUGGACUUGGGUUCGCUAGCCAAAACACAUGUUAGUCGGAUAGAAUCAAAAAUUGUCCGAAUGUUUUAUUUAUCAAAUAUCCAGGCCUAUUUGUUCUUGGCAACCACAAAGUUCCAGCCCAUUUACUGUUAUUUAUUGUUUCUGGAAGAUAAAGAAGAAAUGGCAAAAGUGAAAUAAUCAGAAAAAGCAAGGGCCCUUUCACAAAAAAAGAUAAAUUUUAUAAAAACCAGAGCAUAAAGUUUCACACUUUUGUUCUGCUCCUUUCUCGUCUCUGUCUUCUUCGUCCUCGUUCAUCCUAACUCACCAAACAGCUUUAGAUUUUCUCUUUCAAAUUUCGAACUCGCUACUCAUUAAAAAAAAAGUCCAUUCUUUUUAAAAAUUCGAAACCAAAUGGCUAGUAACAACAACCCGCAUGAGAACCUUUCAGACCAAACACCUUCUGAUGACUUCUUCGACCAAAUCCUCGGUCUUCCCAACUUCUCUGCUUCUUCAUCCGACGGUGGGUUAAGCGGAGGAGGAGCACCGCCGAUGAUGCUGCAGCUGGGCUCCGGCGAGGAAGGAAGUCACAUGGCUGGGCUAGGAGGAAGCGGACCAAGUGUGUUUCACAACCAGAUGUUUCCUCUAGGGUUGAGUCUUAACCAAGGGAAAGGACCUGUCUUUCUUAGACCUGAAGGUGGUGGUGUUCAUGCAAGUGUGAAUCGAUCUUCUUCUUCUUCUUCUAUGAAAGGACCUGUAAGGAAUCAAUUUUUUUGUUAUGCUUUUUCUAUGUGUUCUUACAUCUUUUGUCUUGUUGUUGUAAGGUUUUUCAUGGGCAGCCGAUGCAACAGCCAGCUCCAGCAGCGCCACAUCAGCCUACAUCAAUCCGUCCUAGAGUUCGAGCUAGGCGUGGUCAGGCUACUGAUCCUCACAGUAUCGCUGAAAGGGUAAAACUUUUACUUCAGAUUCUCUUUUUGUGUGUUUUGUGGAAGGGGGUAAAGCUGAAAGAUUUGAACUUUGUUACAGCUACGUAGGGAAACACUGUUAUAUUUACAAAACAUUAACGGCUGUGCCUGUGUGGUGUUAUUUGUGUCGUUAUCAGUGAGGUCAUGGCUUGCUUCACCUUUUAAAUAAUGGAUCAAAGUUACUGUUAUUGUAGGGUAGUUUUUGUUAUCUUGUUCCCAUUAGCUGUGUGACUGAACAUAUGAUGAGGCCACUUUGCAUCAGCCUUUUAAGACAUACUAUUCACGAGUUUGAAAUUGAUUGAGCUCAUAACUUAUUCAAAGUCUGUUUCUUUCUUUAGUGUCAAAAAAAACAUGAUGAGAAAAUAUGGCAUAUGCGUGUAGGUUGCCAAUAUGAUCAGGUUCUUGGUGGAUAGCUACAACAAGCCAGUUCCUGCAAUCCUGGAGAUCCCUUCCAAGGACCAUCCCUAUGAUCCUGCUCAUGACUCUGUUCUCUCCCGUGUCAAGUACCUCUUCUCUGCUGAAUCUGUGUCACAGCGUUAAAACAUUUACACAUUCUGCAAAGCUCGCCUGAGCUUUUAUAUCAUUUGACAUUCUUGUAUUUCUCAGUUUUCAAUAAUGUCUAUCUCUUGGUUUUUGUUUGGAAAUGGAUGUUAUAUCAGUAAGAAGCAAUGAUAACACCAUCUGGUUCUUUUUGCAUUGAAUAAAGAGAGUGAGUCAUUGUGUAUUCAAGAGACUUUAAAGAUUUAAGUGAAGACUCCAUCUAUGUGAAGCAUUUUGAGUCAGAUAAGCAGAAGCAACCAAAAGGAAGUUCAGAUCAGGUCCACCUGGAUUUAAGAAGAAGAAUAUAAGUACUUGGGUUCGCUAUGACUAUUACCAAAACACAUGUUAGUCAGAUAGAAUCAAAAAUUGUCCUAAUGUUUUAUUUAUCAAACAUCCAGGCCUAUUUGUUCUUGGCAACCACAAAGUUCCAGCCCAUUUACUGUUAUUUAUUGUUUCUGGAAGAAAAAGAAGAAAUGGCAAAAGUGAAAUAAUCAGAAAAAGCAAGGGCCCUUUCACAAAAAUAAAAAGAUGAAUUUUAGAAAAACAGAGCAUAAAGUUUGACACUUUUGUUCUGCUCCUUUCUCGUCUCUGUCUUCUUCGUCCUCAUUCAUCUUAAAGGCAUCACUCACCAAACAGCUUUAGAAUUUUCUCUUUCAAAACUCAAACUCGCUACUCAUUAAAAAAAAUCCAUUUUUAAAAAAAAACUCAAAACCAAAUGGCUAGUAACAACAACCCGCAUGAGAACCUUUCAGACCAAACACCUUCUGAUGACUUCUUCGACCAAAUCCUCGGUCUUCCCAACUUCUCCGCUUCUUCCUCCGACGGUGGGUUAGGCGGAGGAGGAGGAGGAGGAGCACCGCCGAUGAUGCUACAGCUGGGCUCCGGAGAGGAAGGAAGUCACAUGGCUGGGUUAGUAGGAGGAAGUGGACCAAGUGUGUUUCACAACCAGAUGUUUCCUCUAGGGUUGAGUCUUGACCAAGGGAAAGGACCUGUCUUUCUUAGACCUGAAGGUGGUGGUGUUCAUGCAACUGUGAAUCGAUCUUCUUCUUCUUCUUCUUCUUCUAUGAAAGGACCUGUAAGGAAUCAUUUUUUUAGUGUAAAAAGGUUAUGCUUUUUCUUAUGUGUUCUUACAUCUUUUGUCUUGUUGAAAAGGUGUUCCAUGGGCAGCCGAUGCAACAGCCAGCUCCAGCAGCGCCACAUCAGCCUACAUCAAUCCGUCCUAGAGUUCGAGCCAGGCGUGGUCAGGCUACUGAUCCUCACAGCAUCGCUGAAAGGGUAAAACUUUUACUUCAGAUUCUCUUUGUGGAAGGGGUAAAGCUGAAAGAUUUGAACUUUGUUACAGCUACGUAGGGUAUAAUUUUUUUAAAUAAAUAUUUUGAAAAUAUUAUAGCAUUAUCUUAAUUUUCAAAAAAUUUAUGUAAAUAUUUCAACUAAUUUUGUAAUUAGCAAUGAACUAUAAUUAUGCAUUAUAUAUAUAUAUAGUAAUCAUUUAUAAAAUAAAAAAAAUACAUUUUUAUCAUUUUAUAAUAAUAAUAGUUCAUAUUAAAUGAUUUUAUUAUAUUGAACUAAAUAUGAUAUAACCCAGCCAGUUCUUAUUCUUUCCUGUCUGUUCAUAGGAUUAGAGAUAUAAAAAUCAUGUCUUUGAAAUAACUUAGUUAUGUUAAAUUCUCCAUAUUGAUUUUUUUGGUCUUAGUUAUGGUCCCACCAUCACCUACCCUUCAACCCAAAUUUCAAUCUUGUUUUUUUUAAUGUGGUAAAGAAUAAUAUAGAAGUCCAAAAUGCUUUUGUUUCUUUUUUCUUUGGCACUUAGUCUAUCUUGUAAACACUUUUUGUUUUGUCAUAUAGAGAAGGCUAAUCAUGGUUUAGGAUUAAAAUAUCUGUAUAAUCAUCAUGCUCAGAUUAUAAUAUAAUCUCUUAGAUCAAACGCUUCUUAAUAUCAAAAUGCAGUCGGUUGCUUAAAGAUAAUGGAGACACUUUAGUAUGCAAUGAUGGAUUUCUGAAAAGAUGUUGACAAAAAAAGGAUUUCUGAAAAGAUAAUACAUUUUUUAUUUAUUUUGUGUGUUUCUUAUGAAAACCUUCCAUGCUCAUCUGAUAGUGGAGAAUGCAAUGAUGUAUUUCUGAUAAGAAUAAUAAAUGUUAUUUUUAUUUUAUUUUGUGUGAAAUCUUACAUGCUCAUCUGAAAAAAAAAGUAAAAAGUUUAUUUUCAUGGGAUAAAGCUUAUCUUUGGUCAACUUUUGGUAGGUUUUGAGCAUGAGUCGUCUUGGUGGAGCCGGUGCGGUUGCUCCACUUGUUACUGAUAUGCCUUUGUCAUCAUCAGUUGAGGUAAAUAAAAGAAAACAUCAAAACUUUUUAGCAAAGUGGGUUUCGACUCAAAACUGAUUAUUGUAAUCUCUCUCACUAGGAUGAAACUAGUGACGGUGGAAGGACACCACAGCCUGCGUGGGAGAAAUGGUCAAACGAUGGGACUGAACGUCAAGUGGCUAAGUUGAUGGAAGAAAACGUUGGAGCUGCUAUGCAGCUUCUUCAAUCUAAAGCUCUUUGUAUGAUGCCAAUCUCAUUGGCCAUGGCUAUUUACCAUUCUCAGCCUCCAGAUACGUCAUCUGUGGUUAAACCAGAGACUAAUCCUCCUCCACAGUAGGAUUUUUCGUGCAAGCAAGGGUUUGUACAGCAACUCAACGGGGUCUAAUAUGGCUUUAGUUUCUACUACUACAUCUCAUGACUGCUGGUUUCUUGCUGUUUCGUCUCCCUCCCACACCCACUUGUAUGGUAUGAUUGAAAGGUAAAACAAAAGGCGUUGGAGAUGGAAUCAAUGUAGGAUUUGCAAGGGAGAGUUUGUCAAAAAGCUCACUUGAUUAAAUAUGAUAUGUUAUCAUUUUAGGUGGACUUUGAUGAAAGCACCUUUUUGUUUUCAUGACUUUAGUGGGAGGUUGAGGAAGGAGCUUUAAGGGGUGUUUUAGUUGUAGUGGUGGUGGGAAGUGUGUGGGACCUGGUUGAGUUUAUGUACAAAUUAGAUGAAUAAUAAAAUAUUUGAAUUUGUUAACCGUUGUAUCUUAUAUAUUAAAAGAGAAGUCACAACCUUGAUUCAUGUGUGAUUUUUUUAAAAUUGGACCUAAUGGACCUAUUACUAGAAAAUCAUGUUACAUUUAAUUCUAAUAUUAUCAUUAUUAUAGAUCUAAAUAACUCAGUUUCUAUAUUAUAGGAACUAAAUAAUAUGUCUACUACAUUAUAGGAACUAAAUAACUAUCAAUCUUUAAAAAAAAAAUGAUCUGGAAACAACCAAUUCAAUACAAAAAAUAUACGAUAAAAUUAUUAUGUUUUAGAAAAUGAUAGACACUCAUAUAUAUUAAUAUAUACUAAUGUAGAAAUGAAAAGCAAUCAAUUUUACCGUGAUCUCGACCAUUUGAACAUAGCUAGAUCUCACAGGUAGAAAUAUUAACCCGUUGAAGAUUAACAUAGGAUAUAAUUCGUUGAAGAUUAACAAAGCUAGAAAUAUUUAAAAAGAUUCUAUGAAGAUUUUAACAAGAUUUUGUUAGAACAUUUUAAAUAUAUUCAUUUGUAUUUCAAAUGAAAAGAUAAAGAUAUUAAAAGAUAUAAUAAUGAACUUACGUAAAAUAUGAUAUUUUUUAGAAAUGGUCCAAACUAAAAAAAACACACAUGAAAAGAAGUCAUGGCUUCUGUUUUAAUAUAUUAGAUAUAAAUAAAUAUAUACACAUAUAUAUAUAUAUGUAUAAUUUUUUAAAUAUAUAUUUUGAAAAUAUUAUAGCAUUAUCUUAAUUUUCAAAAAAUUUAUGUAAAUAUUUCAACUAAUUUCGUAAUUAGCAAUGAACUAUUAUUAUGCAUUAUAUAUAUAUAUAGUAAUCAUUUAUAAAAUAAAAAAAAUACAUUUUUAUCAUUUUAUAAUAAUAAUAGUUCAUAUUAAAUGAUUUUAUUAUAUUGAACUAAAUAUGAUAACAUUAUAUUAAAUUAAUAAAAUUAUAAAAACAGUUUUUAUAAAUAUAAAAUAUUUAUGCUAAAAAUAUAAUACGAUGAUAUAACGACUUAACAUUCAAAACUAUAUAAUACAUAUAUAAAAUCGACAUAUCUUAGACUUUUGUAUAUAAUAAUAUAUUAUCUGAAAUAAAUAAAUGUAAAAAUAUUGCUAAUAGAAAACUUAGUUUUCAAGGUCUGUGGAUCAAAACUGAAUAUAAUUUUAAUAAAAAAAUAAUAUUUAAUAUGUUUUUAAUGCAUAUAUUAAUUUGUUAAAAAAUAUAUAUAUACCAUAAAUGAUGUAAAAAAAUAUUUAAAAUGAAAAUAAACACCCGCACGGUUGUGCGGGUCGAGAUCUAGUUAUUAUUUUAUUUGUGUGAAUUGGAGUGUAAUAGAUGAUCAAAUAAUAUCACUAGUUCCCUUUACUAAAACAGUAUUUUUGUUGAUGAAUUUGUCAAAUUUAUUGCUAUAGAAUUAUCCUGUUAUAAAAUCAUAGAUAUAAAAAAAUUCACAAUCUGCAACAGAGUGAUAAAUCAAGAAAAUAGAUAAUCAAAUAAUAUCACUAGUUCCCUUUACUAAAACAGUAUUUUUGUUGAUGAAUUUGUCAAAUUUAUUGCUAUAGAAUUAGUCCUGUUAUAAAAUCAUAGAUAUAAAAAAAUUUCACAAUUUGCAACACAGUGUGAUAAAUCAAGAAAAUAGAAACACUUACAAGUCUUUAUUACAACAAUUUUAAUUUCACCACAAACCUUGGAAUCUUGGAAGUGAGAUGAUAACAAAAGAGAACUCCUUUUGGUCAUUUGUUUUAAAAUGGGGUUUAACCUCCAAAACCAAGAAGACAGACUACAAAGAGUAAGCAAACUCAGUUUGAUGCUAUAGGCUUCAAACAUUCAUUAUGGCCUUUAGCGUUGUUAUUGAACCACAUAAAAAUUGUCGGCUUAAAAGAACUUAAGCUUAGCAAGCGUCAAGAUCACGGAAUUGUGGUGGCUUUGGCUCCCCAAGCAAUGUCUUGUUUCCCCCUUCAGGUCCGCACUUGAUCCUCUUUGGGUUUUGAGUUCCAUGCUGAAACAAAAGUUACAUAAUUAGAAUUUAGAUUUGGGUUUUGUGUUAAACAAAGAUUAAAGUAUACAAAUGCAAUGGGUUACUUCAAUGUCUUACCGGUGGCUUCUCUCCCUUUCUCAGCUUCUCAACAAUCUCUACAACUUUCUCAGGUGUAACAUCUUCCUGUUUAUUGUAGCAAUAAGACACAUGUGAAUACCAUUUUAACUCUUUGUCGUCUUACACAGUAUAAACGAAGGAAAAUAAUGCGGGAUGAAAGAGAAGUUAUUGGACAUACGAAAUAGUUAUAUGUAUAUCCUUCUGAUCCAUUGGAGUAAUCUGCCACAGUGAUCAUGGGCGCAUUGACACAGCAUCCCUGUCAAUAAAACCAAUUGUACAUGAGAUCAAGAAGUAUUAAUCUCGGCUAUGGUUAUGAAUUUACGGUUUCAGGAAAGUAAAGAGGUGAUAAGUAAUCCUUACCAUGCAUUCCAUCUCUCCAACAGAGAACAAACCAUCCUUUGUGACUUCUGCAACAUACAUGAUAAAAGCCAUAGAUCGUUAUGACUCAGGAACCAUAUGAUUUUGUUCAUGAAAGGUUGGUUAUUAGAGCUUUACCACCGCGCUUCACUCCCAAAUGGUCUAGCAAAGCUGAUUCGAUAUCUCGUGAACCACGGAUCAUGCAAGGUGUUGUGCCACAAACUAGGAGGUGGUACUUUCCGACCUGUAGGAGCACAAUUAAAGUGAAAAAAUGAGGGUGAGGGUGUUUGAGGAUUAAAGUAGAGACUUUACCAGAUGGGUAGUAAGUACUUCUUACCUUUGCCCUGUUGAACAUGGAAUAAAAUGUUGCAACCUCAUAAACACGAAUAGGAGCCACUUCUAUAACUUUAGCAACCUGCAAAAUUUUAUUGUGUUGUCAUUCAUGAUGGUAAAAUCAUAUCAACAGAUAUUGUAUUCCCAAAAAAAAAAAGAACUACAGAAAAUAAAGCUAACAGCUACAAUCAAACAAAAACGGAAAAUGGAAAAGAGAAAGAUAAUUAUAGAUGGUAAGAGUAUAGCUGAAAAAAAUAAUAACAAGAACGUACGGCAUUCAUAGCUGAAACAGGGAGCCAGCCUCCAUGCUGUUGUUGGGCGAGAUCCAGAAGGGGAAUCACAGCAGACUGCUUGUAGUUUGAUGGAUAGUAAGAGAGUAUCUCCUUAACCUAGAGAGUUUGAACAAAAUAAAAGAACUUUAGUAAAUCAUGUGGAAACAAAUUUCACUUGCUAUGCAAGAUUAGUGCAGCCAGACACGAAAGAAGAGUAAACGGGAACUAAAUGCAGAUGAAUAGAUUAGUAUUUUUUUUAUACUCUCCCAACAGUAUUUCCCCUACUUAUGUAAGUAGUUCCUUCCAAAACAGCCAAUUAAAAGCAAGUCAGUUAUUUCUAUCAUUUCUAGGGAACGCUAACUCACGGGAUCGUGAUGCCUGAUCAGAAGCCAGGGACUAUGUAUAAGAAGGGUACUGAAAAGCAUGUUAAACAUAUUCAGAGCUGCAUCUGGUCUGAGAUAACUAUUAGUAUUUUACUCUCCACAAAACCAGUUUACUAAUAAUCCCACUGACAGUCUUUCUUCUUUAUAUAUCAGUUCCUAAUUGUCAGAAACUCCCAUUACUAUUUUAUGAUUUAUGUAAGAGGGAACUGAAAGCAGGUUAAACAUAUUCAGAGCUGCCUCUGGUCUGAGCUAUGAGCUAUCUAAUCAGUAGGGAAUGAGAGAGCUCAUAGCUCAGACCAGAGGCAGCUCUGAAUAUCUAUCUAAUCAGAGCUACAUUUAUCCUAUAAAGAGUAAAAACAUUAUUUCCCCAUCUAUACUUUUUUUUCUUCUUAAAACACGAAUUUGGAUAAAAUUGCAAUUAGUUCAACAACGCAAAGUAACCUUAGAUUUGUUAGCGUCAGAGAACUCCCAUGGAAGAUCCGGUUUGUUGUCAGGAGAAUCCAGGUGCUAUAAUCAACAAAAAUAAUCAGAUUACUUAAUUAAUUAAUUAAAAAAAAGGAUAGAGAGAGAGAUCAAUCAAAAUAUCACCAAGACUCACGUAGUUCAAGGCUGUCGAGAAGCUUCGAGACGCCUAUGCAGAUAUAAAACACGAAACCUGAGGAUGAGAUCGGGAAAACGACGGAGAAAAAAUCUAAGGAAAUUUUUAAGAAAACCUGAGUGGGAGGUUGGCGGAUCUCGAGAAGACGCUUCGCAGCGAGCCUAGCCAGCAUUUUCGACGACUUUGACAAAACGAGAGACGAACGAACGCCUGGAUUUGAUUUGAUUGAAGAAUAAGAAGAGCCAAAGAGGGACACACGAGGGAGCUAGCUCACUAUCAUCACCUGCCUCAGGAGGAUUGACCACAUAAAUUUGGGCCUAAGCCCAUUUCUAGUUUCACUGUCAAACCUACUACUAUUGGAUUAUUAUUUCUUGGGUAUUCUAUUCAUUAUAGCCUUGUACGCCCAUUUGUAUUUAAAGAUUAGUUUAUUGAUUUUUUAUAAUUCUAGCACCUCCUUGUGAGCUUAAGAAACACUUUUGCGUCAAUGAACGUGUUCCUACCUUUGUUCAGUUAUGUCUAGAUAGGUUAAGCAUAUGAUGAGGAGGAUAUUUGGACCAAAGUUCAACUUAUCCCCAAAAGAGCAGCCAAUACCGAUUACUCUCUGUUCCUGAGUUUUCUAAUGAAGCUUAAGGGCAUAAUUUCAUCUUCCUCUUCUGUGGAGUUGGUAACGACUAACGAGGCGCCACUGGCUUCUGAAAUUUCUGCUAUCGCUUGUAUUUCACUUAGUUACGCAAAGUGCAAUAAACUCCAAACAACAUUUAUCAAAAAGGGAUAUGAACGUAGCUAAAAGCAGAUAUUAUCAAAUUCAUUAAGCCAUCUCCAAAUUCAUAUCCAAGAAACCAAAACCCCCCACAAGGUAGUUUGCAUCCCAAGAAAAAAAAAAAAGCACAAGACCGAAUGUCAAGGAAAUAACCAAAAAAAAAAAUUAAAAACAAAGUUUUUACUUAGGGUGGAAGUAUCCAAAUGAGAUUCUCAUAUACAAGCAGGAGAGCAGCUGAGAUGCUUCGAUUCAUUACCCCUUUCUUUCAUGAGUCAAACCACCUCCAUAGUUGUUUCUUUCCUUCUAAGCCAAGUACCUAAACAUGUUAGCGUUCUCCUUGUCCCUCUCCAAAUAAUCCCUCGUUAUCAAAUCCUCCAUACGCUUCUUGAUGGCUUUGAUAUCAGGCUGCAAAACACACAUAUCCAAUCAAGUUCCACGAAAACAUCAUCACUUAACUAUCUCCACAUGUUUCCUUAUAUAUAUAUAGAACAUACGUACCUUGAACAUUCGGCUAAGCUGCUCAACGCACUCGGAUACAAGCUGUUGAUGUCCCAACACUUUCCUGCUCUUCAUGAUCCUCACGAUCGCAGCAUCAAUCGCAUAGCGUCUGUCUUUGUCCACGUCUUCCACUACUUUCUUCCUUUCAUCGACAGGUGGGAGAGGGAUCUGUGAUGCAAAACCACAUAAAAGUUUAUAAUCUAAGAUAAUAACCAGUAGUAGUAACACAUGAAGUUUUGUGUGUUAAUGUUUUACAGACCUUUAUUCUGCGCAUUCUGUCGGUGAAUUUGGCAUUGAAUUCAAAUGAAUCAGUCUGGGAAACAAUCUUUGUGCUUGGCUCCUUGACAAGGAUCUUGUAUCUAGCACAUGACAAGGAAUGAAGCAACCUCACUAGAUCUUCAUGGCUUAGGUUCAGUUGAGUCAAGAUGUCGUUGUAGCUCAAUUUGUCUGUUGUGUUAAAGAGUAGAAGCACAGCAGCCUGAAAGCAAGUAACAAUUUGAAAAUUAGUAUCAGAAUUCAGAGGCCGUUUAAAGGAUCCAAUAUACCAACAGUUUCUGAGAAUACAAAUGAUACCUGGUAAGUCGACACAACUAACUCAAUGGGCUUGUGAUCAAACUUGCCGUUGAGGUGACAGGUUCCUAGUGAAUAGAUCCAUGUAAGUUUCCUGUGUUUCGUUUUAGUUUCAUAAAACCCUUUGAAAACUUCAACACACUUGACCUGAAACAAAGAAAUCGAUGGGAUUAGCUUCGCCUGGAGCAAACGUUUUUCCUUUUAGACAUACACUCAACAGAUACUUACCAUUUCACUGGGAAGAUUUAUGUCGAAUGAUUUGUAGCUUGGCCAGAAACCAGUUGUAAGAACAGUAACGGUCAAAUCAAUCCCUGGGUUUGCAGCGGGGUUAUUGCCUAGAUAUUCCUCGAAACUGGUUUGGUUUUCUCUGGCCAGUGUAAGAUCUGUCACCUGUAACCAAACAAAUCAAAUUUAUAGAAAGCAUAAAUCAUCAGAAAAAUCACCGUUCUGAGACAAUAAACAUAGGGACACGCAAACUAACCAUGCCCUCCAUCUUAGAAGUAAACUGCCCACCACAUUGCUGCUUGAGCUUUGUAAGAAUACUUCUCUCAUGAUCAUCAUUAGCACUGCGAUCAAAUAACAGCCUGCGUGCCAGCUUCUUCCUGAAAAACAGCCAAAAACAAAACCGCAUACAAUUUAUCCCAAUUUUGGUAAUUCCAUACUAUAUUAUUGGAAGGGACCUUAACAAAGAGCUAGAAUCAACAAACCAUAUAAGCAAAAAAAAUAUUAGAAUCCAAGGUAUAUAAAGAAAUAUAAGAAUGAGAGAUGAACCUGUAGAACUCGGCAAAAAGAUCCUUGUCGCUUAUAUAGGCAAGCAAUUUGACCACCUGUAACAACAUAAUAAGAUUAAACACCGGUUUAAGGAGAAACUGAAAAUGAAUAUAGCAAGCAACUUGACAAAAUACAAACCUUCUCAAGCGUGUCUUCAAUAGCUUCAUCACUCAGCUUCUCACUACCCCCCUUCUUGAGGAUGUUGUCGCAGAAUGUUGCAAGCAAUUCUGCACUUGAACUUCCAGCGACUGUUUUGUUACAGAAUAUCUCAAAUGCCUCUUUCAGAGCCUACAAUAGAAGAAACUUAAGUUAAUACAAACAAAUACACGCAUGCAAGAAGAUAUAUGCAUGACUAGUAUGCAGGAAGCACAUUAAACCUUGUGGAAGAGGGUGUGGUUCUGGAAGCACUCAACGACAUAGACCAUGUAUUUAUCAUGUAGCUCAAUCACUUUUCUGAUGAGAACCUGAAAGCAUAGAAAGAAAACGUGAAUUACUAAGUUCGAGAACAUCUUCACUAGUAGAAACAGUUGACACUGUUUUUACCUGUUCCUGCACGCUAGCAGUAUUUGCAGCCUGUGGAGUAAAAACAAAUCUUAGCGAUCACAGGCAAAGCGCGGAAAAGAUUUCAGAGUAAAAAACAAAAAAAUAUGAACCUGAUUAGUGGCCGUGUCUUCCGCCUGUUGGACGAGUGCGUUACCCUCGGCUGUGACAUGCUAUAUACAAAUUACACGAUGGAGUUAAUGCAGAACAGUAUUUAACAGAGUAAAAGUACACAAGGAAGAAAUGACUUCGCCAAUCUAAACCAUAAUAAUAAAGAUAGGUAAGCAACCUGCUUGAAUAUGUUUGCAACAGGUUCUAAACCUUUAGCAAUUUUAUGAUAAAGCCUGUACAUCCGGGAGAGAUCAUCAACCUGAAAGCACACAGAUACUCCAUCAAAGACAGAAAUAGAAAGACAAAAUAAUUAACAAUGAAACAAAGAGUAAGUUGCUCCACCUUGUCAUCUCUCAGCAAUGCACGGCACCCUGAGUGCUCUUUUUCUAGAAGCUGAUUUGCAUACACAACCAACAGCUCAUGUUGUACUUUCUGCAUCCAACAGAUUAAUAUAGAAGUCAAAUAGAUAUCAAUCAAAAUUAAUAUAUACUUUUCUGCAGAAGCAGGGUCUAAAAAGCAUGUCUCUAUGAAUAAAAAUGCAAAAUCAUGGCUUCUGUAAGUACACGCAUAAUGAAUGCUAUGCAUAAAGUCAAAGUGUCGUGCAUGAGGUAUCAUCAUAACUAACCUCAACCAGCUUUGGCUCGCUGCUUGAAUGAAGGUAGUGAGCCACUCUCUCCCUCUCCUUCUUCAGACAUUCUUCAGACUGCAACAUGAGAUUUAACAAGGAUACAUCAGACUAGUUAACAUAUGCAUUUUACUAAUUUGGAAUGACAACGCAAUCUAGAAAAUAAUAUAAGUAUUCAUACCUUCAGCAUGUAAUCAGGGCAAGAAUCUUCCUGGAUCCAGCUUGAUGCUUUGCGAGAAUAGUAAGAAGCUGAAUCCAAAAGCAUGAAGCUUUCAAAAUCCACUUCGUAUCUUUCCAUCUGUCCCAUUCCAAUCUCUACAUAGAUGUCCAAUACGUUUUUCAGAAGAGCCCUGUCAAUCUGCUCGCCCUCCCGUUCUUUAUCAACCUGACAUAGAAACAGCUCAUGUUAGACCUUGAAUAAGGUAAAAGCAAGAGUUGGAACUAAAUGUACAUUAUACACGCCACACUUACAAGUGCUAUUACAGCAUCUUUGACCUUGGAAUGCAACUCGUUAUAAACCUGAAAUAACAAAAUCAAUCAAGAGUUAAAAUAUCAUUGACGCCAUGUAAAGCCAUACAUAACAAGAACGAGCGCCAAACCCGGUCACGGAAGCAAGUCAGGCCAACUUCAUUCAGCGGUGGAAGUGAUCUCCGAGCAAUGAAGUAACGGUCAAGAUAGUAGAAGAAUCGGGAUAGCCAUCGAACCAUGACUUUAUGGUUAGACCAUCUCUUGACCAGCUCCCGCAGCAUGUACUCAUCAUGCUUCUCCUUCAAAGCAGGCAAAACCUAAUCACAAUAAAAAAAGAAAGAACGGUUUGAUCAACUUAUUGGCAUAUGAAACCAAGCACAAACCUCAAAAACUACAAAAUUGAUGAAUCAGACUCACCGUUGAGUUAAUAUACUCCUCAAACGCUUCACGAUACUUGUCAUAAAGCUGCUGCGAGUAAUCAUGAGGAGGCUUCUGGGUGCACAUGUUGUAGAUAGUCCUGAGAACCACACAAAACCCUCAACUUUCAUCACCAGUUACAAACAAAGCAAACACCUCUAAGACAACUCAAAAGACUAUAACAGAACGUACGUAUAGAGCAUCAUGUACUGCUCAGAGUCGAAUUGCGGCUCAGGCAAUCCCUCAAGAAUCCGUUUCAGUUUAGUGAUACCAGUCUGCAUAUAGUCCCAUCCUUGCUCCAAAUCAAUCGUCUUCCGCUCCAUUCUGAAAGAUUGAUUCCCAAAGCGCUCCUGGACCUAAGAACACGGAACAAAAUCGAAACUUUAGGGCAACAGUUUCCACAUUAUAGAAUCCCAAUCAAACUAUCGGAUGAUGAUAAAACGAACAAUCGAGAACGCUACACAAAAGCAAUCGACGUAACCCUAACAAUCAGAUCCCUAAAAAACUCGAAAACUAGGGAGCUAGACGAGAUCUUAGACCCUAAUUAGAGAAAGACGUUUCGCUUAACCUUGAGGAUUCCCGAUUCGAAAGGAUCGGGAGAGGUUUUGCGAUCGAGAGAGAAAGAUCAAAACCCUGAGAGAGUACGAUAAGAGAGAGGAAGAGGUGGAGACCUUUGAGCAGGACGGUGAACGAGGAAAGGAAAGGAUAUUUAUAACCCCCUCUCUUUUUUAAUCGCCUAUAACUCCUCCUCUAUUAUUCAGGCCGUAGAUUUUUAUCAUUUAUUUAUAAUCUUCGUUUAAUAUCUAUAAAUGUUUAUUUUCUAUUUAACCUUUUCUAAUUUAUUAGCCUGUUCAUUUUCCUAGUUACGGAUCUAUAAUCCUGUUUUAAAAAUCGGCUGCAUAGCUGUAUAGACGGCCGUCUAAACGUUACGCUUCACUCUUUCGUCCCAAUUUAUGAAAAAUUGGUUUAAAAAAUUAGAUAUCCGAUUUUUUCUGUUUAGACCGUCUAAAUAACCGUCUAGCCGCAUAUUCUAUUUUUUUAAUAAUAUUUUAUUUAUUUAUUUGAUCUGAAAUUUUGUAAAUAUCAUUUAUAUUCAUAAUUUUGAUGAAAAUUACAGUAUAUUAAUUUUAUAUAUUCUAUUUGUGUGUUUUAUACAAUCUUAAAUAUGAAAAUGUAUUAAUGUUAUACGCUAUUAAAGAUUACAUGUUUUACAAAAUUGUAAACAAUCUAAAAAUUUUGCCUCGCAUAAUUUCUGAUUAAUCCCCGAAUAACUGAUAUUGACUGUAUACAUAUGAAAAUAAUAUUUAGUUUUUUUAUAAGUGGUUAAAGUGUUUUAGUCCAUGUUCUCAAACGCGAACUCCUAACCGAGUAGGCGCUCGGCGGCACAAUUUUUUUCUCAAACAAUUAUGAUGAAAUACAUAUGUUACAUAGUUUGUGGAAAAUGCAUCAAUGGAAAGAGUUCAUUUUGAAAUUUUUCUUGUAGAACUAUAUACUUGUAAGCAGAUGCAGCUACUGAUUUUUCACAUAGCGUGAUGGAACUAACAUCCAAGGUGAUCAGCUGGUUUAAAUUUCAAAAAGAAGAAGGGAUUUGAUCAACAAAAAUGUUAUUAGAAAGACCGGAGAAAGUGAGCUGAAAAAGGUUUCCUACUAUAGGCAUACUCGGACCACAGAAAAAAAAUAUUAAUAGAAAUGUCGAGUUUGUCAAGAUAAUAAAGGUUUUCAAUCCAAGAAAGAAUAUGAUCCAAAAUUUUAUUAAAUGAAAUGUCAAAAGAAACGAGAUGAGAAAGAUUUACAAUUAAAGAUGGAAUCCGACUCAAAAACCAAAAAAAAAAAUAUUAUCGAAGAAAAAAUGCGACAGGUGAAAAACUAUCGUGCGAAAGGUCGAGCGACGUGAGUCCAGAAAGAUUUCCAAUUACAACAAGUCGUUAUUAGCCCAUGAGUCCGUCUGGGUUUAGUAUUGAUAAUAUAACUGUAAAGAAAGAGUUGAGAACCUUGGACUCGUUUCUGAAAUCGACAAGUGUGACCAUUUGCUCUGGGGCCGCAAACACGGCCUCGUAAUUAUAAACGAACAAGAAAAAAAAAAGACAAAGAGUGAUAGAAAUGGUAUUCAUUCCUUUCUGAUAGAAGAAAAGAAGAAGUGUUGAUGGUAUUAUUAGUAUAUAAACACGCUUCCAUGCCCACCUAUAUACACAAUAAUCUACAAAGAAAAAUUCCAAUCAGUUUGACUCAGUACUUUUCACACAUUUUUGGUCCCCGGCGGCUACAUUGAUUACAAGAUCUUUCCAAUCCAAACAAGAAAAAGUUACGAGUGUCUUAUUUUGCUCUAAAUAACAGCAUUUACAAGCUUUUUACAGUUUUUUUCAAAGAGUCUGUUUUGCAUUGUUUCGUGAUCAUCACAUGCACAGUCUUUCGUUUUGUUUUUCGGUAUAUGUUAAAACUUUAGUUUUUUUGCCAGCAAAGUUUUAAUUUGGGUGGUAAAUGUUUUUUCUUCUAAUUAUUAAAGAAGUUCAGAAUUGAGAUUCUUAAAAAGAUUGGUUAGUAAGACUGAUUCCAGCACCACUUGAAGUUCUAAACGUCUCAUGACAAAUAGUCAAAUAUACAGUUAACUGAAAGAAACCAAAGAAAUGCAAGCUAUGGCUAGCUCUCUCAAAAGAUUAUUUUAGCUAUUGGAUCUAACCUGAUGAUUAGGUUGCCUCAUUACAAGCCCUUAGUGUUCACUUAAUUCUUAUUUGGUUUCUAAAGUUAGUGUUCCCGUUCCAUUUUUGCAGAGCAAUUUUCAAGGCAAAACCUAGUUAGUCAUGCAGUUGCUAGAUUUGAGUAUAUCCAGCAGUGAUGGUAAUCAUCAAAGGAACAGUCAAGGGACAAUCCCUUGACGUGCUCCAUCAGCAUAUAACUCGCUCACUUUGCCUCUCUCAGAAAGAGACCAACAACAAACUAUGAAAAUAGGACAAGUUAGUUCAUCAGAGUCGAUCUAAAUAACCGUCUAGCCGCAUAUUCUAUUUUUUUAAUAAUAUUUUAUUUAUUUAUUUGAUCUGAAAUUUUGUAAAUAUCAUUUAUAUUCAUAAUUUUGAUGAAAAUUACAGUAUAUUAAUUUUAUAUAUUCUAUUUGUGUGUUUUAUACAAUCUUAAAUAUGAAAAUGUAUUAAUGUUAUACGCUAUUAAAGAUUACAUGUUUUACAAAAUUGUAAACAAUCUAAAAAUUUUGCCUCGCAUAAUUUCUGAUUAAUCCCCGAAUAACUGAUAUUGACUGUAUACAUAUGAAAAUAAUAUUUAGUUUUUUUAUAAGUGGUUAAAGUGUUUUAGUCCAUGUUCUCAAACGCGAACUCCUAACCGAGUAGGCGCUCGGCGGCACAAUUUUUUUCUCAAACAAUUAUGAUGAAAUACAUAUGUUACAUAGUUUGUGGAAAAUGCAUCAAUGGAAAGAGUUCAUUUUGAAAUUUUUCUUGUAGAACUAUAUACUUGUAAGCAGAUGCAGCUACUGAUUUUUCACAUAGCGUGAUGGAACUAACAUCCAAGGUGAUCAGCUGGUUUAAAUUUCAAAAAGAAGAAGGGAUUUGAUCAACAAAAAUGUUAUUAGAAAGACCGGAGAAAGUGAGCUGAAAAAGGUUUCCUACUAUAGGCAUACUCGGACCACAGAAAAAAAAUAUUAAUAGAAAUGUCGAGUUUGUCAAGAUAAUAAAGGUUUUCAAUCCAAGAAAGAAUAUGAUCCAAAAUUUUAUUAAAUGAAAUGUCAAAAGAAACGAGAUGAGAAAGAUUUACAAUUAAAGAUGGAAUCCGACUCAAAAACCAAAAAAAAAAAUAUUAUCGAAGAAAAAAUGCGACAGGUGAAAAACUAUCGUGCGAAAGGUCGAGCGACGUGAGUCCAGAAAGAUUUCCAAUUACAACAAGUCGUUAUUAGCCCAUGAGUCCGUCUGGGUUUAGUAUUGAUAAUAUAACUGUAAAGAAAGAGUUGAGAACCUUGGACUCGUUUCUGAAAUUGACAAGUGUGACCAUUUGCUCUGGGGCCGCAAACACGGCCUCGUAAUUAUAAACGAACAAGAAAAAAAAAAGACAAAGAGUGAUAGAAAUGGUAUUCAUUCCUUUCUGAUAGAAGAAAAGAAGAAGUGUUGAUGGUAUUAUUAGUAUAUAAACACGCUUCCAUGCCCACCUAUAUACACAAUAAUCUACAAAGAAAAAUUCCAAUCAGUUUGACUCAGUACUUUUCACACAUUUUUGGUCCCCGGCGGCUACAUUGAUUACAAGAUCUUUCCAAUCCAAACAAGAAAAAGUUACGAGUGUCUUAUUUUGCUCUAAAUAACAGCAUUUACAAGCUUUUUACAGUUUUUUUCAAAGAGUCUGUUUUGCAUUGUUUCGUGAUCAUCACAUGCACAGUCUUUCGUUUUGUUUUUCGGUAUAUGUUAAAACUUUAGUUUUUUUGCCAGCAAAGUUUUAAUUUGGGUGGUAAAUGUUUUUUCUUCUAAUUAUUAAAGAAGUUCAGAAUUGAGAUUCUUAAAAAGAUUGGUUAGUAAGACUGAUUCCAGCACCACUUGAAGUUCUAAACGUCUCAUGACAAAUAGUCAAAUAUACAGUUAACUGAAAGAAACCAAAGAAAUGCAAGCUAUGGCUAGCUCUCUCAAAAGAUUAUUUUAGCUAUUGGAUCUAACCUGAUGAUUAGGUUGCCUCAUUACAAGCCCUUAGUGUUCACUUAAUUCUUAUUUGGUUUCUAAAGUUAGUGUUCCCGUUCCAUUUUUGCAGAGCAAUUUUCAAGGCAAAACCUAGUUAGUGAUGCAGUUGCUAGAUUUGAGUAUCCAGCAGUGAUGGUAAUCAUCAUAGGAACAGUCAAGGGACAAUCCCUUGACGUACUCCAUCAGCAUAUAACUCGCUCACUUUGCCUCUCAGAAAGAGACCAACAACAAACUAUGAAACCAGGACUAGUUAGCUCAUCAGAGUCGACAACAAUCAAUCUUGACAACUUGUUAGGGAAUCAGUAGGAUAAAUGGGCACAGCUACAUCAGCUUCAUGGAGGUACCAGCAGAGUCAGAAUGGUUAUUACACAUCUUAUGCUAAGGGGAUUGUGUCCAAUAUGAUGCACAACCAAGUAGAAACCACCCUAACAUGAUGCACAACAACAACCAUCUAGAAAACUUGCUUCUCAUCAUCAUCCUUGUUGUAACCAAAACAGAAGUUGGCGUUAAAUCAUAUACAAUGAGACACGAGUUCUUUUAAUACCAAAUACUUGGAUUUCACGAUACAGCUAGCGUCUUGCUCCCUUGAGACACAAGUUUACAUGUUUAAGAGAUGACAGUAACCGGAACAUCAGUGAUUUAGAUAGAUUGUAAGAAUUGGCCUCUCAUUUUAUUGUCCACCCGAUUUCAAAGUGCAACUUCGUUGGUGAGGUCCUCAAGAAAAUUCUCAAAAGUUGAAUAUUCUUAUUUUAUUGGUUAUUUAUAAAUAAAAUAAAUUUUAAUUAAAAACAAAAAAAAAUAGCCAAUAGACCGCAAGUAGUCAAAGAGGAGUUCUGGGGUGAAAACCCAUUGUUGUACAUGAUCUAUUAAGACGACUUUCAGAUCCAUAAAUAUCUAAUUCUGAUGCUUAACAGUGCUAAUUAGCUGAAAAUUCUCUGUAAACAACCGUGGGGUAAAUGAACAAGUUCGUUUUUCGCUGUCCGAAAGAUAAAUACUUUAUUUCGUCCGUGCUCUUACGUUGCAAGUUAUGAGUCAAGGUAGAAGGAGCUUUAAUUUAGACUGUUGAAUUUUGUUAUAAUAAUUUCCUAUUCAGUUAACAAAAAUUCGAUUGUCUAAUAAUACAACCGUGUCCUAAACAAUCUAUGUCCCAACUAACAAAAGGAUUGAGUAAGGAGAUAAGAUAAAAGAAGCCAUUAAGAUCAGAUAAUUGUAGUCUGAGUUUUAGUCGACAUAAUAUUUCCGAACAAUCGUUAUCAUCAUGUCAUUGGCUCUUUCUCAUCCGAACUCCAAAGAGAAAUCAAAUUAUCAUCAGGAAAAAUCAAUUAAAAAGUUGAAAGUGAAGGCUCAGAAGGAUCCAUUGGUAAAAUUUCUAAUCAGAGAUUUACUCAUAAAAUAGGUAGAUUUUCAUCAUCACUGCCUUCACUAGUAACCAGAAAUCGAAGAGAUGAGAAUUUUUCCCAUAAAAGCCAAAAUUGAAAACAGUUUAACGAAACAUUGAAACAAGAAUGUGGAAUGAAAGACGAGAUGUAAUGGCUGGAUCAGCUUUAAAUUGUAAUCGCUGAGUUGGGAGAAGUCGCGGACGGCAAUAUAUAUAAGACGAUGGAGGUAGCUAGGGUUUUACGUUUUGAAAAGAAUUGGGUCGGGCCUGUUGAGACUCCAACUCUUGGAUAUGGGCCUUGUAAAUGUUUCAGUUUUUAAAUCUACUAGCAUGGAGAAAUAUAAGUUUUUUAAAAAAAAUCUUAUAUAUUAUGUAUUAUAAUUAUAAAAAAAAUUACAUAUACAAUUUUACAACAUAUAACUUUAUAUGGUUUAUGCGAAUCAAAUUCACAUCUAACCAAUUUUACUUACACCCUUAUGAAGAUCACAUGUAAGUCUUUCAUCUGUAAAUAUGCAUAAUUAUUUAAUAAAUCGUGUUCUUCAAUAUUCAAAACCCAAAAAAUUAAUAAAUCUUCGUUAAACCAUCAAAUUACUGAAACUUUCACCAAGAAAUUCAAGACUGUGAAUAAAAAUGAAAAAAAUAUGAGAUUGUGAGAGCAAGUGAUGGGAGGAAAACACAGCCUAGUCUAUCGAAAAAAAAGAUUGAGACAAUUAUACAUCUUUGUUGUGUGUGUAUUGCAGAACUUGGUUGUUGUUAUUUUAUCUAUGUAUUGAGAAAAUUGCAAAGCUUGUAACAGUAACCUUAACAAUCAGCCGUCUUCGUAGUUAGUAAUUGGUUUGAUCCAAUGCCUCUUACACUAAAUCCUAGUCUACUUUUGUUUUCCAUUUAUUCUCUUCCAAAACUACAUGAAGUAGUAAUCAGAACAAACUGAUGGAGAAGUUUUACUCUUCUAAGGACAAAUGUGCCUUCUCUUUGCGUUGUUUCCUUCAUAGUUUACUUGGCUUUUCUCCAACGUUACUUACAUGAGUAAUCAGAACAAAUGGAAAAGUUUAAAUUCUUUUGUGAACAAAUUUAAUUUCUAUUUUUGUCAUUUUCAUCUUGGUUCCCAAACCUAAAAGCAUUUCUUUUUGGUUUUGAGAACAAUGAUAUGUAAGUGUAUUUUUGAAGCUCCUUCUUGUGUUCUAAUGACAGUUGAGUUCAAGCCCGUAUGAGAAUACAGAAGUGGAAACAUUCAACUCCUCUCUUAUUACAUCAGGUUCGUUCUUCUUCUCCUUUCUAACUUAUCCAUUCAAAAGAGUUUAGUUAUCCAUUUAAAACAUAGUAAAGAUCUUCUUGAAACUUGGUUUUAAUUUGCUUACACAGUGAAUAAGAACCGACAUAGAGUUAUCUAAGCUCGCGUUUAUGUCAUCGGCUAGUGCAUUUGAGAAAUGGACAAGCUUGACAGGUCUUUUAGGACAGCUUAAGGGAAUCUGAUUGGCUACCAAUUGUUUACUUUUCUGUUGUCGUCUUGUGUAUUUUUCUACAUAUUGUCAACAAAAGAAUAGAGAUAAAGGAAAGCAAACCUUUGAAAACUUCAUCCUCUUUAACAUAUUUGGUUAUCAUUCUUUAUUCAUUUUUUCAUACUAAGCCAAACCACUUUCUUCAACACUCCAGUAACAAUUGUUAUAUCAAAAUGAGAUCUUUUAAACCGGAAUGGGAAAGCCCAUAGACUGAACCGGUAAUAACCAAGCGUCAAGAGAUGUCAUGUUACUACUAGAUGAAGCUUGCUUGACUAUAAGGGGGCAGUUUGAGUCAUUUGGCAGUUACUACAGACUUGUUUGAUCUUUUCUCUGAUGACAUUAAAUCCUUUAUCUAGAAGAACAAAAAAACUUCCAUCAUUAUAACCAAAUGUGAAAACAAAUAUACAAACGUUAAUCAAUCCAAUUCAACUUUGAAAAAUCAUCCAAGCAGACUAGUCAAUAUUGAUGGCGACGGUCUUAUAGAGGCAUUACUUAUCUGUUAAAUAAUACUAUUAACAUUAAUGAGAAUGCAAAAAAUGCUCUGCCUUUUACUUGUAUAAAUACCAGCACUACUUGUGUCUUAUUUCAUCACCUUCACCUUCAACAUCAAACACAUCACAUCUCUCAAAGAGUUUCUUAGUAAUCAAAAUCAAUGGCAGGUAUCAAAGUUUUCGGACACCCAGCUUCCGCUCCCACCAUGAGAGUCCUCCUCACCCUCCACGAGAAAAACCUCGACUUUGAGUUCGUUCAUGUCGACCUCAUGGGAGGUGAGCACAAGAAAGAGGCUUUCCUAGCCCGCAACGUAAGUAUAUCUAUCUGUGUUGUUGUGAGACAGGAUAAACACUCAGAACCGGGCAAAAAAUUAAGCUCCUAUAAUUAAUGUUUAUUUAAUUUUUUUAACUUUUAAAAGUUAAUCAGUAAUAUUUUUGUAAAUUUCAUGAAAAAAAAACAAAACUAUACACAUAAAAUAUUUUGGGUCAUUUCAGUCUAAUUAAUCAAACUUUAAUUUUUGUAUAAAAAUAAUGUAUAUAUAUAAAAAGUUGAACUACUUAACUACUAGGAUUACAUGAAGACAUGGAUUUGAGCCCGGAGCGGCCAUACCGUUUGUCCCCCGAAUUAGCUGCCCGUUUUUGAUGAAUCUGGUCUAAAUCUUGAAUGUUUUGCGUUUGAUUGAUAUUGCAGCCUUUUGGUCAAGUUCCAGCCUUUGAAGAUGGAGACCUCAAGCUCUUUGGUACGAACGUUUUCGCAGAUCAUCUCAAAUAUGAUUUGACAAUAUGCAUAAAAAGAAGAAGAAACAUUCACUAACAUGAUUUGUUUCUUUUGUGUAGAAUCAAGAGCCAUUACUCAAUACAUAGCUCACCGAUACGAAGGCCAAGGAACCAACCUUCUCCCAGCUGACUCCAAGAACAUAGCCCACUAUGCAAUCAUGGCCAUCGGAAUGCAAGUAGAAGCUCACCAGUUCGAGCCAGUGGCUGCAAAGCUUGUUUCUGAACAAGUAUUUAAGCUCAAGAAAGGCUUGACCACAGACCAAGCCGUUGUUGCCGAAGAGGAGGCUAAGUUAGCCAAGGUCCUUGAUGUCUACGAGGCUCGGCUCAAGGAGUUCAAGUACUUGGCUGGUGACACUAGACGUGUACGAGGCUCGGCUCAAGGAGUUCAAGUACUUGGCUGGUGACACUUUUACUUUGACCGAUCUUCACCACAUUCCUACGGUUAAAUACUUGCUUGGAACUCCCACCAAGAAGCUCUUCACCGAGCGUCCACGUGUCAACGAGUGGGUGGCUGAGAUCACCAAGAGGCCAGCUUCCCAGAAGAUCCUUCAGUGAUAAGUUACUAAAAGCUUCUGCUUCAGUCGCAGUAAUAAUGCUCAGAGUUAAUAAGUUACUGCCUCAUUUCCAAUUUCUCAGUACUCUGUUUUUAUUCUCAGUUAUAACUAAGUGUGUGUUCUUGAGAGAUAUUUCUUGAAUCAUAAACUGUCUAAUCUUCAAGCUCUUCUAUAAUAAAAAGAUUAGUUACUUAUUUAAUACAAAGGUUGCAAUGUCUUGACUACAGAGUUACUGAUUAGUGAGCACAAAGACUUUGUUUGAUUAGUCUUUGCAAAUUUUUACUUUCUACCUUUGCAAGCUGACCUAAGACUUUGACUCCAUAAACAAUAGUAAAGAGUAAAGACACAUGAUGGAAAGAGAAAUCUAAAAACAAAGCAUAGCUCAGAUCACUCAAAUUGGAUUUGCUUUUUACCUUAACCCCUUUUAAGACGCUAGGUGAAGCAACCCAUCUCAUCUUUAGUCUCCAUUGUGUUGCUUGACUCAUCCCUCACUUUGACUUUACAGCUACCCAAUGAAUCGAGGGCAGAGACUGAGACAUAUACUUACAGCAUCUGGUCAUCCCAAAGUUAGAAGCUUUACAAUACUCACAUAUUGACUUUACCAAGAAAUAUCAUUUUUAGUUAGUAGAGUUUGUACGUCAUCAUCCCGGCCCAUGGCGUUCAAGGGACCAAAAAAGAAUAAUGGGAGAUCAUAAUAUCGACAUAGAUCCAACGGUCAAGAAUAAUGAUAGCAUUAAGAAGAUAUAAAGAUAUUUGAUAGUACAACAAUAUUUUUUGAAAGCCUAAGUUUCAAAAAAAAAAAAUUGAAAAUAACUACCGAUAUUGUACUAUUUUAUAUUAAUUUAUGAAAUUAGUUUUACUCAUCUCUAAAUAAAUCAUAGUAGGUGAUUAUCUCUCGCUCAUGCACAAGGAUAUAAAUAAUUAUAAAUUAUAAUAAUUUAUUAAAAUUUAAGAUUAAAUUAUUUUGUAAUUUAUAUGUAUAAAAUAGUACUAUGUUAAUUUUUUAGACAUGUGAUUUUGGAUAUAAUAUUAAGUAUGUUUAAUUAUUAUUUAUGUAUAUUGGAUUUUAUUUACUUCUUUAAAAUCGACCAUAGUAAUUUUUUAUUUUCAUUUAGUUUGAUUGUUAUCUCAUAUCUGUAAAUAUAUAUGUUGUUUUGAGAAUCAAAUAAAAAAAAUUAACGUAUUGAUUAAUAAGUUACAUGAAUUAAUAUAAAUAUAAUCUUGUAAACAGUCAGGCAUGUAUAUGAAUUAAAAAAAUAAAAUAAACUGUGACAAUUUAUUAAUAUGUUUAAACAAUUCCAUAAUUUAAAUGUAUAAAAUUAAUAAAAUAUUACUAUAAAUAAUAGCAUAUUAAUAUUUGAGUUAGAUAUUUGAUUUUAGGUAUAAGAAUUUGUAUUAGUCAAGUUAAUAAUUUUGUGGAUUAUAUUGAGUUACAUAUGUUUUUUUAAUGUUAAGAACAUUAGUUUAGUUCUUCACCGUAAAUGCGUAAGAUUCAGAAAAAAAGAAUGUGUAAGUUUACUUUCAUAAUUUUUUGUAUUACUGAUAUUUGUUUUUUAAUAAAGAAAUUCUUAAAGUAAAACUAAAAAUGAUCAAUAUGAAGGUGCAUAAAUGAAAAUAACUAAUAAAUUUUUAAAAGAUCAUGAAUGGAUAUCAAUAUUUUAAAAAAUUAUGUAAAAUAGGUCUAUAGUAAAAAUAAUAUUUUUAGUUUCACUUUCUAAUAUAUGACUUAUUUCUUAAAGUCAAUUUCAAAAGCAACAACAUUAUUUAAUAUUUCUAAAAUAAAUACUUUUUGAGAAAUCAUGUUAUGUAAGUAACUUUCAAAAUUUCUUUAGAUAUUUUCAUCAGUGUAGUACCGUAAUUGAAUAAAAGUUAUAAGAAGUUUGAGUCAUUUGGCAGUUACUACAGACUUGUUUGAUCUUCUCUCUGAUGACAUUGAAUGCUUUAUCUAGAAGGAAAAAAACUUUAUUCCAUAACCAAAUUUAUAAACAAACUUCAUUCAAUCCAAUUUAACUUUAAAAAACCUCUAGAAAAACAAGUCAAUAUUGGUUGCGACGGUCUUGUAGAUGCAUUGUGUAUAAGUUGAAUAAUAUGUAACAUUAAUGAGAAUGCACAAAAAUUCUCUGUUUUUUACUUGUAUAAAUACCAUCACCACUUGUGUCUUAUUUCAUCACAUUCACCUUCAAACAUCAAACAUCACAUCUCUUAAAAGAGUUUCUUUGUAUCAAUGGCAGGUAUCAAAGUUUUCGGACACGCUGCUUCCAUUUCCACCAGAAGAGUCCUCCUCACCCUCCACGAGAAAAACCUCGACUUUGAGCUCGUUCAUGUCGACCUCAAGGACGGUGAGCACAAGACAGAGUCUUUCCUAUCCCACAACGUAAGUAUAUACUUAAUCGUUUCAUUUUAAAUCCGUUUCAUUUUAAAUGUAGUUGUAGAAUUUAAAUUUUAUUUCAUUAUAAAUGACAUUUUAUAUUUUCAGUGCAAAUUUUUGAUGGUUUUUUCACUUUUAAUUCCUAUCUUUCAGCACAUUAAUUUUUAAAAAAUAAAUAAAAUAGUGUACUAAUUAGGGAUAUAAUAGAAAAUUUAAUGAUUUUAUUAAUUUGUGUGAAAGAACCUUAACAACAUAUGAAACGAAACGUAGGGAGUACAUAUAUAUGUUGUUGUAAGACAAGAGUACAAGACCAGCACUCUGAUGAAUCUGGUCUAAAUCUUGAAUGUUUUGCAUUUUUAUUUAUAUUGCAGCCUUUUGGUAAAGUUCCGGCCUUUGAAGAUGGAGACCUCAAGCUCUUCGGUAUGAACGUUUUCAUGAUCUUCAAUCUUAAUCUGAUUUGAAAAUUAUAUGCGUAGGAAGAAGAAACAUACACUAACAUCAUUUGGUUCUUUUGUGUAGAAUCAAGAGCUAUUACUCAGUACAUAGCUCACCGAUACGAAGGCCAAGGAACCAACCUUCUCCAGCCUGACUCCAAGAACCUGGCCCAAUAUGCAAUCAUGGCCAUGGGAAUGCAAGUAGAAGCUCACCAGUUCGACCCACUGGCGUCAAAGCUUGCUUGGGAACAUGUAUUUAAGCUCAUCUAUGGCUUGACCACAGACCAAGCCGUUGUCGCCGAAGAAGAGGCUAAGUUAGCCAAGGUCCUUGAUGUAUACGAGGCUAGGCUCAAGGAGUUCAAGUAUUUGGCUGGUGACACUUUUACUUUGACCGAUCUUCACCACAUUCCUGCGGUUCAAUACUUGCUUGAAACUCCCACCAAGAAGCUUUUCACCGAGCGUCCACAUGUCAACAAGUGGGUGGCUGAGAUCACCAAGAGGCCAGCUUCACAGAAGAUCCUUCAGUGAGGAAUUUCUAAAAGGCUCUGCUUCAGUAACAGUAAUAAUGCUCAGACUAAAUAAGUGGCUGCUUCACUGCCCAAUUUCUCAUUAAUCUGUUUUUCUUUCUCAGUUAUGUGUGUGUGUGUUCUUGAGAGAUCUUUGUUGAAUCAAAAACUAUCUAUCUAAUCUUUAAGCUCUUUUAUAAUAAAAAGGUUAGUUAAUUAAUACAAAGGUUGCAAUGUCUUAACUGCAAUGUCUUAACUGCAGAGUUAUUACUGAGAAUAUUAUACAUUAUACAAAGACUUUUAAUUUUAGUUUGAUUAGUCUUUGCAAGUUCUUAGUGUCUACCUUAUUUUUAAAGGAGCUAAGCUAAGACUUUGAACGUUCUUAUACUUAACAGUCUCCAUGUUUUGUGCCUUUGUGGGAUCUGAAAUUUUAGACUCAAAUUUUAUAAACUACAUUAAAAUCGGCUGAAAGGCUUGACCACAGACCAAGCCGUUGUCGCCGAAGAGGAGGCUAAGUUAGCCAAGGUCCUUAACGUCUACGAGGCACGGCUUUAGGAGUUCAAGUACUUGGCUUUACUUUGACCGAUCUUCACCACAUUCCUGCGGUUCAAUACUUGCUUGAAACUCCCACCAAGAAGCUCCGAGCGUCCACGUGUUAACGAGUGGGUGGCUGAGAUCACCAAGAGGCCAGCCAGCUUCCCAGAAGAUCCUUCAGUGAGACAUUUCUAAAAACUAAAAAGAAAACAAAAUAGUUCUGCUUCAGUUACAGUAAUAAUGCUAAGAGUAAAUAAGUGGCUGCUUCAUUGCCCAAUUCCUCAGUACUCUGUUUUUUUCUCUGUUUUUAUUCUCAGUCAUGUGUGUGUUCUUGAGAGAUCUUUGUUCAAUCAAAAAUUAUCUGUCUAAUCUUCAAGCUCUUUUAUAAUAAAAAAUAUUGGUUACUUAAUUAAUACGAAGGUUGCAAUGUCUUAACUGCAGAGUUAUUACUGAGAAUAUUAUACAUCAUACAAAGACUUCCAGUUUGAGUUUGAUUAGUCUUUUUUUUAUGCACAGUUUGAUUAGUCUUUGCAAGUGUUUUUACUUUCUACCUUAUUUUCUCAGCAAAGAAGCUAAGCUAAGACUUUGAACGUUCUUAUCCUUAAAAGUCUCCAUGCUUUGUGCCUUUGUGGGAUCUCAAAUUUUAGAAUUAAAUCUUAUAAACUAUAUUAAAAAUUUAGGUUAGAUUUUUUAAAAAAAUAUGCCAAAUUUAUUGAAAAUUUUCUAAUUAAUUUUUUCUGUAUUCACAUUUUGAUACGCUGAAGGUAGAACUAAAGAGACCCAAAUGAUGCUAUAAAUUCCCAAACCAUAGUAAGUCAGUACUCUACUGAUGUAUCCAAUAUGCUUUUGACAUCUUGUAUACUGAAAGAAUCAAUUAUUUAGUUGUUAGAUGGUAGAUACAUUUGAAAGCAGGUUAAAAAUGUUCUUCAAUUAACAUUGAUUAUUAUUGAUUUCUGAAAUAUGGAUUAAAAAAAAAAGAAAAAAAAAAAGAGAAAACAAACUGAUGUCUAUGCACAAUACUUUUGCUUUCACCCAUCUUACAACAACAAGCAAAGACAUGAAUAUAGCUAGAAACAGAACACAAAUUCCUAAACGCCGCAGAUCCGAGUAUUCAAACUUGGUUGGUUUGUUGUACCUUUACAGCCUUAAACGCCGGGUGAAGCAACCCGAGCUCGUCUUUCAUCUCCAGCGGAUUGCUAGUCUCGUUCCUCACUCUCUUUACUUUGCGACUAGCCAAAGAUUUAUGAGUGAAACCAUAUAUUUGCAGAAUCUGGUUAUCCCCAAAGUUAAAGGCUCUGUCCAUCUGUUUUAGACACCGUUCAACCGGGUAGUCCCCAAACUUCCCGCAUGGUUUGCAACCGACAAAGUGAGUCACCAAUGGCCACCGGUGGUCACCUAGACCCGGGUGGUAGUUUUCUAUCAUUUCUUCGUAUCGGUCCACAAGUAUUCCCCAGUAACCGUGAAGAUAGUACCCAUUUUCUAGGUAUACCUAUAACAACAAUGCAGCAGCUCAAAUAAGAAUAAAGCAAAACCAUAACAAAAUGCAACUCGCAUUGUGAUCUGUGAUGAUAAAUAUGUGAUGAAGAAACGUUAUAAACAUAACAAGAUGCAACUCACAUUGUGAUAUGCAGUGAUAAAUUAAAACUUUAUGAUGAAACAAAUUAUAAACAUAACAAAAUGCAACUCACAUUGUAAUUUGUGGAUACAAAUUACAAUGCCUAUGUGAUCAGAGACGUUAUAAAACCACAAGAUGCAACUCACAUUGUGAUUUGGAUGAUAAAUUAAAACUUCUUGUGAUGAACAAACGUCAUAAACUGACAAUAUGCAACUCACAUUAUCAUUUGCGAAUACAAAUCCAAUUCCUAUGAGAAUAUGCAACUCACAUAGUGACUUGUAAGUGAAAAAACUCAUACUGAUAUGAUCAAGAGACGCUAUAAACCAACAAGAUGCAACUCACAUUGCAAUUUUAUGAGCGAAAAACCGAUCUUUAUGUAAUCAAGAGAUGCUGUAGAUUUUUAUUGGUUGAACAACUAAGGUAAUAUGUAUCUCAAAUCAAAUUUCUGCUCUUACCUUAUUACCCCAAGUGUCUCGCUGAGUAGCCAACAGAUAAACCAUAGCAGACUGAUCAUCAGCUUCGAAAACCGGCCUACCCUUAAGCUCACGGGUCAAAACCUUACCCGCUUCCUCACGGAUCUUCCCUUUAGGACCCAUAGGAGCCCAAGUGUCAAGCAAAUCAAGCGCCCACUGAUUAUUCCUAAGCAAGAAACUCCCAGUAUUCAACCCAAUCCAAUUCUUGUCAUCAUAAACCAUCUCAUUCCAUCCAUGCAUCACCAAGUUAUAAUCCUUAUACCUCUCCCACGGAAGCUCAAACGCCAUGUCCGUAAACAUGGCAUCACUAUCCAUCCACCACAGAAACUCAAUCUCGGGGUGAGACAGCAAAAGCUUCCUAAUCAACGGCAGCUUCGCCCAAAACCCAGCCAUCUCAGCAUCGAGCAGAGCCAUGUUGUAGAAGAUCUCGAUCCCGUGAAGCCUACAGUAAUCGAUCUUGUUCUUGAUCGACUUCAAGAGGUAAUGGUCUCCCACAGGAUUCUCACACGGCUUCGGAGCAGAACCGGUCACCAAGAGGACACGUGGCUUGUUUGGUCCGAUGAAGUUGGGGAAGCUAGGGUUCUUCCCUAACCAGUCGGAUCUUUGCUCGUCCCAAUCGGAUAUCUUGGGUCCGAGAGUGUACGGUUUAUUCGGGUCGGGUUUCUCUUCUUCUCCUUCGUCAACGAAUAUCUUGUUAAUGUCAAACGUCUCAUAGUUAUUGCUCCCGGCGCCGCCACCGUCGCCGGAAUCUCCUCCUCCGCCGCCGCCGGAUUGUAUUUCUUCGAGUACACGGUGAGGCUCAGCUCGUUUACGAGAUGUUUGGAAAUGCUGACGGAUCUCGUCCAGGUCUUGCUCCGGUGUACCGAACUUACCGGCGCCGAUUGUGCCACGUAGGACGACAACGGUGAGAACGAGGCAGAGAACCGUUACCUUUAAGUGGCGUAAAGCUCUUUGGAUUCUCCGGCACCGGUAAGCUCCUAAACAUCUCUCGAUCAUCUUUAUCCAAUCUUCUUCUUCUUCUUGGUAGAGAGAGAGAAUCUCUCUGUUUAUUAUUAUCUAAUUGAGGUCAAGAGAAGAUCUGAGUUUUUCCAUUAAUGAAAGAUUCGAAUUUGAUUAAUAUUUUUUCGGACACUGUUACUUGUCAAAGCUACUACAAGAGUUUGCGUUCGGACAGUACUACUGUUAGUAACUUUAAGUUGUCUGGUUUUUUACUCGGUUGUGUCGGUUGUGGUUGUGUGCUAGUGUAGUGUUUGUCACACGUGGCGAUAUAUCAGGGUAUGUGACUUGUGCUAUAUAUGGUCCUGACCGUUGAUGCAACAUGGAUCUAGAUAUCGGAGCGCGUUGAAAAGUCAACUCGUUAAUACUGUAGUUCUUUUUUCGUGCAACAGAAAUACUGUAGUUUUUUUCUUAUAAAUAGAAAAAAGGUUGAAAACAAAAGGGAACAUAAAUAGGAAAAACGAAUUCAACAUGUUGGAUAUGGUUAAACAGGGGUUGACCAAAAAAGGGCUAGAGAGGGCUGGGCGCGGAUCAAAUAUAUGAGUUUCUCGAGGUAUUCGCCAUCUAAUCCAUUUUGUUUGAAUAACCGACUAUUCGGUUAUAUUCGAUCCAUAGCUAUUCGAAUAUUCUGUGUCUAGAAUUUCUAGAAUUUCUUUUUGUAUUUUUAACAUAUAUCCGAUUCGAUUAGUACAAAUAAAAUUAAAAUUAAUAAAUAAAUAAUCCUAAAAUUAAGAUAAAUAACAAUUUUUAUUACAAAAAUAAAAAUUUCUUUACUUUUUAAAAUUAUAAUAACUAAUAUAAUAAAUAUAAUAUUAUAAAACUUAUAUAAAAUAUUAUAUUUACAUAUUAUAUUUAUAUGAUUAUUUAUAUAUAUAUAUAUAUAUAACCGAUCGGAUUAGUUAUCCUUCUUAAAAAUAUUAGUAUUUGUGAUUUAUCUCAUUUUUUAUAGAUAUUACAUAUUAAUAUUUGCUUUACUUCAUAGAAUUAUGGAAAUUUAGAUUUUUUUUAUUUGAGUCAAAAUAGAUAAUGAAUCGAACCAAAAUUUAUAGAUAUUUUGUCCAAUCUUAUGUUUAAUUACUAGUUAAAGUUUACUGUACUUCUUUUUUUACUUUAUUUAUUCUCCUGUUUUAGGAAUUGUUUUUUUCAUUUACACCAAAAAGGUUUAUGUUAUAAAAGUCAACUAGGAAGUAACCCUCGCCUUGCGCAGGAUGAAGUUAUUAAUUUUGUUAUUUUUAAGAUGUUAAAAUAUUAUGUCUGUUUAUUUUGGAUAUUAGUUCGGUUUUGGGUUGGUUUUUCGGGUUUUAAUAUCUUCUUAUAUAUAACUAAUUUCUAAAUUCAUAUUUAUUUUUGUUUGUUUGGUUAAAAUGGUUGAGGAUUUUUGGUUUUCUGGUGAUAAACCAAAGUCAAUUAGUAUUUGUUUGGUUUCAUGUUAUCAAAAUUUUAGACAAUCCUGAUGUCAACCAAUAGCUUCAUAUUAUAAUUUCUAAACGAAUUUAUAAUAAAAUCAAAUCUAGAUAAUUGUUAAGAAAAACAAAAGAAAAUUAUAAAGACAAAUCAUUUCGUUACAAUUAGGUUAAUGGUGAAUGAAGAAUUAAAAAUAAUAAUAUUCUAUAUUACAUCUGAAUUAGAAUCAUCACUUACGGUCAGUGGCGGAACUACAACAUGGGUAAGGGGGCAGCUGCUGCCCACCAUAAAAUUUUAAAAUUAGUGUAUUUUUGUACUGAAUUUUUAUAAUGCAAUGGUUGAAAAUUCAAAAUUAUAAAUAUAUUACAGUGUUUUAUAGUUCUGUUCCGGACAACAAUUAUUUAUAGAUCCUCCACUGCUUACGGUGAAUAUUUAGUUAUAUAGGUACUCACUUCAAUGUGCAUAUAAACAUGUAUGUAAAUAUUUUAAAAGUGUUUCACAAAUAUAUAAAGAUAUUGUUAAUUAAUAUUGAAAGAAAUUAUUGUUCAAUAUAACAAAGAAAUAUAAAAUUCUUAAAUAAAAUCUAUUAAAAAUAAAGUCAUUACCAAAUAAUUUUUUUUAUAUAUAAUGAAAAUCAAAUUGUAUACAUAAUAAUACAUAUACAAAUUGGGUUUGCUGAAUUUUAUUCUUACAUAGUGUUACACCUUGGCCCAAUCAGAUUUUAACAUUCAUACAUUAUGCUUCAACAUCUAUAUUAUUAAAACUGAAAUACAUUUGAGAAUUAUUUAGAAACAUGUAUAGUAAUAUACAAAAGGAGUAUAAUGUUGUUUGGAAACAUGGAUAACUGUAUAUUAAGAAAAAUAAUAAUGGCUUUUUGCAAAAUUGAUCUAGAACUCAAAGUUAAACACAAAACUAAUCUCCUUUCUUUUUGGAAAUUAGUUUUGCCCUAUUCACCCCACAAGUUCAUAUAAUUCACGAAAAUGUCAUCAAUUUUUUUUUUUUUCGAAAAUGACAUUUUUACUCUCUCACCCUCGUCAUCUUCAAGUAAUUACAAAAUUGUCAUUGUCAUCAAUACCCCAACCACCAUGAACAACCAAUUUGAAGCUCUUAAUACUCCCAAAAUCGAUUUACCCUUCUUCUUUUUCCAUUCUUAUGAACUAAACACAACAUCUCUCUUACUUUCUCUCCACAUUCAGCUAAAAAACCCAAGAUUUUGAUUCUACAUUUUUUAUGGUUCAUAGAGUCAUAGAAGCUAACGAUUAUGGGUGGAUCACUUUCGUUUGAGAUUAUGUGUGCUUGGAGAAGCCUUAUGUGUGCUAAGGAAGUUAUCUCACCAAUUUAAGGUAUGAAAUCGAGUUUUUUUUCCAGAUCUGUUCGUCCAGACGACUUCCCAGGUAAGUCGUCUGGCUGUAGAAAGACGACUUACCUGGAAGUCGUCUGGUCAAUGCAGAGGUUAUUUUUGCAAUUGACUAUGAAAUAUGUUUUCUGAGACGACUGAAAGUUAAGUCGUCUGCUUUUGUUUGGUUACAAAAAAAUCUCCAAAGAACCUAGGCAACUUACAUGUAAAUCGUCAUAGGUUAGUUUUGCAUUUGACUGGAUUUUGUCGGAAUUUUGACUUUCCUGGACGACUUAUUUUUCAGUCGUCUGGUAGAAAAUUGAAAUAUCAAUAUUUUAUUAAAAUUCGACGACUUACAUGUAAGUCGUCGUAGGUUAGUUUUGCCAUUGAAAAAUAAACUUCAAUAGUUAAUUAUACCCAGACAACUUACAAUUAAGUCGUCCGCCCGACGACUUACAUGUAAGUCGUCCAUAAUUUUAUUCCGAGAUUCUGGUCAAACCUCGUAAAUCCUGGACGACUUACAUGUAAGUCGUCGGACGGACGACUGAAUUGUAAGUCGUCUAUAUAUAAUUAAAUAUUGAAGUUUUUUUUCAAUUGCAAAACUAACCUAUGAUGACUUAAUUGUAAGUCGUCGAGUUUUAAUAAAAUAUUGAUAUUUCAAUUUUUCACCAGAUGACUGAAAUGUAAGUCGUCCAGAAAAGUCAAACUUUUGAAAUAAUUCAGUCAAAUGCAAAACUAAGCUAUGACGACUGAAAUGUAAGUCGUCUAGCCUUUUUGGAGUUUUUUUUUAACCAAACAAAAGUAGACGGCUUAUUUUUCAGUCGUCUCAGAUAACAGAUUUCAAAGUCAAUUGCAAAAAUAACCUCUGCGUUGACCAGACGACUUAUAUUUUAGUCGUCUGGAAGACUCAGAUUGAAGUGAUCUGCGUCGAUCUUUAAUAAACUUUCGUUUUCUUUGUUCUAUGUUUGCUAAUGUGUUUUAUUUUGACUUUUUCAGAUGAUGUGUCAGUUACAUGCAAUGUACGAAGAAUGGUUGUUGAAAGAUGGAUGUUGGAAUAUACAAGUCAACGAAAACUCUCUUUAUGGCAACAUGUCGUGUUAGUGGUUGUCAAUGGAAGAUCAGGGCAAGUGUGAAACAUGGUACUAAAACGUUUUGGGUAACUAAGUUUUACUAAAUUUGACUAAGUUUUUCAACACAAACUUGUAAAAAAUGUGAUAUGAUUUGACUAGUUACUAUUGUUUGUUUCCAUCUCUUAAGUAUUAUUGUUAUAGACAUCAAUGAUGAUUAUUGUUAUGAGUUGGAAGAAGGGUAAAAAUGCUUCUUAAAAUGUUAUAUCAAUAUGAGGCUACCAACAUUCUUGUUUACUAAGAUGGGAAGAAGGUCGUUGAAGUUUAUUAUUGCAUAUGGGAGAUCCAAAGAUAAGAAAAAAGCUAUUGAAGUAUAUUAUUUUAUUGAUUUGUAAAUGUGUAAACACAUAGUUAGCACAUAUAUUACAUCUUGGGAAACAUUAUACUAAUUUUACAAAAAAUUUACAAAUAAAAGAGUAGACAUACAAAUCACAAAACAAACCACAAACAAAACUAUUAUAGAUCUUUCAUCUACAAAGACAAGGUUGAACUCCACUUGAUAUGAAAGAAGACUUCCUGGAAGUCGUCUGGAAGACUUCCUGAAAGUCGUAUGGAAGACUUCUUGAAAGUCGUCUAGCGCAUUGUAUUUUAGACGACUAACAGGUAAGUAGUCCCAGAAGUCUUCUAGAUCUGAAAAACCUGUAUAUCUGAAAAACCUUCAUAUCAAAAAUCGUUCAAAUGGCUUAAAAACAGAGAAAUGAGUGAAAGAUUAGAUAAAUCUACCUUUAAAUGAGUGGAAGAUGAGAGCCAUCUGAUUAAAAACCUCCAAAAAAGAUAGAUUAGUGAGAAAGGCAUGAGACAAAACUGAAAAAUUCAUAUAAAGUUUGGUGUUUUCAAGUCAAAGAGAUUAGAGUGGGUUUGAAGAGUUUUAGUUUGAAAAAAAAAGUAAGAACUUUAUACAAUAUAAAGUUACCAAAUGAAGAAAAAACAGACAUAAAAACUUACCAAAACGGUCAGAUCUGUUAUGAAAUGGAGAGACAUGGGAGAAGACUCCGUCAGAUGACUUUCAGGAAGUCCAGACGACCUCCUGGAAGUCGCCUGGAAGACUUCCUGGAAGUCGUCUAGCGCAUUCUAUUUUAGACGACUAACACGUAAGUUGUACCAUACGUCUUCCACAUCUGAAAAACCUGCAUAUCCAAAUCCAGAUCUGAAAAAUCUGCAUAUCCAAAAACGUUCAAAUGGCUUAAAACAGAGAAAAUUAGUGGAAGAUUAGAUAAAUCUACCAUUAUAAAACACACAAAAAUACAUAUCUAAAAUUGAUAGAUUUACCUUUAAAUGAGUGGAAGAUGAGAACCAUCUGAUUAAAAACAUGCAAAAACAAGAUAAAUUAGUGAAAAAGACAUGAGACAAAAACAAUAAAUUGAUAUAAAGCUUAGUGUUUAUAAGUUCAAAGAGAUUAGAGAGAGGUUGAAGAGUUUUAAAAUGAUGAACAUUACAUUUUUGUUGCAGCCAUUUGAGAGAAUGAAAGAGAAUGUGUAAUUUUUUCUUUAUAUAGGGAGACAAGAAAUCCAAUUAGGUUAAAUAUUUUUGAUUCAGACGACUUCCUAUUCAGGCGACUUCCUAGACGACUUACUUGUAAGUCACCCAGAAGACUUUAAUAUUUUUAGCUGGAAACUAAAAUAGAAGACUUCCUAGACGACUUACAAGUAAGUCAUUUGGUUUAAAUUAUUUAAGCGGGAAAAUAUUUUUUCUUAAAAUUUUAGGCGGGAAUAUUUGGACGACUGAAAUAUAAGUCGUCUGAGUAAAAUUAUUCACCAGAAGACUGAAAUAUAAGUCGUCCACAUCCUAAACAUAACCCCUAAACUUAAUUAUCUAAUUAAACACUUCAUAAAAUCAAAUCAAACUUGAAAAGUGGUUACUAUACACAGAAAUAAAUAAAUAUAGGUGGAAAUUAAUUUUUGAAAAAAGCAUUUCAGCUUUUCCAAAUCUAACCCUGAGAAUACAUACAAUACUACAACAUAUGUUUGCCAAACCCCUAAACUAAAGAAUAUCAUGAUUCACUAUUUCCACUCAUCUAUCUUGAAAACAAAUCAAUUUUAUCAUAUCUUAAUUUAUAUCACUUAAAACUGUUUAUAAUUACAAGAUUUUUAUUUUUCACUCAUCAAAAUAUUUUUUACAAAAUUUAUAAACUAUUUUUAAGAUAAACUGGUACCAGACGACUUACUUGUAAGUCGUCCAGACUACUUCCAACAUCUCAGACGACUCAGACGACUUACUGAGGCUAUAUUCGUAAAAAUGGCUUCUGUUUUUUUGUUUGGUCACAAGAGGCUGAAUUGUAAUUUCACAAGGCUUUUAUGUUAGUUUUGCAUUUGAUUCAAGUUUGGGUAUAGAUUUGGGGUUAAAAUCAAGUUAUGGGUUAGUUUUGGCAAAUUCCCCAAAAAAUAAUGGGCUUAUGCUAUUAAGAAAAAUUGGAAGUCCAUUAUAUUAUGAAAAAUUAUCUAUUUAGGCCAACUUUAAAAUAUACGAAAAUAGUCCAAUCUAAUCUAUAAUAUUAUUUGCGAAGUAAAUUUUAACAACGGAGCUCUCACGUUGAAAGUUAGAACGGUUAAUAUCUAUACUACCCUUAAUGAAUUUUAUAUAUAAUUUAUUAUAUAAUCAAAAACGAAUUUUUAUUAAUAAUAUUUUUUAAAGAUAAUUCCUAUGUAUUUUGUUGUUAUCUUAAAAUAUAUUUUCAAUUAUAAAAUUUAAAAGUAGGAUAUAAAACAAUUUAAAAUAAAUUAAGUGGUUAAAUUCAAUGUUACCCUUAAUGAAUUUUAUAUAUAAUUAAUUACAUAAUUAAAAACGAAAUUUUAUUUAUAAUAUUAGAUUUUUUUUUAAAUAAGAUAAUUCUUAUAAAUUGUGUUGUUAUCUUAAUUUUUUUUUCAAUUAUAAAAGUUAGGAAAAUAACAUAUAAACAAUUCAAAAUUAAAUAUUAAUCAACUAAAUUUGUAUAAAGAUGUUUUUUGAAAAUAUUUCUAAUAUGUGAAUGUUUUCUUUUAAAAUUUUUUCACAAUAAUAAACAUAUAUAUUUUAAUUAAAUUUUUCGUCAUAUAUAUAUAUAUAUAUAAUUUUAUGUUUGAUUUAUUUUUUUGAAAAUAUAAAUAAUAAGUUAUCAUGUUGAUUUUUUAAUUAAUAAAAAAUAAAUUAAUAAAUAUUUUUAAAAUGAUUAAGUCCGCAUGUGCGGGCAAAACACCUAGUUACCUUAAAAUAUCUUUUGUUUAAAAUAAUCAUAAAACAAAAUUUUAAACUUUAUAUACAUAUUUCAAAUCAAAAUAAUAAUUUAAAAUUGAUUUAUAUCAAAAAUUGAUUCAAAAAUAUACAUAUGUUUAAAAAAUAAAUUUUACUAAAAUAUUUUCCAAUAACCAUUAUUAAAAAAAAUGUUUCAAUAUAUAUAAGAAAAAUACAAUACAAAACCCAAUUUUAAAUACCAACUUAAAUUAUGGUUUUUAUAUUUGACAUUAAGUUUUAAAAAUAUAAUAUAUAUGAUUAUUUAUAUGAUGAUAGGUAUAAAAUACUAUUAAAUUAUAUGAUUACUUAUAUAAUGAUACGUAUAAAAUACGAUUAUAUGAUGACACAUAUAUGAUACAUUAUAGUGACGUAUAAAAUAACAACAUAUUUUUCAAAAAAAUACAUUAGUGCGUGCGCACAUAUUAAAAUCUAUUAUAUUUUACAAUUGGGCUUGUGUAAAAUCAAAGAAAACAUAAGAUUCUAAAACAUGUUUGGACAUCAGGGCCCGUAACAAAAUAGUGAUGUACUACUUAAAUCUCAAAAACGAAGACCGAAAGCAUAUAGGGUUUUGUCCUCACCGCAAUAGACCACCUAACUUUGCAAUAUUUGAUAUGUUUAGUCGAUCCUUUUGAAUCAAUCACCACAAGUUAUUUAGGGCCCAUAACAAAAUAGUGAUGUAUUAGAUCUCAAAAACGAAGACUGAAAGCAUAUAGGGUUUUCUUGUAGUGCUCGUCUUCGAUGUUGUGUAUGUGUGUCAUGCGAGUUGUCGUGUGGAGUUGGGGCUCUUGCUUCGCCGGAUUUUGGUAGGUUAUUCUCUUUGCUUUCUUUGUGGUGUUGCUGAUGUGUUCUCUGGUGGUUGCAGCGUGUGGGGCUUCUUGGUGGCGGAGGCGUCGGUCCGCCUCUCCGUGUUCCCCGGUGGUAGCGGGUUGGUGCUUGAGCUACUCCGGUUCGCUAUUGCUCCGUCUUUUGCUCUGGUCAUUGCUCUGCACUUCUCGGAUCGAAUAGUGGUCGGUGAUAGUGGCAUGUUGCGUUCCUCACUCUUCUCAAAUAAUCUCAGCAGCUUUGUGUUCUUAGCUUGUGGUCAGUUACGGUUCAAGUGGGUCACUUGGUGCGUUAGUUGGACAACAAGUUUCAGAUUUUGGCUAUAGUUUUGUCUCUUCAUGAGGAUUUUCCGUCUAUGAUAUGUCAUCUUUAUAAGGGUUAUGUGUGAAGAUGAAGCAAUAAGAAACAAGAUGGUUGGUUAAGGUCUCAAGACAAUGGAGAUACCACUACAAGGGACAAGCAUGCAUGGUUGGUUAAGGUCUCAAGACAAUGGAGAUGCCACUACAAGGGACAAGCAUGCAUGGUGGGUUAAGGUCUCAAGACAAUGGAGAUGCCACUACAAGGGACAAGCAUGUAUGGUGGAUUAAAGUCUCAAGACAAUGGAUUAUUAGUUUAUCAUAUCUCAUCUACCAUUUGCCAUACUUGUAACCCUUAUAUAUAUGGGAUGUUCCCAUAAGCAAAUCAAUUAAGCAAAUAAGAUUCUCCUUAUUUACUCUAUCUCUCUCUACUUUCUAGAUUAAACAUCUCUCUCUCUCUUGUUCUUCACUAUGUUCUUCAAUUUCUAACAUGGUAUCAGAGCAUCCAAGCUCUUGAACACCAAACUGCUUCCGCAAAUUUACUCUAUUCACCUUACUCUUUCACUUGUUUGGUUUACUUUCUUCAUUUCUAGAGAACAUAUCUUGGCUUCCCUUGUUUUCUCUCUUGCCUAGCCUCAGAAAUUCAAAUUUCUCCUUGGCAAAUUUUUUAUUUUUUACCCGCUAGACAAUAGCAAGCAAAGAUGGAGCAGCACAAGCUAGUUAGGAUUCCAGUCAUCCUGAAAGGUCCUAACUACAUUACCUGGUCGAGAUUGACCAGGACAGCUCUUGGAGGAAGAGGUCUAUGGGAGCACAUCACCACAAGUGAGGCCCCAAGACAAAUCACCCAAGGAGAAGAUGGCAAGGAGGUUGUAGUGGUAGAUGAAGGCAAAUGGGGUCAGGAGGAUCUCAUGGUGCUGUCUAUCUUGCAAGGCUCACUUGAUACUCCUAUCAUGGAGUCUUACUCACAUUGUGAGACUGCAAAGAAGCUAUGGGAUACCUUACACAAGGUAUAUGGCAACACUUCAAACCUCACCAGAAUUUUUGAGGUUAAGAGGGCAAUCAACAACUUACAGCAAGAGGAGAUGGACUUCACCAAGCACCUUGGGAAGUACAGCCAGCUGUGGUCUGAACUUGAGAUGCUGAGACCAAGUACCACUGAUCCUAGUACACUAGAAGAGAGGCGUGAGCAAGACAAGGUCUUUGGAUUGCUUCUCACACUCAACCCAAGCUUCAAUGAUGUACUUAAACACAUAUUGAGAGCUAAAGAGCUUCCAAGCUAUGAUGAUGUGUGUGCUCAACUUCGGAAGGAGCUAGGCUCAGAUGGUCUCUUUGGUGGAAAAGGGGAACUGUCUAUGGCAAACAAAGCUGAGAAGAUGGAGAGUGCUUCAGUCAACAAAGCACACUUCAAACCAAGAAGAGGAGGAGACAAGUCUGUGACUUGUGAGCACUGCAAGAAUCUAGGCCACUCCAAAACCAAUUGUUGGAUCCUCCAUCCUCACCUCAGACCUGCUUCAACCAACAGAUACAACCAGGCCAAAGCACAUGAAGCAAGAGCUCAUGAAACCACAGUACCAGGCUCCAUGCGCAUAGGAGAAGAUGGAAGAGCUAUGAUCUCAACCACCCACACUGGUGGAUCCACAUCCCAUGCCAUGUCCCAGCCAUCCCCUGAUGAUGCCUUCAUCCGCAAGUCAGACAUUGAAGCCCUUAUCAAAGCUAUCAAUGCAAACUCUGGUAACAUCAGUGUCAAUGCUUUAAAUUCUAUUCACAGUGCUUCACAUACUACUAGACCUUUGAUCAUCGAUUCGGGAGCUUCUCAUCAUAUGAUUAGGGAUGCUAGACUGAUUAGUGAUGUUAAACCUGCUCUAGGGAGUGUAGUGAUUGCUAAUGGUGAUAGAAUUCCAAUUGAAGGAGUAGGAAACUUGAAACUGUUUGAUAAGGAGUCUCAAGCUUUUUAUAUGCCUACUUUCACAUCCAACUUAUUAUCUGUUAAGAGAGCAACCAAUGAUCUAAAUUGCAAUGUUAUUUUCAGUCCUAAUGAUGUGUGCUUUCAGGAUAUUAAGACCAGGAAGAUGCUGGGAAAGGGUGUGAGCAAGGGAGAGCUUUACUUGCUUGAAAACACCAAGCUUUCAAAUUUAUCUUGUGCUUUCAAUUCUGCUUCUGUGUUAGCUAGUGAUGUUUUAUGGCAUGCUAGAUUAGGUCAUCCUCAUUAUCGUGCCUUAGGACUGAUGUUACCUAAUCUAUCUUUAAAGAGUGGAAGUUGUGAGGCUUGUAUUCUUGGUAAACAUCAGAGAUCUGUUUUCCCUAAUUCUAAGACUAUUUAUGAAAAUUGCUUUGAUCUUGUGCACUCUGAUGUUUGGACAGCACCUUGUAUGUCUAGGGAGAACCAUAAAUAUUUUGUUACAUUCAUAGAUGAAAAAUCAAAAUAUACAUGGCUCACCUUGAUUCAAACUAAAGAUAGAGUUUUAGAAGCUUUUAUUAACUUCCAAAACUAUGUAUCUAACCAUUUCAAUUCCAAGAUCAAAAUUUUUAGGUCUGAUAAUGGCGGAGAAUAUACAAGCACUGCUUUCAAACAUCACUUAGCAAAACAUGGCAUAAUCCAUCAAACAAGUUGCCCAUACACACCACAACAAAAUGGAGUUGCUGAAAGGAAGAAUCGCCAUCUUAUGGAGGUUGCAAGGAGCAUGAUGUUCCAUACCAAUGUUCCAAAGAGGUUCUGGGGAGAUGCUGUGGUCUCAGCAUGUUAUUUGAUCAACAGGAUCCCCACCAAAGUCCUCCAAGAUAACUCUCCCUUUCAGGUAUUAAACAAAAUAAAACCUCCAAUUGAUCACUUGCGUGUUUUUGGGUGUGUGUGCUAUGUCUUGAUACCAGGGGAACAGAGAAACAAGCUUGAAGCCAAGAGUGUCAAAGGCAUGUUCAUAGGAUAUACUCAUGCGCAGAAGGGGUACAAGUGCUACAUACCUGAAUCAAGAAGAGUUAUGGUCUCAAGGGAUGUUAAGUUUGUGGAAUCAAAGGGAUACUAUGAUGAGAAGAGUUGGGAAAGCCUUCAGGAUCUCUCACAAGGAUCUUCAGAUAGGGCAAACAACUUGAGAAUCAUUCUGGAAAACCUAGGCAUCAGCCAGCCUCAAACAAGUGGCGUACCGAGCACUUCACAUAUACCUCCAGUUGUGGAUGAAGCUACAUCAAUUGAAGAAGCAGUCCAUCCUGAUCAUGAGGGGGGAAACCAACCUAAUUUGCAAGUUAUCCAUGAGGAAGCUAUCCCUGAAGAAGAUAUCCAUGACGAAGCUAUCCACGAGGAAGCUAUCCAAGAAGAAGCUAUCCAAGAAGAAGUUGUUAAUGAUCAAGAUGGAAUGCAACAAGAAGUUCAACCAUUAAGGAGGAGUACAAGGGUGAAGAAACCAUCUCAGUGGAUGGACACCAAAGUAUACUUCAACAACAAUGCAGUAGCUCAUCCUAUCCAAGCAACAUGUUCUUUUGCGAGACUAUCUGAAGAGCAUGUAGUCUUCAUCAGCAACCUAGAUCAAGAGUAUGUACCAAAGACUUAUGAAGAAGCCAUGAAGCAUGAAGAGUGGAGAGCGUCAGUUGGGGAUGAAGUUGGUGCCAUGAUCAAGAAUGAUACUUGGUAUGAAACUGAGCUCCCCAAAGGAAAGAAAGCUGUUACAAGCCGUCUACUCUUCACCAUCAAGUACCUUGCCAAUGGGAAACCAGAAAGAAAGAAAACAAGGCUAGUUGCAAGAGGAUACACCCAAGUCUAUGGAGAAGACUAUCUGGAUACAUUUGCACCAGUAGCUAAACUCCACACCAUAAGAAUUCUACUCUCAUUGGCAGUGAACUUGGAAUGGGAUUUAUGGCAGAUGGAUGUCAAAAAUGCUUUUCUUCAAGGAGAGCUGGAGGAUGAGGUUUACAUGAGGCCACCUCCGGGUAUGGAAGACAUGGUCAAGCCAGGGAAUGUCCUAAGGUUGAAGAAAGCAAUAUAUGGGUUAAAACAGUCACCAAGGGCUUGGUACCACAAACUGAGUACAACUCUCAAUGGAAGAGGGUUUGUAAAGUCAGAAGCUGAUCAUACACUCUUCACACUCACAAGCAAGCAAGGAAUUGUGGUGAUUCUUAUUUAUGUAGAUGAUAUUAUCAUCACAGGAAGUGACAAGGAAGGUAUUAUCUCAACCAAAGUCUUUCUUAAGUCUACUUUUGAUAUUAAAGAUUUGGGUGAGCUAAAGUACUUUCUAGGGAUAGAAAUAUGCCGCUCUAAAGAGGGGCUUUUCUUAUCUCAAAGGAAGUACACACUUGAUCUUUUGAAUGAGGCAGGAAAUCUUGGAGCGAAAGUAGCCAAGACUCCACUAGAAGAUGGGUAUAAGGUGCUGCGUGAGGGGGAGAUUGAAGACAAGCCCUAUACUGACGUUAAACACUAUAGAAGAAUUGUAGGAAAGCUGAUAUACCUCACCAUCACCAGGCCUGAUGUAUGCUUUGCAGUUAACCAAGUAAGCCAGAAUAUGCAAGCUCCCAAGAUACACCAUUGGAACAUGGUUGAAAGGAUCCUAAGAUACCUAAGAGAGGCGCCAGGGCAAGGAGUGUGGAUGGGAUGCAACAAAAAUACAGAGAUAGUUGGGUAUUGUGAUGCUGAUUGGGCAGGAGACAGAGUGGAUAGGAGAUCCACUACCGGCUAUUGUACAUUUAUUGGAGGCAAUCUUGUCACUUGGAAGAGCAAGAAACAGAAGAUAGUGUCAUGCUCAAGUGCUGAAGCUGAAUAUAGGGCAAUGAGGAAGCUCACUAGUGAGUUGAUUUGGAUCAGAAACCUACUUCGAGACUUGGGUAUAGAGACAUCAACUCCAAUCACCAUGCAUUGUGAUAAUCAAGCAGCAAUACACAUAGCUUCCAACAGUGUGUUCCAUGAGAGGACUAAACACAUUGAGGUGGAUUGUCAUAAAGUUAGGCAAGCAGUGGAACAAAGGAUCAUCUUACCCUGCUACACAAGAAGUGAGGAUCAACUAGCUGACAUCUUUACCAAGGCUGCAAGCACCAAGGUUUGCGAGUUCAUACAUUCCAAGUUAGGACUCGUAGAUUUUUCAUCACACUAAUCCUCUUAGCCAUGAAGUGUUCUACUCUUUUUCCUUGGCUUGGUUUUUAUCCCAUGAGGUUUUUCCAAGCUAAAGGUUUUAAUGAGGGAAUGCUUCAUGGUUUCCAAGUUUGACCAGUCCCUAUGGUCAAGCUUGGGGGGGAGUGUGAAGAUGAAGCAAUAAGAAACAAGAUGGUUGGUUAAGGUCUCAAGACAAUGGAGAUACCACUACAAGGGACAAGCAUGCAUGGUUGGUUAAGGUCUCAAGACAAUGGAGAUGCCACUACAAGGGACAAGCAUGCAUGGUGGGUUAAGGUCUCAAGACAAUGGAGAUGCCACUACAAGGGACAAGCAUGUAUGGUGGAUUAAAGUCUCAAGACAAUGGAUUAUUAGUUUAUCAUAUCUCAUCUACCAUUUGUCAUACUUGUAACCCUUAUAUAUAUGGGAUGUUCCCAUAAGCAAAUCAAUUAAGCAAAUAAGAUUCUCCUUAUUUACUCUAUCUCUCUACUUUCUAGAUUAAACAUCUCUCUCUCUUGUUCUUCACUAUGUUCUUCAAUUUCUAACAUUAUGGUUAGAUGGAUGUAUACGGUCGUGUGUUGGUUUCCCGCAUUGACCCCUAAACACUAGGUGGACUAUAGAUGAGGUAAUUUCCGGCUUAAACGGCUGAACAACGACUUUAUAGGCUUACAGCUUUUCCUUGUACCGCUGGUGAGUUCAUUUAUCUCGCGCGCCUGCUUUGGGCUAGUGCUUGAAUUCUUCAUUUGGGAGCGUUUUGUGUAGCUGUUGGAAGCUAUAGGAACCAUAGUAUUCAAGGUUAAAGGGUCUUUUUCCGAGUUUAUUCAUCUAGUUUCCGAGUUGGUAGGUCUGAGCCCGUCUCAUUAUCAAUCAUGUUAUCAUUGCGCUUUUUUGCUUUGGUCUAUUACUUUGUUGUUGUUUGUAGCAUUUUUUUUGUUUAACUGUCCGUAGUUGUUCUUGUAUUUUGUUAUUUUUUUUAUUUCUGCGACUGGUUCAAAUUUGUAUCGUCUGUCAAAACUCAAAAAUGUGGUAUAAUAGUUAACAUCUUACGGAAAAAAAAAGGAAUUUACAAAAGGUCACGUGAUGUACCAUGCAUGGAUCAAUGGAUGUAUACACGCACACGUGCCUAACACAACAACAACAGUUAGACGAGGCCAGACCCCAAGUGGUGUUCAUCGAGACGUGUGUAGUAGUGAACCUGUCCGGUUCUUUCCCGUCUAUAAAAGAUUCUUCCCGCGUUCGUGUAACUGGUCAUUGGUCAAACGUUACUGAUUUUACCCACUGAAAUUCAAAAUCAAUGUGUGACUUACAGUUGACUUUUUAUUUCAGCUAAAUGUUUUCAAAAAGAGUAGAGCUUGGCUGAGAUUUUCUUCCAACAAUCCACAUAAUUUUUAUUUAUUUUUCUUUCUUAUCGGUUACGCCUUUGUUGGAGUCAAAACCGGUCACGACGGAAUCAAUGCCUGAAAGUUCCCGGAAAACCAACUCUCGAUCGAUCCUUGAAAACUAGACAUUCCCAGAAAACGGUUAAUCAAGUACAAGACAGUUUUUCGCGGAUGCGAACCGAGGAAUGUCGAGAAGAGGAUCAGUCUGGAUGAGGUCUCGAUCGUAAGCGAGGACCGUCUCAACCGAGGUCACCUCGUUUAACUAUACGGGGAAUUGGAAUCCUUUCGGAAAAACCAACGGCUGUUUCUUAGGAAAAAUCGUAAAAACGUCUAAGUCCCAAAACGGCCCAAAAGGGGCCUGAACCGCGCUAAACGGCCCACUUACGAUUUUAGAACAUGAUCGAGCCUAAGGCUGAUAUGACGGUCUAUUUUUUAUUCACAAGAAAAGAUAAAUGUCAAGUUUCCGAAGAUAAUCAUGAAGGGUGACGAAAAAUGGAAAAGUCCGUCUCGCGACGAAUCCGGCCCAGGAAAAGGUACAGACCGACCUAGAGAGAGUAUAUAAGGAGGGCUUAAGGCGAGGAGCAAGAGAGAGCUUUCUCAGAGCAAACUUAAUAUUUAGAGCAAUUUAGGCAUUUUUUUCCGUUUUUACUAUCGAGCUGCGACUCGACUAGGUUAGAACUUAGGUGGCUAGCCUAGCGAACGCACCGACAGCUCUCGUGGCCUAGGAUCUUACCUGUUGUUCACGCUCAAACGCGAAUUCGGAAAUAAGACAUCUUUGUUCUCUUUUCGCUCUUUUACGAUUUAUUAGUUUCGACUCUUUCAUAUUGAUUGUGUUGUGUGUGACAAACAGAUAAUCGGGACCUUUAGAGAAGGCUAGGUUAACUUGGAUUUCCUCCGAUUAACAAAUCUCGACGGUGUAAAUUCCGGUUCCCACAGCCUUCAAACCUAUUUACCCGUAAAAAGUAUAUAUACAUAUCUCAACAUUGAAUGUCAGUGUUAAAAAAAAACAUUCAAAACACGUGUAUCUAUGUUUAUAUAAUGGUCUAGUAUGCUUAGAUAUAAAAGAAAAAGUUUUGACUACACUGAUUCAUUGUGUUUAUGUGGUAAAGUAAAAAGGUUUGACUUAGUGUAGUCGAUCUCCAGAAAAAGCAAGUAGAAGAAUCUUACCUUCUUAUCUGUUUAUAUAAAUGCAACGUAUUGCACAGGUGGAUCUAACUCUCGGUUUUCUUCUUGAAGAAACUAGUAAAAACCGAAUUAUUAGUUUCUUUUCUUUUCCCAUGGAAUCAUUGUAACCUAGUGAUUAAGAUUUAAAAGCUUUUAUAUCCAGGUUUGGGAUUCAAAUCCAGACUAUACAAUUUUUUUGCAGAUUACGGAAAAUUCAGGUUUCAAGUCUCGUAAAGAACGAUUUAUUAAACAAUUAUACACUUACAAAAGAUCUCCAACAUGGUGCAAGUAAAUCUGGUCAGACGUGAAUCUUAAUAGGACGAUUCAGGUGAUGCAGUUAGGCGUAGAUCUUCAUAAUACAGAUAGUGUUAUCAGUUGUCGAAUCGUAUAUGUAAUAUUUUUCAUAUCAUAAUUGUAAUAUCAUAAUAAAUCAACGUUAAAAAGAAUCAAUGAAAAAAAAAUCAAUUAUAGAAAGUAACAAUUGCCAUAGCAAUGACUUAUGAUGUACAAAUCAUAGCCAUCGAUUACUGUUAAGCUACACUUUAGCCUUAUUUUAUUUUUAUUAAUUGGAAAAACAGAUAUACAACAUCAACCACACAAAAUGAAUAUGGAAUAAGUUUUAAAAUUUUCUCUUACAUUGAAAUGAUAAUUGAACGUGUAUAUAUUGGAAUGGAAAACAUUAAAUUUAAAAUGUGGAUAUAAAGACGGUCAAGUUAUUUUUAUGUUUGACUAGUAAUGUAAUUUAACGCACAAACACAUAAUACAUACUACAUCUGUAGAAUAAAGCUGCAGGUUAUAUAAAUUGACCUUAGGAGUAAUCAUUUACACGAAGUCUCUCUGAUUAUUAUUUUUUUUCGUUUUCUCGAUUUCGUCUCUAUCCUUCUCCUUUCUCUCUAUCGGGAACAAGAGAGGCUGAGAAAAAAUCGUGAGAUAUGGUUGAGACGAGACGUAGCUCUUCCGCUUCCAAGCGUUUCUGUUCUUCUUCUUCAUCCCCUGAACCGUCGUCGUCGUCUCCACGCCCCACCAAGCGAUCUAAAGUCAAGAUCGACGCUGCUAUUGAAUCUGUACGUAGCUCUUGUUCCGAAUCUGAGUUUUUUUUUUGUUUUUAAUUUCGAAUCUGAUGUUUUGAUAACCUAGGCGGCGGCGGCGGAACCGGCGGGGUCUUCGUCGGCGAGCGAGGUUCCGAUUGAGAAUCAAGGACCCGUUUCGGAUCCUGGAUCGGAAUCUGGAGAGCCGGAGCUUGGAUCCUCUGAUCCGCAAGGUGUGGAUGCGGAGAAGCCUGUUUUAACUGAUGUGCCUGUGAUGGAGAUCUCUCCUGAAGCCGACGCUAACCCUGAAGCUGAUGUCUUGGCGACACCUACAGUAGCAGGUUUGAUGUUCUGUCUCAUGCUUUUGUCUAUUUCUUUUUUUUUUCAAGAAAGAAUUAUCCUUUCUAAUGUUUUUUUUUUUUUUUUUUCUAAUGUCUUGAUUGUGGUUUUAGGUGAAGUGGUGGUUUGGACUCUUUUAAUACUUUUUUUUUCUCUUGACUACGUUACUUUUGUUUCUAACUGUCCCAAUGCUUGUUUCUCUGUGAUUUCAGAACCCACACCGUAUCAUGAGGGGCCCUGUAUUCACUGUUGGACGCCGGGGAUGUGAUUUAUCUAUCAAAGACCAAUCUAUGCCCAGCACCCUGUGUGAGCUGAAGCAGUCUGAUGUAAGUACAUCUUAGUUGCCCCCUUUUUUUUUUAUCUCAGUCUCUUAAAAGGACAAAAGCUUCUUUUUUUUCUUACAAUAAUGAUUAUGCAGUACGGAGGUCCAUCUGUUGCAACAUUGGAGAUAACAGGGAACGGAGUUCUCGUUCAGGUGAAUGGCAAGUGUUACCAGAAAAGUACUUGUGUUCAUCUUCGUGGUGGUGACGAGGUCAUCUUCACCAAUUUUGGGAGACAUGCUUACGUAUCCUUUAUGAAGUUGUGUGAAAAUUUAUUAUAUUCGCUUUUAUGCUAUCUAUAAUGUUCUUGUCAUUUAUCAUUAGUCGGAAGACAUUCCAAACUCUUCCAAACUCGGGUCAGGUAGCCAAACUCGGGUCAGGUAGUGUGGUAACAGUCCAAAGCCGACUGAAUCAGCCGAUAGGGCAUAUAAAAAAAUUCAAUGGUUUCUCGGUAACUUUUCUUUAACGGAUUUCUAGAUAUUUCAACCUCUUAAAGAUGAAAAUCUAGCUGCUGCUCCUGAUAGAGCUUCUUCAGUGACUGUAUGUGAAGCUAGAGGUGCACCUCUGAAAGGAGUCCACGUUGAGACAAGAGCAGGAGACUCCUCAGCUACUGAUGGAGCCUCUAUAUUAGCAUCUCUGUCAAAGUACCGCAACUUCCAUCUCCUACCACCAAUUGCCAAAUCUGCUAAAAAGCAGCAGAAUCAGGAGGCUCCUGUGGUACCUUCCAGCUGCAACGAUUGCGUCUCAGAUACCGAGAUGAACGAUGCUGAUAGUAACAAUGAUCAUGCUGAUAUUGCUUCUGUGGAGAAAACUGCUGAUGCCAACGAGAAUCUGAAUGCCGAUGGGAGUGGAUUGGAUCCUUUUCAAGAAGCUGCUGAUGGAAAUGCUCCUGGUUCUGGUUAUGAGAUUAGACCAAUCUUGCGCCUCCUCGGGGAACCUUCUUCAGUUGAUAUAAGGGGCAUCUCCAAACUGCUGGAUGAGAGAAGAGAAGUGCGAGAACUCCUUAAGGAAUAUGAUCUUUCAUCUACCAUAUCAACUAGACGCCAGGCGUUUAAGGAUAGCCUGCGAGAAGGAGUACUCAAUGGUCAAGAUAUAGAUGUUUCUUUGGAGGACUUCCCAUAUUUUCUUAGGUCUUGCUGCUAUAUACAUUAUGUUAUAUCUCUACCAUAUAUUUUUUCCUAUGAUGGUUUUGAUGAUUUAUAGCCUAAACAAUUUGUGAAUUUUUCCUCAGUGCUACGACAAAGGAUGUUUUGAUAGCGUCGAUGUAUGUCCAUAUGGAGGUUGGAAGUAAGUUUGCAAAGUAUGCAUCAGACUUGUCUACUACAUGUCCACGUAUCUUGCUCUCUGGACCAGCAGGUAAUGAGGCUUUACUAUUAGUACUUGGUUUGAGAUGACUAUUAUUCUAACAACGUUUUACCUUAUGAAUUGUAUUUAGGAUCUGAGAUAUAUCAGGAAAUGUUGGCAAAAGCGCUUGCAAAAAGGUUUGGGGCCAAAUUGAUGAUCGUUGACUCUCUUUUGUUGCCCGGGGUAAUAUUCCCUUUUUCCCUUUACUUUCUCUUUAACGUUGUUUUAGUUGUUAAAAUAUUUCAUGUCAAGUUGGUUAUUAUUGGAUAGAAGAUUUUUGAUCCAAAAGCUACACUUUUAAAUAAAAAACCAAAAAAAAAAACAGAAUUUAAUACAUCAAUUUUCUAGAUUAGAUAAUUUUUAAUAUUAAUUAUAAUUUAUAUCUAUUUUAAGAUUUUUAAAUGUUUUUUUAAAAAAUUAACUUUAAAAUUAAAAUUUGUUGGAUGCAUAUUAGUCCGCGGUCUUCAUCUAGUUAUUAAAAUAUUUCAUGUCAAGUUUGUCUUAAGCGGUAUUACUGACUUUUCUUCCCAAAUAGCUUAAGAUGUUAUAUCUGUCAGUGUUUAUCCGUCAUUGAUUUGUGCUGUUUCUGGAUGGCUAUAGGGAUCACCCGCAAAGGAAGCCGAAUCUUCUAAAGACGGUUCUAGGCGUGAGAGGCUCUCUAUGCUUGCUAAACGAGCUGUUCAGGCCGCACAAGCAUUGCAGCAUAAGAAACCAACUUCAAGUGUGGACGCUGAUAUAACAGGUGGCUCAACAUUGAGCUCCCAAGCUUUACCAAAGCAAGAAGUGUCAACAGCAACUUCUAAAAGUUACAUAUUUAAAGCAGGCAUGUUGCUUAACAUUCUUUGGUGUACCAAUCUUCAUCUGUUACUGAACCUGCAUUUUUCUCAUUUUUAGGUGACCGAGUAAAGUAUGUAGGUCCUUCAUCUUCUGCUAUUUCUUCUCUUCAAGGCCCACCGCUUAGGUAUUGUUUACGAUUUUUUCGAAGUCUUUCACAGAUUCAAAACUCAGAUCUAACACUUCUCUUUGGUAUUUAUUAAUAGGGGACCGACCGUAGGUUUCCAGGGGAAAGUACUCCUUGCAUUUGAAGACAACUGCUCAUCAAAAGUUGGGAUUAGAUUCGAUAGGCCUGUACCAGAUGGCAAUGAUCUUGGUGGCCUGUGUGAAGAAGACCAUGGCUUUUUCUGUGCUGGUAUGCUAUUUCCAACUUUGACCCAUCAUAUUAUUUUUACUAAUAUCAUUUUGUGUUUGCAGCUACCUCACUUCGGUUAGAUGGUUCCUCCAGUGAUGAUGCUGACAAACUCGCCGUUAAUGAAGUCUUUGAGGUAUAUAUUUUACUCUCUCAGUUAUGUGGAGUGCUACUCUAUCCACUUGUUGACCACUUGACUUAUUUUAUAGGUCGCACUUAGUGAGAGUGAAGGAGGGUCGUUGAUACUGUUCCUGAAAGAUAUUGAGAAGUCUUUGGUUGGGAACAGUGAUGUGUAUGCAACCUUGAAGAGCAAGUUUGAGAAUUUACCGGAAAAUAUUGUUGUCAUGGCCUCACAAACCCAGUUGGACAGCCGAAAGGAGAAAGUAAGAAACUCAUUUAAAAUCUUCUCUGCUUCUAUUUUGUUUUUACUGUACUGUUAACUAAAUUUUUAUUGUUGUUUUUUCAGUCACAUCCUGGAGGUUUCUUGUUUACCAAGUUUGGUGGCAACCAGACAGCAUUACUAGAUCUUGCAUUCCCGGUAUGGACCUAACUUAACUUAUCUUUGUAUCUUUUUGAGAGGUUGAAACUGAUUUUGAGAUCAUCUUGCAGGAUAAUUUUAGUAAACUGCAUGAUAGGAGCAAAGAAACGCCUAAAUCCAUGAAACAGAUAACUCGGCUGUUUCCUAACAAAAUCUCCAUCCAGUUACCUCAGGUCUGAACCUUCUUCUUACUUUGGUACAUUUGUUAUUUUUUGUUUUCAUUAUCUUAUGCUCUCAAGAGAUAAUAGGAUGAGGCUUUGCUCUCGGACUGGAAGGAGAAGCUUGACCGUGAUACAGAACUUUUGAAGGUUCAGGCUAAUAUAACAAGCAUCCUAUCUGUGAGUAUCUUCUCAACAAGUCCUUCAGCGAUCUAACCGUUCCUAGCUUCUUUUUUUUGUUAAUGUUUUUUGUUAAUAAAUCCCCACAGGUCCUCACUAAAAAUCGUCUGGAUUGUCCUGACCUUGGAACCUUGUCCAUCAAAGAUCAAACCCUUCCAUCUGAAAGUAGGACUCUUAAUAUACCUUUUUUUUUUUUAUGAUUUGAUCUACUCCUUGGUACUAAACAAUUACUGAUAUGUGUGUUCUAGGUGUUGAGAAAGUGGUUGGCUGGGCUUUGAGCCACCAUCUUAUGAACUGCGCAGAACCUACAGUUAAAGACAACAAGCUUGUUAUCUCAGCAGAAAGGUAAGCAUCCUUGUAUAUACUGAAACACUGUAGCUAAAAUCCAGCUUAGAUUUUGCAAAUAACACUUUGGCAUGUGUUGCAGCAUUACAUAUGGCCUGCAGAUGUUACAUGGCGUUCAAGAUGAAAACAAGAGUCUGAAGAAAUCCCUCAAGGUAUUAUUAUGGAACUUCAUAUCUUUUCUUCUAAGUUAGUAAGUUACGGAUCUAAGAGUUGUUCUUUGCUAUGCUGUUUCAGGAUGUUGUGACAGAGAACGAAUUUGAGAAAAAACUCUUAUCAGAUGUCAUUCCCCCUAGCGAUAUAGGUGUGUCCUUUGAUGAUAUUGGGGCUCUUGAGAAUGUGAAAGACACACUGAAGGAGUUGGUGAUGCUUCCUCUUCAAAGACCUGAAUUAUUUGACAAAGGCCAGCUAACUAAGGUACCUUUCAUUGCUUUACGGUUUGUUUCUCUGUCUUUUUCUGGAAGUCAAAUAUAUAAAUUACGUUUUACUGCAGCCUACGAAAGGUAUCCUGUUGUUUGGACCUCCUGGUACCGGGAAGACGAUGCUGGCAAAGGCAGUAGCAACUGAAGCUGGUGCAAACUUCAUCAAUAUCUCAAUGUCCAGCAUUACUUCAAAGGUAUCUCUCCAACAGUGGUCUGAAUCUUUUGUUUAUGCUUUCUUUUGAAGAUUGUAUUUGACCACCUAACAAUUUGAAUGCUUUGUAGUGGUUUGGUGAGGGAGAGAAGUAUGUUAAAGCUGUCUUCUCUUUAGCAAGCAAGAUCGCUCCAAGUGUCAUAUUUGUUGAUGAGGUAUGUUCUGUUUCGCCACUUUGAAGCUAAGCUUUUAUGUAUUUUCUUAAUCUCUGAUGAUUGCUGAAAAAACAUUAUUAUUUAGGUGGAUAGCAUGUUGGGAAGACGUGAGAAUCCAGGAGAACAUGAAGCUAUGCGUAAGAUGAAGAACGAGUUCAUGGUAAACUGGGACGGUUUAAGAACAAAGGAUAGAGAACGAGUUCUGGUACUCGCUGCUACCAACAGACCAUUUGAUCUCGACGAAGCAGUUAUUAGACGGCUUCCCCGGAGGUAAACCUACAUUGUGCUGUGUCUCUUAAUGAAAGAUGAUUCCUCAUGUCGUAACUAUUGCUGAAUUGCAUACUUCUAUGUUUCAGAUUGAUGGUGAAUCUUCCAGAUGCGACUAACAGAUCAAAGAUCUUGAGCGUUAUUCUUUCUAAAGAAGAAAUAUCACCUGAUGUUGAUUUAGAAGCGAUUGCUAAUAUGACAGAUGGUUACUCAGGAAGUGACUUAAAGGUAUGUACUCAUCUCAUUGAAUCUCAAUCUCCUUGGCUUGUAAAAUGCUCACAUUCUCUCAUUUGGUUGCAGAAUCUUUGUGUAACUGCGGCACAUCUUCCAAUUCGAGAAAUACUGGAGAAAGAAAAGAAGGUUAGGUUUCCAACUUAGUGCAUUUACCACUGUUUUAAAAAUCAUUGCCGGCAAAUCAUUGUACGAAAUAACGUUUUUAGAAACAUUGUUAUAGGCGUCUGCCUAAACAAUAAUCCUUUAUAUAACACCUAAUUUCCUCUUAGAGAUACUUUGAACAUUUACUCAUUUACUUGCUAAACUUAUCAACUCAUCCUUCUCUAUAUACUGAGUGUUGUUUUGACUUCAGGAAAAAACCGCAGCUGAGGCUGAGAACCGUCCAACGCCUCCAUUGUAUAGCUGCACAGACAUUCGUCCACUGACAAUGGCAGAUUUCAAGGCUGCACAUGAACAGGUAGCUCGAAAAGAACAAUUGUUUUGUGUGCAUUGUGUUUAUAUAUAGAUGGAAAAAGGACUAAAUGAUCUUAAAUACAUGUAUAGGUAUGUGCUAGUGUGUCUACGGACUCAUCGAACAUGAACGAGCUUCAGCAAUGGAACGAGCUCUAUGGAGAAGGAGGAUCAAGGAAGAAGACGUCCUUGAGCUACUUUAUGUAGAAGAGACUGGAGUGAGAGAGGAGAGAUUUGUUGGUUUUUAAUCUCAUUUUGGUCCUUUGUUUAAUUUAUAAAAAUUUAUGUACAGAAGAGAGAAAAGAGUGUUGUUCGGUUUAUUUUCUAAUUCAUUCUCUUUCUCAACAUAAGAAGCUAAAAACAUUCGCUGUAUAAUCUAAUACAUGCGUAUGUAUAGAGGUUCGGAUGUUUUAAGGAUACAAACAUGCUUCUUGUUUACUUAUUUAAUUAGGCAGAUCUUAAGACCUAAUCUCAACUCUGGGAGAUAGAUAACCAUGGUGAAUGUUCGGUUAGCCGUAGAUGAGUUGUGCAAGUCUUGCAUCCCGAGCAUGCAGAUAGUCUGUGGAUGAUUGGAGAACCGUUCAUUAGUGGUAUAAUGAAGAUGUACGCUUCACCAUUCUUCUACAUGUCUUAAAAUGUCUCGGUAAAUCUUCUGUUUCCGUACAAAGAACAACAAAUUUUGUUUUUUUUUUGGGUUUUGUGGAGAUAGUAGAACAUUUGGAAUCUCCUUGUAUUUGUCGACACGGACGACCAACGAUGAUGAUGCAGUCAAGCUCCUUUUCAUGGUUAACAUUUGAAGGACCCUCGAUUAUAACUACGUUUUGUAAAUAUAAAAUUUAACCCUGUUCUAUUAUAUUAGUCAGUGGCAGAGGUUUCUAAAAAAAAAGUCAGUGGUUACAGCAGGUCGUCAAUCUAUUAUCUAAAUUUAGCUAUAUAUGAAUAGGAAAUGAUAAAUCGAAUUAAACCAUAUCUUGACAAGAAUACCAAAAUCAGUUAUACAAUACCAUCUUUCUUAUUAUAUAAAGCUUGGUUCUUCAAAAUUGCUAAUUAACAUGAAAUUUUUUUCUUUUUUAAAAUUCCUAAACAAGAAAUCUUAUUAUAUAAAGCUUGGUUCUUCAAAGUUGUUAAUUAACAUAACGAUGACACAUGGCAAUUAAAAAUUUAAGAUGGUGACAUGUAUUAAAAUCUAUCAUAAUUAAUAAUAUAAAUAUAAUAAGAUAAUAACACAAAAGAAUUAUUUAAUGGUAAUUUUCCUUUUUAAAUACUUAACAAAGAUAAUAAUAGCAAAAAAUUAUUUGAUGGUUUUUAGUUGACAAUAAUUUUCUUUUUUUUAAUUUUUUUCUUAAUAAUAUAAAUAUAAUAAGAUAAUAACACAAAAGAAUUAUUUAGUUAAAGCUGUCUUCUCUUUAGCAAGAGAUCGCUAAUUAACAUGACGAUGAUACAUGGCAAUUAAAAAUUUAAGAUGAUGACAUGUGUUAAAAUCUAUCAUAAUUAAUAAUAUAAAUAUAAUAAGAGAAUAACACAAAAGAAUUAUUUAAUAGUAAUUUUCCUUUUUUUAAAUACUAAACAAAGAUAAUAAUAGCAAAAAAUUAUUUGAUGGUUUUUAGUUGACAAUAAUUUUCUUUUUUUAAAUUUUUUUCUUUUUUAAAAUUCCUAAACAAGAAAUCUUAUUAUAUAAAGCUUGGUUCUUCAAAGUUGUUAAUUAACAUAACGAUGACACAUGGCAAUUAAAAAUUUAAGAUGGUGACAUGUAUUAAAAUCUAUCAUAAUUAAUAAUAUAAAUAUAAUAAGAUAAUAACACAAAAGAAUUAUUUAAUGGUAAUUUUCCUUUUUAAAUACUUAACAAAGAUAAUAAUAGCAAAAAAUUAUUUGAUGGUUUUUAGUUGACAAUAAUUUUCUUUUUUUUUUUUAAUUUUUUUUCCUUUUUUUAAAUUCCUAAACAAAAAAAUGUAUAAUAAUUUACUUAAUACUAAUUUUUCACUUUUUAAAAUCGUUUUUUAAAAUACUAAAUAAAGAUAACAACAAAAGAUUAUUUGAUAGUUUUUUUAGUUGACAAUAAUUUCAUUUUUAUAAUUUUUUUUUCCUUUUUAAAAUUCCUAAAAGAAAAUGUGUAUAAUUAUUUACUUAAUACUAAUUUUCGUUUUCUAAAAUAAAAAAAAAUAUAAUUGUGAAAAUUAGUUUGAUAGUAAUUAUCCGUUUAUAAAAUCUUCUAAAAAAAAAUUGUUAAAGAGUGUUUAAUUGUAGUUUUCUUUAUUUCUUCUUCAAACCUACAAAAAAAAGUAAAAUAAGUAUUUCAAAUAUUUUCAUAUAAUAAUAGACUAUUAUUUAAAUAGUAAAUUUUCUGUUUAAGAAAUCAUAUUGAAAAAAGGAUUACAAUUUUUUUUUGUAACUAAAAGGAUUACAAUUAUUCACAUCUAUAUAUAAUAUUAAACUCUCCUAUAUUUUAUCACCAAACAUAAUUGCUUAAUAUAUCAUAAUUAAUAAUAUAAGUAUAAUAAGAUAAUAACACAAGAAUUAUUUAAUAGUAAUUUUCCUUUUUUAAAAUUCUAAACAAAGAUAAAAGCAAAAAAAUUAUUUGAUAGUUUUUAGUUGACGAUAAUUUUAUUUUUUCUAUUUUUUUUCCUUUUUACAAUUCUUAAACAAAAAAACAUGUAAAAUAAUUUACUUAAUACUAAUUUUUCUUUUUCUAAAAUCAUAAAGAAAAUAUAAUUAUAAAAAUUUGUUUGAUAGUAAUUAUCCUUUUAUAAAAUCUUCUACACAAUAAAAUUGUUAAAAACUGUUUAGUUGUAGUUUUGUUUUUUCUUCAAAUCUAAACAAAAAAUGUAAAAAAAUUAUUUCAAAUAUUUCCAUAUAAUAAUAAACUUUCUUAUUUAAAUAGUAAAUUUUAUGUUUAAGAAAAUUUUAAUUUUUUUUCAUUUUAAUUUUUACUUUGGUUGAGUUUAGUUUAAAUAUUUAGGUAUGAGUGUUUUCUCCAGCCUUAAAUACAAAGUUGAUAACAAUUUACCUAUCCACCAUAUUAAAAUCAGAAUCUCUCUCAUACAAGAAAAACAUUAGGUGUGGUUUUUUAUUAUAUAACUUUAUAAUUAUCGUAAAAUAUGAUAUUAUUGUGCGUAAGUUAUUGACACAAUUAUGUGUGUUAGUUCCUAUAGACGAUAUAAAAUUGGUUAUUCUGUCAUAGUAUGUCAAUGUCAACAUCAAUUUAUUAUGUUACGUCAAAAACGAUUGAUCAAUGCAGUAUAAACGGUUUAAUAUGGUUAUGCGAGUUAGAUAAUAAUUUUAAAAUAAACAACAAUUGUUAUGAUUUUGAUUGUCAUUAGGGUUUAGUCAAAAAGUUUACUAGACACUUCUUACAAUAAGACUAUGUUUGAAAAAAAUAUAUUUACUAUUUUCUAACUGAAAUUGUUAUUUAAUUUGCUAUCAUGCAUUAUCAAGGAAACAAUGAAUUCAGAAGGUUAUUUAACACUAAAUCAGUUUAAAAUAUUAAAAGGUAAGAAAUUUGAAAAAAGAAUAAUGAACUUAUAGGAAGGGAUAUCUCAUACUUAAUAAAGGUAAUUAAAAAAAAAAUCUUUUAUAAAUUUUUAUUCAAAUUGAUUUUUUAUUAUAUAGGAAAAUACAAUCAAUGUUGUGUGCAUCAUUCUAUUCUUGAAAAGCUUGGAGAUGAACUAUGUGAAGGAAUUAUUAUCGACAUCUUUUAUUUAUAAUGUGCAAGAUUGAAGUAAGAACUAUAAAAUCUCUGAUCAUAAAUUUCAGAUAGGAGUGAUUGAGAGAACAACAACCUCAUAUUUGUGAAAUAACCGUUACCUCAAAUACUCUGUGAAAAAAAUUUGAUUUCAACUACAAAGAUUUUGCUCAACUUAAAGAUAUCAGAAACUAUUGAUUAGAUGAUAAUAUUCAUGCAUUUUAUAUAUAUAACUUUUUGUUACAGAUGUGUAGUUGGUAUAUCAAUAAUAUGAAUAAUCUGAUGUUCAAAUAGUUACUCUAACUUAAUUGUUAAGGAGGUAUUUUUCUAUAAAUAACUGUAGCACUUUUUCUCUAUGAAUUAUUAGUCCAAUUCCAUUAAGCAAUUUCAGUUUUUUUUUUCUACAAAAACUCUAUUUUAUAUAGUGAAAUUGAAAUACAAGCAACAUCAUGAGCUGGACAAGUAGAACUAUUUGAAGAUAUAUAUCGCGCUGUGAAAUGUGAUAAUACUGUUAUUAUCAUGAAAGUCUUUUAUCAAGAGAUAUCCAUGUGUAAUUUUUUUAUCAGCAUAAAAAAGUUUGGAUGUUUAUUUUAACUCUAAUUAGUUGAAGAAAAUUUAAUAUACUAAUUUGUAUUAUUUCUAUUAGUUUCAGCUAUGAUGAUGGUUGCUUGGUUAAUCUUGGCCAUAUGAUUGAAAAUCCUUAAAUGAGUAUUGAAGUUAAUGAAGUUUAUAUAUAUUUAUGUUAACUUAUAUGAGUUAACUAUAUUUAGUUAACAUAAAAUGUUUUUUAAAAAAUAAUUAUUUAUUUAUAUAUUUAUUAGAAUCCUAAAUUCUAUAUUCCUAAAACCUACCCCACCCUCUCAAUUCUAAACCCUUAGUCUAGAUUAGCUAACCUUAGGAUUAUAAGUGUUUUUUCUUUUUAAAAGUGAGAAUAAAAGUGGUAUUAAGAAUGUGAUAUUUUUGGUAAUUUCCCGUAUAAUAUUGUCACUAACUAGAUUGACCUUAUUUAGAUUUUAAUUUUUUUUCAUUUUAAUUUUUACUUUGGUUGAGUUUAGUUUAAAUAUUUAGGUAUGAGUGUUUUCUCCAGCCUUAAAUACAAAGUUGAUAACAAUUUACCUAUCCACCAUGAUUAUAAAUACAAAUACUAAUAGGAAUUUAUGUGUGUAAAUGAGUUUGUAAUUAUAAAAUAAAUAUCUCACAGCUUAUGCAAACACAAAAAAAUCCUAAAUCUAUAAUAAAAUGAUUUAUUAUUUUUAUGUUUUUACUAAAACAUCAAAUAAAACCCGUUGCAACGCACGGGCUUUAUCUAGUAAACUAAUAAACUUACUUUAAUUUUACUCACUAGUAAUGAAUUUAUAUAGUGAUUAAAACUUCUAAAAAUAUUUGAAAUUUAUGAAGUUGCAGUUAAUUUUUUUUUUUUGGAUGUCAAAUGGGUUAUCCACGUCUAAAUAAGCUUGUCCAAAUAAAUAAUAUUGGAUAUUGAUGGUUUUAGUUCAAAUAUUGGAUAAAAUAAGAUAUAGAACAAUUUAUAAUUUAAUAUUAAUCAAGCAAAAACAUUUGUAUAAAGAUGUUUUCUAAAAUAUUAUUCAUAUGUGAGUGUUUUCUUAAAUAAGAUUUUAAUUUUUUGUUUUUGAUAAAAACACUUUAUUUUUAUCCGGGCAUAAUUUUUUUACAAAUAUUUAUUGGUUUAUCUCUUAUUAAAAUAAAAACCAACAUAAUAAGAUAUUAUUUUAUGUACUUAACAACUUUAAAUUAAACAUCAAUUAUUUAUAUAUGAUAUUUUUCAUCAAAAUAUAUAUGUUUAUCAUUGUGUUGAAAUUUUAAAAAAAAAAACACACUCACAUAUUAAAAAUGUCUUAGAAAAUAUCUUUUAAAAAUGUUUUUACUUGAUAAAUAUUUAAAUAUGUAUUGUUUAUAUCUCACUUUUGAACUUUUAUAAUAGAACAAUAUUUUUUUUUCAGAUAACAACACAAUAUAUUUGAUGAAAAUACAUAUAUAUAAGAAUUAUCAUAUUUUUUAAAAUAUGUUUUCAUUUUUGAAAAUUUCAUUUAAUUAAUUUAUAAUCAAUUUUCAAUUAUAACAUAUAAAUCUAGUAAUAUUAACAUAAAAUUUGUUUUUAAUUAUGUUUUAUUUCUAGGUAUUUUGUUCAUACAUGCAUGUAUAAUCAUUUUACAGGAUGAUAGAUUGUUUUUUUAUGAUUUUAAUCAUUUUCAUUCUUUCAAUUUUUUUUGUUUCGAACACCAACUAUAAAAAAAAUUAUUAUUGCUGAUGUAAGAAAAAUAAGAAAGUGUAAUUUCGUCUUUUGAACCAUUAUUGUUUCUUUAAAUUACCUAUUUAAACUAGCAACAAGUAUUUGUUUUGUUUGUCAAAAACUAGCAAUAUGUAUAAACUACCAAUAACAUGCAAAGAUAAAAAAUUAAAAUAAAACAAAUAAAAAUAUUUUAAAAGAAAACUAAGAGCUUAAAUUUGUUUAGAAAAAAAAAUUGAAAUAUAAGUGAAUUAAGAUAAUGGUAAUAUUCUUGGUUACAGGAUAAAUAUAUAGGCAAACUUAUCAUAUUUCAUAAAUUUUAUUUUUUCAUGAAAGAAAAAUUAAUGAUCAUCAUCUGAUAAUAUCAAACAAAACAUUAUGAUCAUUAUAUAUUUCCCUUUCUUUUUGGCAAUUUUAUCAUAAAUAAUUAAUUAGUUAUUCUAUGAUCCAUUAUAAUGAUUAAAUAUAAUUACUUAUUAAGGGUAGUAGAAGAUCUGACCUGAAAACUGAAGAGCUAAAAUAGAAAAAAUAAAAAUAUAUGAUAUUCAUAAACCUUUGCAUCUUUUUUUAAAAAAUUUGAUUACGUACUUACAUACAUAAUUUUGUUAGCUUUUAUUUUGUAGUUUUAUGUUAAUUCCAAUAGUAUACAUAAUGAGAAUGAAUAAUAUAUAUAUAUAUAUAUAUNNNNNNNNNNNNNNNNNNNNNNNNNNNNNNNNNNNNNNNNNNNNNNNNNNNNNNNNNNNNNNNNNNNNNNNNNNNNNNNNNNNNNNNNNNNNNNNNNNNNGAUCUGAGGAUUGUUGGAUCGUAAGUUUUCUUAGUGUGACUGCUUAUUUACUUUUUGAGUUUUAUGGAAUUUCUUCAUGUUCCCUUUUCAUCUUCUGUUCUUUAGGUUGUUUUGCUAUUUUUAAAUUCUGUUAAUUCUUUGUGCGACAUGAUUGAUAGCCCAUUUAUUCUGUGUUUUAUGUGGCAGCAAUUCUCCAUAUAUGAAUCUAUUUAUGACCCUAUCAAAAAAAUGUCGUCUGAUAGAGCACCUGUGCUUAGUGAGCUAUCACCCCUUAGGUAAAAGCUUCUCCACUAAAUCUCGCUGUGGAGCUUAUUGUUUUUGUUUAUCCCAGGUUUUCUCAAGCUUGCCUAAUGUGUAACAGGUAAUAUAGACGCGUCAACAGCUUCACACUUGAUAGAGUUGGUGACCAAGUCCCCCAACUUAACUUCUCUAACACUCUUAUGUUUUCAACUAACCAAUGAAAUAGUCCGGAAUCUUGUUGAGGUAUGGCUUCUAUUCGAUUUUACUGCUAAUUUCUUCUCUCUCUCUUUUAUUGGAUUACUAUCUAUGCUUUUAUACAACAAGGAUAACACCUGCAUGUUACUUCCAGAGUUCUCGAAAACUGAAGUACCUGAAUCUGUCCAGAUCACCUAAAAUCGAUGGUCGUUUUUUGAGGUGCAAAUACAAAAAAUGUUAAAUAGCGCGCAAUUUCAUCCAAAAGUCGUUAUUAUCAUAAUUUCACAUAGUACAAAAAAUAUUGUUGCUGGUAGGGAUUUGGGAAAUAGCUGCAAAGAGAGUCCACUCGAGACUCUAAUAUUGCGCAACUGCGUUAAACUAGAGGAGGUAAAUGUUUUUGAGUUGUUACAUCAGGUCUUGCUUGAUCGAUCCUUACACUCACUGACCUUGAUGUUUCAGAAAGAAGUCUUGGAACUCUGCAACUCAUUACUCAAAGGAAACUUCAAAUUCAUUCGUCACAUUGUAAGUUUUUCUUAGAGAAAAUUAUAUUAGCUUUGUUUGUUUUUAAUCGUCGUCUUAUUGGUUUGCUCACUCUAAUAGGAUGUUUCAAGCAAUAACGGCUUAGUUUCUGAUGAUGGCCGGAGAUCUUACAAACCAAAGUAACUGACUGAUCCUUUCAUUGUUAAACAUCUUACCAACGGCUCAUUGAGUUGUGGUGUGUUGUAGGUUUCCUGUGGAGAAGCUGAAAGAAGAAAGACCAGAUGUGACACUUGUUGCGGAUUUUCCAUUAGAAAGGUCUUCUUCUUCUUCAUUGAUUACUAUCUUAGACUUUUACAGUAAUUUGAUCAGAGAAUACAAAUGCAGGUCAGGGAAGCGUUAUCAUGUCGGGGUUGAAGGGGAUGACGGAGAGCUGAGGGAGAUAGAGAUGAUGGAAGCCAAGAACGAUGAAGAGGAGAAUGAUGAUGAUGACGACUCCUUUGACGAUGAUGAUGAUGAUGACGUUUAGCUUUGAUGAUUGGAGGAGUGGUUAAUCAAUCAAUCGUCAAUAUAUCCGGCACGACCGACAUAUGAAUGUUCUCCCAAAGCUCUUUGCAACGUUGCUAUGAUGAUGUUUCUUCCUACAUCCAAAGCCCCAAUCCUAGUUCCCUUCUUGUUGUUCCGCUACCUUCUCAUUCCUCUUUGUUUCCUGAGUGCCCUUCGACUUCUAUUAGCUGCUGCUCCUUUGAUCGGGCGCUUGGUCAAGCUAUCUAUCUCAUCUGCUUCUUGUAGACACUCUUGUGCGAACUCUUAUUAUGAGUUGGUAUAUGAAGACGUUUUUUGCACUGCAUAUCUUCAAAACCAUCAGCUACUCUUUUCCCAAUCAUUUCUAAAUACAAUUAAAAUACCAAAUUAACAACCAAAAGAACAUUUGAAAAAAAUGUAACCUCAAUUUUAUAAUAAUUUAAAAAAACUUCUUGCUUAUGUGUCAAUCAGUUAUGUAGUUAAUUAGUCAUAUGUAUCAGCUUUACAUUGAAAUUGAAAAACAUGUAGGUCUAAUUCAAUUUUUAUAUCUCACUAGAAACAUUUAAUAUCAAUUAUAUGAUAUCAUAUGAUAUUAACUAAAUUAAUGUGGCUAUUUAUUAUAUAUUAUUUCUUAAAUAAAACCUACGGAAUUACCUAAUGUGAUUAUGAUAUAUAUAGUAAUUAAUGAUUUUAAAUAAUGAAGAUUUGUUAAUAAUUUGUAUGCUUUAUAUCAUUUUUGUUUAAUUCUUUACUAUUAAAAUAGAAUACACAAUUACAUUAAUAAUAUAUUAAAAUUUUAGAUUUUUUUUGUAUAUGUUAUAUUUUGAAUUUUUCAAAACGAGUAUAAAUUACUAAAACUGUUAAAAGUCUCACAUAAACUUUUGUGAUCAAUGUUUAAAUUUUUUUCUAUAAUAAGAUACAAUGAUAAUAAAAUCAUAUAAAUAAAUAAUUUUAUUUUAAUAGGUGUUUAUGUUAAUAUAUAUAUACACUUCACAUCGUUUAAAUUUAAUUAUAUAUUAUAUACGAUAGAUAAGAUUGAUUGUUUUGAUUUAUUUAUUCUAAAAUGAUUGCGAAUAAACAAGAACGGUCAUUUGAUUUAUAUGUGCAAACCAAUUUAUUACAUAAUAGUAACUGAUUUCUUAGUAUGCAGAAAAAUAUAAAAUAAAUAGUUAUUCUGCAUAAGGCCAAAUCUUAACCUAAGUAUGUAUAUCUUUAAUAAUUUUGAAUCUUAAACAUUUUCUAAACCUCAGGCCAAAAUAAAAGAAAGAAAUGAGAAUAAACUCAAAAAUCAAUAUUUAUAUCGAGCAAUAACCAAAAUGACACAAAAAGGAGAAGAAUAUCGAAGAUAGAUAGGAUUGGCACGUGAACGUAAAAUUUUCAUAAUCAUAAUUAGUUUUUAAAUUGCUAAAUCAUGAUAUAAAACCGAUGUGACAUUAAUUUCAUUGUAACCAAAUAGUAGGCAUGAGAUUCUUCGGUCUAAACGUUAUGUUUUUAUACGAUUUAGUAGUAAUUGUUAAGAGGUUAAUAUUGGAUGCAAAGAUUAAUCGAAAAUCAUGGUAAUGUUAGCAGCAUAAAUUUAGCCAAUCACAAUAAAUUUUUGUUUUGCUUUAAUUUUGGCUGAUACGUCUCUCAUAAUUAUUAUACGAAAUCUAUACAUUAAAAUAAUUGAUGUUUAUAUAUAAUUGAUAAAGAUGAAAUAUAUUCACAGUAACGUAAUCUAAAAAUAUAAACGGAGAUGUUUAUUUUCUAAUAUUAUUGUACCGUGUAAUAUGUGGAUUUGAUACAUAUUUGGAAACUCUUAUGUAGCAUAAAUGGACAGAAUAUUUGGAAAAUUAUAUGUUUACCAUAUGGUAUCACUUUUCAUUUUUACCACCACUUUUGAUUUUGUAAUGAAAUAUUUCUUAUUUAUUAUUUUUUUUAAAGCUAAUGGCACAAUCUGUACAAUAGAAAAUUAAGAGCAUGUUUAAUAGAAAUUUUUAGAUAGGAUAAAUAUAAAAACCUUUAAUUAAAGGAAAAAUGAUUGCUGACUACAUGAAGUAUUGGCCAUCACAUGGCUAACCAUGCAAACUAAACAAAUGUAUACUUAGCUACACGAAGUAUGUAUUAUGCAUGACAACAUCCCUCAACUUUAUGAUGUUAUGUAAUUAGCAUCACGAGUUUAAUUUCAUAUCCAAAAAAUGAUUGUAUAUUAGAGACCGUUUAAAUCUCUCGUUACAUCAACUAAAAUGUGGCGUACCUGACGGUAAUUUACCUAAUUAGAUUUUGACAUGUGUUUUAAAAUCAUAAAAAUAUUUUUAACAAAAUCUACUUUACAAAAUCAAUAUGUUUUAUAAAUUUUUAUAAGUAGUGUUUUAACAUUUUUAUUUUACUGUAUUUGAAAACAAUAUAAUUAUAUUAUUUUUAUUUAUGUUAAAUAUAAAGUUAUACUUCCUCUGUUUCAAAAUACAUGAAGUUUUAAGAUUAUGCACAACUAUUAAGAAACUUGUUUUUUAUCUUAAAAAUAUCAUUAAAAUAUAAACUAAAAAUUAUUCAACCAAUCACAAAACAGACUACAAAAUAUCAUUGGCUACACAGUUUUUGAUAAAGUGAAAAAGUGCAUUGAGAUAUGAAAACAUCAUAUAUUUUGAAACAUCAAAAACUCCUUAAAACAUCAUCUAUUUUGAAACGGAGGGAGUAUAAGAUAUUAUUUAAUUAGUUUUUUUAAAUUCUUUUAAUCUGUUUUGGUAUGAAUUUUUAAUAAAAUUUAUGUAAUUCAUUUGAUUAAUUGUGUGAUAUAUACUUAUUUGAUAAAAAAAUACAAUAAAACUUCUUUGAUGUCAAUUUAUUGACUCUAACAAUUUAUUUGUUUAAUAUGAAAUUAUUAAGUUAAUGAAUUAUUUUAUAUAUUUUUUUCAUAAACAAAAAUUCCAUUCAUUUAAACUAAGUAAACCUUUCAUAUUAGAUUCUUAUUCUUUGAUUACUUUUAUUCGUAAAAAUAUAUAAUUAAUAAUUAUAUACGCAAGAUUAUGUUUGGUUUAAUUUGACAUCAAAUAAGUUUUAAACAAAUAAAAUUUUUGAGUUAGUAAAUUGACAGAAAAUAAGUUUUAUAAUUAAAAAAAUUAUCAAAGAAUUAUAUAUCACACAAUUAAUCAAACGAAUUACAAAUUCUUUAGUAAAAGUUCAUAACAAAACAGAUUAAAAUAAUUAAUAAAACAAACAGAGUAAUAAAAAUAAAAAUAAUAUAAUUAUAUAGUUUUAAAAGACACAAAAAUAAAAAUGUUAAAACAUUACUUAUUAAAAGUUCAUAACAAAACAGAUUAAUAUAAAUAAAAUAAUACAAUUAUAUAGUUUUAAAGUACACUAAAAUAAAAAUGUUAAAACACUAUUUAUCAAAAAAUGUUAAAACAUAUUUAUUUUGUAAAUUAGAUUUUGUUAAAAAUAUUCUUACGCUUUUAAAAUGUGGGUCAAAAUCUAAUUUUAUUAAAUUAUAGUCGAAUCGGUCAUAUUUUAAUUGUUGAAACAAGAUAUUUAAACGAUCUCUAACAUCCACAUCAGUUUUUGGAUAAAUGAAAUUAAACUCGUGAUGUUAACUAUAUAACAUUAUAAAGUUGAGGGAUGUUGUCAUGCAUAACAUAUACUUCGUGUGGCUAGGUAUAUAUUAAUUUAGUUUGCAUGGUUAGCCAUGUGGUGACCAAUACUUCACGUAGGUAGCAAUCAUUUUUCCUUAAUUAAAAGCUAAGAGAAAGUUUAUUAUAUUCAGCUAAAAACUACAUCCUAAAAACUCGUCUAUUUAUACUGGAAGAAGAGAAAACUCUUUCAACUUAAGGCUUCAUGGAUUCUCCGACGAGCCCCACCCAAAACUCUAGCUCCGUCCACGCCGAUUCGAUUAUCUCAUCCCUCCUUUCGUUUCCAGAUUCCUCUCCGCUCUCCAUUGCCUCUUCCUUCCGUCGAGAGCUCGAACAAGCUCUCGCCUCUGCUUCAGAUGACGCCUCUGUUCAGGAACGUCUCGUGGAUCGAACACUCCAGCUCGUAUCUCUUCUUCUAGAAUCCACUAAACGGUCCUUCCGCAAGCGAGCUACCACUCACAACUCCAGUGCCUGGUUCCUCCCUCCCGAACUCACCGUCAAGGUAAUCAAACCGACUGAGAGCGUUCAGGAGACGGAGUUUGAUGAGAUAUGUUAUUUGAAUUAGUUUAAGUGGUUGUUCAGGUGUUUUCGAUGGUUGAUACAAAGUCUCUAAUGCGCGCGGCUGCUUGCUGCACCAUGUUCAACAAAUGUGCUAUGGACCGUUUUGCAUACGCUCACGUCGACUUGACUACCGCUACUAGCCAAGUUGACAGUAAGGUUGUGUGUAACUUGAUCCAUAGGGCUGGAAAAGAACUCAGGUAAUCUUUAACGUUGUAACUUGUACUACACUCAUUUGUUAGUUUUUGUAUUUGAAUAGGGUUUUUAUAUUUAUGCUUGUAGAUCACUCAAGCUUGGCAGUCUUGCUCGCACAUAUCCGUCUGAUUGUAAUCCAUCUUUGGUUAACGGACCUUUUCUUUCCACACUAUCCCGUAAUCCUGAUUUUAUUGGGUAUGGCUUGCUUGCUUGCUUGAUUAUCAGUUUUUAAAUUUCAUCCUGUUAUUUUUAUCUGCCCUACAUAUGCUGUUAAAAUAAACAUGUUAGAGUAUGUGUUGGACCCAGAUUUGUACCAAAUCUCUCCUCCAUAUAUUAGUGCGAGUCCAUCAACUUUGACCCUCAUUACAUAUGGAUGUUUUUCUCAGGAAUCACGUUAUUUCUUCACUAAUCUUUAUAAACAAAUACUAUCAAAUAAGUAUGGGUUUUAGGAUCCACAGUAUGGUUUCGUUGGAUAGGAAAUAAUAUAGCAGGGAAGAUAUCCCAAUACAUUCUCAUUUAAUCUUCUUAUUUGGUAUUAUUAUCCUUUUCCAUUCAACCAGGAAUCGCUUGAAAAGCCUAGGGCUUUACAAUAUCAGGUCGAUGAAUUCCUCAUUCGAGGUGUUGUCAGUUUGUUCGAAUCUCACUGAUCUGAGGAUUGUUGGAUUGUGAGUUGUCUUAGAGUGCCUUGCUUAUUUAUUUUGGGACACACAGCCCUCUUUUUUUUUUUUUUUUUGCCUUAUUCUGUGUUUCAUGUGACAGGAACAAUCCUUUUAUGCAUUUAUUUAAGAUUCUGACAGAAAAAUGUCGGCUGAUAGAGUACCUGUUCAUAGAGACCUACCAACUCCCAAGUAAAGAUUCUCCAUUAAUCCGGUGUUGAGCUUAAUGUUUUGUUUACUCCCAGGCUUUCUCAAUGUGUAACAGGUACCAUAAUAGAUACUGUAAAAGGUUCACACUUGAUAAAGUUGGUGACCAACUCCCCCAACUUAACUUCUCUACGGCUCAUUCGUUUUCGACUAACCGAUGAAGUGGCACGUAUUCUUGCUCAGGUAUGUCUUCUGCUCGAUUUUACUGCUAUUUUCUCUCUCUUUUAUUGGAUACCAUCUAUGAUUUUGCAGGGGUGGAUCUCAAUAUUUUUGGGUUCUAAACAUUGUUAAGAAUUUGUUUUGUAAAUUGUUUUAAAAAUAAUUUAGAAAGCUAAAACUAUGUAAAAAAGUCAAAACAAUUUUGGGGGCCAAAACCAAUUUUUCAUUGGCUUGGCCCAAACCCCGGCUUUAGCUUUUACAGAACUUCAAUAGUAUUUUGAUGUUCUCUGCAGAGUUCUCGUACACUGGAGUACCUGAAUUUGUCUAGAUCCCCUACAAUCAAUGGUCGUUUUCUGAGGUGCUAAUGCAAAACUUUUACAGUGCAAUUUCCUCCAAAUGUCCUUAUUGUUAAAAUUUCACAUAACAAGAAAAUAUUGUUGGUAGGGAUGUAAGAAAUAGGUGCAAGGAGAGUCCACUUAAGACUCUAAUAGUGCGCAACUGCCUUAAACUGCAAGAGUUACGUAAAAGACUCAUAACACGUUUUGAGUUGUUUCAUCAGUGUUACUUGAUCGAUCCUUACAUUGAUGUUUCAGAAAGAAGUGUUGGAACUCUGUAACUCACUAAUCAAAGGAAACUUCAAAUCCAUUCGGCACAUUGUAAGUCUUUUUAUAGAAUCAGUGCCCCCCAAAAAAGUAUAAGCUUGGUUUACUCUAAUCUUCGUCUUCUUGGUUUAUUCUAAUAGGAUGUUUCAAAUAAGAGAGGCUUAGUUUCUGAUGAUGGCAAGAGAUCUUACAAACCAAAGUAACUGAGGGACCCUUCAUUGUUUACAUCUUAGCAACUGCUCACUGAGUUGUAUUCCAAAAAAAAUUGUUGUGUGUUGUAGGUUUCCUCUUCAGAAGCUGAAAGAAGAAAGAUCAGAUGUCACCCUUGUGGCGGAUUUUCCAUCACCAUGGUUCGUGUCAGUCGAUUACUACCAUCGUUAAAAAGUUUGAUUAAAGGAAUCCGAGAAAGGAAAAUGAGGGGGGUUUGUGUCUUGUAAAAUGCAGGUCAGUGAAGCAUUGUCCUGUCUGCCAUGAAGAAGAUGACGAAGAGCUGAGGGAGAUAGAGAUGAUGGAAGAUGAUGCCUCAUCCUCGGAUGCCUCAUCCUCGGACGACUCAUCCUCGGACGACGAAUCCUCAGAAGAUGACUUAGGAUGAUGAUACACAAACCAAGAGGACUUGGGACUUGGGAGAGAAUCAUGACGUUUAUCUUUGAUGUUUUGGCUGAAGAAUUUUAAUUUUUUUUUUUUUGAACGAGUAGUAAUUUAAGUCAUGUGCUACAAACAAGCUUAUGUCAGAUUCGGAGAGACUUUCCCAUAGGCUGGACCGUUCGGUAUUAGUCCGGGUAAUUCAGAUUUUCGGAUUUUCGGUGUUAUAUUCAGAAGUACCAUUCGGGUUUUACUAAUUACGGAUCGGUUUCGGUUUGGUUCCUUCCGGGUUCGGUUCGGAUUGGAUGUAACCAAUGUUUAAAAUCGUCCAAAACUAUUUUUUUUUAAACCUUAAAAUUGACAAAAAAGUUUCAAAAUAUAUAAAUUGUUUACAAAUCUAAUUAAAAAUUAGUUAAACUAUCUAAAUUAACUAAAAAAUAUUCAAAAUAACAAUUAAAACAAACUAGAAAAUAUUUUGAAUAUCCUAAAAUAUCUAAAUCAUCUUAAAUAUAUAAAAACAUUAACAUAUUUAACUAAUUUCGGAUAUCUUCGGAUGUCGGUUCGGAUGUCGGUUCGGUUCGGAUUAUAACCAAACACCAAAGUACUAAUCUCAUAAGUCUCGUUCAGAUAUUUUUAUAUAACAGUUUGGAUUUGGUUUUGGUUUUUUGGGUUCGGGUCUAGAUAAGUACUUUGGGUUGAGUUAAAAAUGGUCAGGCCUACUUUUUCACCUGAAGGUGAGAAGGAUAGAGGGCUCGGUUGACUCUAAUCAAAAAUUCGUGGUGCUCUGUAAACAAAGAAACAAACUGUUCGAUAGUCUUAUUGGGCCUAUUAAUGCGUCCAGAAAAGAAAAGCCCAUAUCUCGUCCGAUUGUUGUUGGCGGCUAAGAUUCUAGGAAGGGGGUAGCAGUGUAAAUAAACGGAAAUCGAGGUGGUGUUUUGAUCUCAAACUAGAUAAAGAUAAGGGUAAUACCGUAAAUAAACUGAAAGCGAGAGAUGCGGGCACGUGAGACGAAUUUCUGACUCUCCAAUCGACCUUAUCCACCUUGCGAGACAUCAGAUCCAAGCGCCACGUCAGACUAAGAUCAACGGACGAGAUCUUCCUGGUCGCCUUUAAAGUCAUUACUCUCUGCAACGUUUGUGAGAAGAAAGAAACAUUACUUGCGACCAAAAAUUACAGAUUCUUGAAACUAUUAGUGUUGAUACUUGAUAGAUACCAUGGGCUUACUAGAUCAUCUCUGGGAUGAUACCGUCGCUGGUCCUAGGCCAGAGAACGGCCUUGGCAAGCUUCGGAGACACCAUACCUUCAGUUUCCGGCCUAGCUCCGGUAAUGGUACGCCGUGUUUUUGCUAUCUUGAACCGGUGGCUUAUCAUUUUGUGUAAAUGAAAAUAUAAAAAUAAAUAAAUCUUUAAACGUAAAAAAUAUAUAGAUAGUAUCAUUGGCCUGAUCUUCGAUCUGGUGUUCUUUAGAUCAAUCGGACGGUGGUAGCGUGAGAUCGUACGGUGAAGAAUCGCCGGAGGAGGCCGUGAAAGUGACACGUAGCAUCAUGAUAAUAAAACCACCGGGAUACCAAGGCGGUUCAGCUNNNNNNNNNNNNNNNNCGGUUCAGCUCCGGUUUCACCAGCCGGUUCACCCCCGCCAGUAUCUCCUUUCUCUGGUGAGUUUUAUUAUAUUAGUUACCAUUUUGUUUUGUUCAAAAAAAAAAGUUACCAUUUUGUUUCCAGCAGUAACUAUUUGGUUAGGUGAAAUAGAAAGUGUACUGUACACUCACUGAUUACGUUAAGGGUAAUUUCGUCUAUACGUUAAAAAAAACUUUGACAGGAUUAACAUGUUGACACUGUGACUUAUGUGAUGCAUGCAGCAUGAUCCUUGAUAAGAUGAGAUGUGACACAGUGAACUCCAUCUAUGAUAUCACUGAUUAUUAUUGCCCCUUGAUUGAUAUAUUUGUUAGGUGAGCGUCUAGUCAAAUGUUGUGAUAUGCUUAAAAGACUUGGUCAUAGAUUAGGACCGUAUUCAAAACAUGUUAUGGUUUACUAACGAACUUGGAACCUUUGGGAUGGUUAACGGAGCAAACGCAGGAGGAAAGGAACCCUUUCGGUUUAGGAGAAGGUCGACGUCGGACGCGUUCGAUAAGGGAGCAGGAUCAGAGAAUGGACCAAGGAACUCUCCUCCUACUUACGGCCUGUGAUCUAUAACUCAAAUCUCAAUAGGGAGAGAGAAAAGAAGAAGAGUAGCCCCCAAAACGCUUUCGAUCAAGUGGUCCUUGCAUGCAGAGUUCGUGUUGCUUCCGUUUUGUAGGCCAAAGAGGUUCUCUCUUUUGUGUGCGUGUAUGAGUUUGUUUUGUGUGUUUGUGGUUACGUCUAUGUUUUUGUUUUUGUAUGUCAUCUCGUUUUGGGAAUGCUUCUACGUGUCUGUACAUAUUUUGCUGCAAUGAUAAUAAAAAUGUGUAGAUGCUUAACAUCACUUCUUUUUGGACACCACAGUCUCUUUGGAGGCCAUAUUGAGAGUGACUGCAAAGACACUUUACUCUUUUCUUGAAUUGAUAAAUUAUCUCCAAUCCAAAUUGUCAAAGCCUAGCUUGAAAAAAAGAGGAAAUUGACAAAUGGCCAAUUGUGUUUAGUUGAGGAAGCUUGCAGGGAUUAUGAUGUGGAUAAUGUAAUAGAUAUGAGAUCAUUUAUUUUGAACCAUACAAUAUUCUUUAACAACAUUGAGUUUAGUCCGGCUACCACAGCACAGAGAAAAGCAUGAUAAAGCACCUUCUUCCUUGACACUUUACCUAUCUUUUGUGAGUCAAUGCCUAGUAUGCUGUAAUUGGAUUAGACACAACUGUCCUAGUAGCAUCAAUCAUCAAAUAAAUCCAGUUUCUUCCGAACCAAGGCAUACAUAGAUCACUGAAUUAGUUGCUGAUGUGAUUAAGGAUUGUUCCAACUUAGAAGUGGAUUUUUACUUUUAUGAACAAAUUGUAUAAAUAUUUCAGUCCUUGGAAGAUUUUUCAAACCAGAGAUAGAUAUCACAUAUGAAGUCACACUUUGUUUUGUAAUUACCGCUUUGUUUCUGUUAAUGAUUUGGUUAGGUGAAAUAGUAGUACACUCACUUAUUUCGUUUAGGGGUAGUUUCGUCCAUUUGUUAAAAAUAACACUGAUAGGAUAACAUUUAAGGUUUUGACAAUUCACAGAGUGUGACUUUCUUAUGUGAUGCAUGCAGCAUGCUGCUUGGUAAGAUGAGAUAUAAUAUCAUUGAUUAUUAGUGUUCCUUGAUGCAUGCACCUUGUUAAAUGUUGUCAUAAUAUAACAUAUUGUUUUCGACUUUUCGUGGCUCAUGUCCCCUUGAAAGACUUGUUGUGAUCUUAUUUAUAGUUUUAGAGAUAUAUGGUUGGAAGGAGUCAUAUGUUAUGGUUGUGAAGUGAAUGUAUGAGGUUAUUUUACUAACGAACGUGGAACCUUUGGGAAUAUUAACGGAGCAAACGCAGGAGGAAAGGAACCUUUUCGAUUUAGGAGAAAGUCGACGUCGGACGCGUUCGAUAAGGGAGCAGGAUCAGAGAAUGGACCAAGGAACUCUCCUCCUACUUACGGCCUGUGAUCUCUAACUCAAAUCUCAAAAGAGAGAGAGAAGAAACAGAAUAGCCCCCAAAACGCUUUCGUUUUGACGACACAUCAAAGUGGUCCUUUCCUUGCAUGCAGAGUGCGCGUGUAUGAGUUUGUUUUGUGUGUGUUGUGAAUACGUCUCUGUUUUUACUCUUUUGUUUUUGUACGUCAUCUCGUUUCUACGUGUCUGUACAUUUUUUGCUGCGAUGAUGAUAAUAAAAAUACAUAGAUGCUUAAUAUCAGUUCUUUUUAUCCGUUGAUCCAGUACACUCUUCAGUGUUCUUUGUGUGGACAUAACAGUCCCUUCGGAGGCAAUGUUCAUUUUCUAAAAGAAAAAAAUUAUAAUACUAAAUACUAAAAUAAAUUUCCACAAUGACUGCAGAAAAACACUUUAAACUUUUCCUGAAUUGACACAUUAUCCCCAAUCUAAAAUUUUAAAAACCUAAAUUGGAAAAAGAAGAAAUUGACAAAUGGCCAAGUGUGUUUAGUUGAGGAAGCUUGCAAGGCCUAUGAUGUGGAUAGUGUAAUAUAUAUAGAGAUAUAUGAGAUAACUUAUUUUGAACCAUACAAUAUUCUUUGGCAAAAUUAAGUUUAGUCUGACCAUUGCAUAGGUGAAGCAUCCUUCUUUACAACUAAAAUUAAAGGACCUUCUUCCUUAACACCUUACUAUCUUUUUGUGAGGCAAAGCUAAUAGUUUGAGGUUAAGGUGUUGAAUAACUUAGUAAGCUGUAAAUGGAUUAGACUCACCUGUCCUAUAAUAGCAGUAAUCAUUAAAUAAAUUCAGUUUCUUCCGGUCCAAGACAUAGAUUUGCUGAUAAGAUUAAGUAUUGUUCCAACUUAUAAAUGGGUGUUUACUUUUAUAUAUGAAUAAAUUGUAUCAGUAUUUCCUUUCCAGUCAGUGGGAAAAUUUAUGAAGUCACAAGAGAAAGAAAGAAAAAACAGUAACGCCAAUCGUUAGACAAACAAACAUUGGAAUAUAAACCUAUUCGAGGGAGAAGUAGGCCUUCCAUGUCAUCAGUUACCCCAUCUUCAUCGACAAACCUAAUUUUCUUACACUUGAAGCCUUCCAUGUUAUUAAUAUCAUAUCAUAUGAUUGUGUAUUUGUGUGCUACUGUAAUGUGAUGUUCAUAUGAUUGUAUGUGCGCUAGUGAGUUUGUUGACGAAAGGAGAAGCCUUUCUUACUCUGAGCUAUGGGCAGGACCUACUUAUUCCAACUCUCCUCCACCUACUUCUGUGCCCAUUCCUAAGUUCUCUCUCCGGCAAAGAAGGACGGUUUCUUUAACCUUUCCAUCUCCUGACUCUGCUGUUGAUGUUCUUGAAGUUGCUAAGUCUGCUCCUGUUUCUCCAACCUCAUCUUGUGACGACGACAACCCGUUCCACAGUACUGUCUCUGCUACUAUGACACUGCGCCGCAUGCUUAACCUUGAGACUGCUGACGAAUGAAGAUCAGGAGGGUUUAGGGGAACAUGGAUUAGUUUUAGUUUUCUGCACAUAGUAAUAAUAAGGUGUAAGUCACCAAGCUAGUUUAAAGAACACAGAGGCAGUCUUGACACAUAGCUGGUCAUCAGCUAUUGUGAGUAUAAACAUUCAGGAAACAGAUUGAAACUGCAUAAGGGAGAAGACUUGGUUCUUGGUUAGCAUUUAGCAGCAUAAAGGAUGGCUGGUGAUGCUUUGAGUAUUAGCAUUUGUUCUUUGUCCUUUGUAUAGUUUAUCUUUAGAGCUGUCUUUUUUUUUUCUUCCUUUGGCUUCUUUACUUAAGUGGGUUAGAUAGAAGCUAGGUUUAUGUGUCUACGCUCGAACGCCUCUUGGGAUCUUUGUCUUCUUACCUUUUCUCUCGUAUCUCUUCCCUUGUCCAUAUUUUUUCUAUUAAUCUUUUCUCUUCCGUCUAGUUCAUUUUGUUCAAGCCUUAGAGAUGUAAAUCUUACUACUUUGGUUAAGUGAUCUUCCUCUUCAGCUCUUUUCCUGAUUUUUUUUUUUGUAAAGGAAGAAGGGAAUAGGAAGUUCUAGUAACACUGAUGAGUUUCAUCCAUCUUGAUACCUGAAACACACUAAGUUUCCUUGGAGUUUCUUGAUCCUGCUUAAUCUGCUCACCAGGUAAAUUUUACAGCAAAAUCUCCCAACUAAUGAAUCUGGAUAUGUAGCUUUACACAAGUUUAUGACUUUGUAACAGGGACCUAUAGUAGCUGCUGCUCUGCUCUGCUUUAUUAUGGUUUCUUUGUCUCCUACUAUCUCUGGUUAUGUUUGUUACGCAGUGAUAACUAUUUUCUGCAGUUAAAAAAAAAAAAAACUAUUUUCUGUGUUUGGAACUGUUGUGUGAAGCUUUUUACAAACGUAUGUUUCUUCUUGUCUUUUAGUAGUUUGUGACAGUAGUAGACGUUUUGAGUUUUAAUGUUGAAGAGAAAUGUAUCCCUUGUUCCCUAAAUUAUUAUCAUUCUGUAUAUUUUGAACUUUUAUUUAUUUUUGUAGUGAGAUUUGGCGACUGUACUUGUAGAUUAAAGGCUGUUUUGGGUGUCAAACCAUAUCUGAAAGAUUGAAGCUCAAAUGGGCGUAUGUAGAGUUAAUACAACCAACAUAUGAAUUGAUAAAGCAUUUUACACAACUAAAAAAUCAAACUAUUAAUUAAAAUUUGUUGUUCAUUUUAGGAUUUAUCCAAUUUUCAAUUAUUAAAGAUUACAAACGGACACAAUGAAUUUCCUGAGAAGUAUCUAUCUCUCCUAAUCAUGUACUCUCUUAGUUCCAAAAGAUGUAUGUUUUUUUCUAUAUGGAUUUACCUUUUUAAUUUCAAAUAUAUCCACGUCUAACUAAUGGAAGAUGUCGAUGGUUUCAUCAUAAUUCGAUGGUGAACCAUUCGAUUAAUAUUUUGCCAUAAAGGGUUGGUAUUUGCCGACACUACAAGAAUUUUAAAUUUGGAUAUAAUUUAUCUUGUUUGAGAGUUUGCCAUUAGUCAAACACUCAAAUCAUACUAUUUAUUACGGUAUUAUACUAAAUCUAGAAAGUAUACAAUAAAAUCUGGAAAUUGAUAAACAAGAAACAGAAGAUUAAGGUACACUAAAAGCUAAAGAUUGGAAAAUUAAAGGACCAUCGAAACUAAUUGUUAUUGUAAUUUAUCAAAAAAAAAAAACUAAUUGUUAUUGUUUAGUGUGGAGAUCUCUUGAAAAAAGAAGAGAGGCCAUAGUGCUGGUUACUGUUGAGUGUUGAGAUCUUCACCAAAAGAGAAAAAGGAUAUGAGAAAAAAAAAAAAGAAAAAACUUUCCCUUGUACCAAUGAAACAAAACAGGUCUGAGUACUGAAAAAGUGUGAAUUUGGAAAUCUAUUUCCCACUCCCUUUCACUUCGAUCUCCUUAAGCUCAAACUUGAAAUAAUCCUCCCACUCUCUCUCUCUCUUUCUCUAGGCCUUCCUCUUUCGCCAUUUCGAAAUUGCAGAAACUCGCGCAACUCCGGGGGGUUCUCUUACUCAACUCUCUUCUCUUGUCUCACUGGUUAAAGACUCUCACUUUCUGAUGCCCUAGCCUUCGUAGAUUUGUGGGUUUCUCUUUGACUUUUCUGGGUUUGCUUCAGUUCUCCUGGAGGGAGCCACUAAGAUUAUGCUGCAAGAUUAGGGUUUUCUCGAGAAAGCUGUAAUCUUUGUGCUCUACACUUAAUGGGUAUCUGUUCUUUGGCGAUUUCGAUUGAGUUUUGUGCUUUAGAAAUGAUUUAGCUUUAGGUGUUGGAAGAUCUUGUAAUUCAAAGUUUAGAUUUUUUUUUAGCUUUAGGGUGUGUGUACUGUGAAAUAGAGAAGAAAGUAGUGUAUUGAUUAUCCUCUGGCUAUCCUGGAGAUCUGGGAUUUGUUUCAUCUCUUAUGUCAGAUGAGGACUUUUUACCCAUCUGAUUCUUGUAGUAAAGAAUCACAUCUCAAUUCCUUGAAUCCACAGUCAUGGCUUCAAGUUGAGAGAGGGAAGCUAUCUUCCUCUGCUUCUUCUUCUGCGUAAGUUUCUCUCUCUUUCCUCCUGCUGCUUUCAUUUGGUUAUCUUUAAGCGAUGGAGUUAACCCUUUGCUUUCUUUUGUAGUCCAUUGUGCAGAGAAUCCUUCAUCAAAGUCCCUGAGCCGCAGAUACUGCCUCACUAUAAGCCUCUUGACUAUGUAGAAGUUCUUUCUCAGAUUCAUGAAGAACUUGAGUCUUGCUCUUUAGAGGACAGAUCGAGUCUCUAUCUGUUGCAGUAUCAAGUCUUUAGAGGUCUUGGAGAGACCAAACUCGGACAGAGAAGCCUUAGAUCAGCUUGGCAAGAAGCUACAACUGUCCACGAGAAAGUUGUGUUUGGGUCUUGGUUAAGGUACGAGAAACAAGGAGAGGAAGUCAUCGCCGAGUUGCUUUCUUCUUGCGGUAAGUAUUCAGAAGAGUUUGUGCCGUUGGAUAUUGCAUCUUAUCUCCCGGUUACUUCCCCUGAGGCAGCAUCUGUGAAGGUGAAGCGCCACAUUUCAAGAAACGUUGUGUUUAAGAUAGAACAAGAGAGAAUAGCUUGUGACAGAAGGAAGAUUGCUAGCCUUUCGGCUCCUUUCCACGCCAUGCUCUAUGGGAGCUUCACGGAGUCGCUUCUUGAUGAGAUAGACAUGUCAGAGAACCAUGUAUCCCCCUCAGCUAUGCGUGUUGUAAGAGACUUCAGCGUUGCUAAUGUUCUAAUCGGAGUCUCCAAGAAUCUUUUAAUAGAAGUUUUGGUCUUUGCUAACAAGUUCUGCUGCGAGAGACUCAAAGACGCUUGCGACAGAGAGCUAGCUUCUCUGGUCUCCUCCAUGGAAUGUGCCGUUGAGCUAAUGGACUUUGCGUUAGAAGAGAGCUCCCCGAUCUUAGCUGCGUCGUGUCUGCAAGUGUUCCUUUACGAGUUGCCUGAAAGUUUAACUGAUGAGCGUGUUGUCGAGGCGUUGACUCGUGUCAACAGAUCUCAAGUCUCAACCAUGGCAGGGAAAGCUUCAUUCUCUUUAUACUCUUGUCUAACCGAAGUCUCCAUGCGUUUAGAUCCUCGUUCCGACAGAACAUUGUCUUUCUUGGAGAAAGUGGUUGACUUUGCGGAGAGUGAUCGGCAGAGAAUGUUGGGGUUUCAUCGUUUAGGUUGCACAAGGCUGUUGAGGAAAGAGUACCGUGAAGCAGAAGAAGCAUUCGAAACCGCGUUUAAUCUAGGCCAUGUGUAUUCAGCAACUGGAUUAGCGAGAAUAGGUUACAUCCAAGGCCAUAAGCUUUGGGGCUACGAGAAGCUAACCUCUGUGAUCUCCUCCGUUUCACCUCCUCUCGGAUGGAUGUAUCAAGAAAGGUCUUUAUACUGUGAAGGCGAUAAGAAACUCGAGGAUCUUGAAAAAGCAACUGAGCUGGACCCGACUCUGACGUAUCCUUACAUGUAUAGAGCUGUCAAGUUAAUGUCUGAACAAAACGCUGAGGCUGCGCUCGAGGAGAUCAACAGGAUCUUGGGGUUUAAGCUCGCGUUGGAGUGCUUGGAGAUCAGGUUUUGUCUUUAUCUCGGUAUGGAUGACUAUGAAGCUGCGCUUCGUGAUAUCCAGGCUGCUCUUACUUUGUGUCCGGACUACAGAAUGUUUGAUGGGAAAGUAGCUGCGAGGCAGCUGAGGACGCUGGUCUAUGAGCAUGUGGAGAGCUGGACGACGGCGGAUUGUUGGAUGCAGCUUUAUGAGAAAUGGUCUAACGUUGAUGAUAUUGGUUCUCUUUCUGUGAUCUAUCAGAUGCUUGAAGCUGAUGCUUGUAAAGGUGUUCUCUACUUCAGGCAAUCUUUGCUUCUCCUAAGGUAAACUAAGUUCUCAAUCAGUUUCAUCCUAAGGUGGUAACCAUGAUUCUAAAAACUGGUCUAUGCAUUAUUUUCUUAAAUCCGUUUUAUACUACUCAAAUCAGUUUAAACCAUUAUAAAUCAAUUUAAAAUAGUUUAAAUAUGUUAAAUUAAGUAAUAAUGUUAGUACAAAUCCACAAAUUGGUCUAAUUUAUUUUGUUUUGUACAACUAAUUUUGAUAAUUCAUCAAAAUAAUCUUAGAAUUAAAUCCAAAAACUAAAAUAUAUUUUCUCUAACAUUUGUGGUAACUGAGCAUCUCAUGUUCUUUUGACCAGGUUGAAAUGUCCUGAAGCAGCAAUGCGUAGCUUACAGUUAGCUCGAGAGCACGCCUCUAGUGACCAUGAACGUCUGGUGUAUGAAGGGUGGAUCUUAUAUGACACUGGUCACUGUGAAGAAGGGCUUCAAAAGGCUAAAGAGUCCAUAAGAAUCAAGAGAUCAUUCGAAGCCUACUUCCUCCAAGCUUAUGCCUUAGCAGAGUCUAGCCUUGAUCCGUCUAGUUCUUCAACCGUUGUUUCUCUUCUUGAAGACGCUCUUAAAUGCCCCUCUGAUAGGUUGCGGAAAGGCCAGGUACGCCUCGUUCACCACCACAUAGUCAGGACCAGGCUAUAAGAUAAUUUAAUAAGAAUUUAUAUAAUUUUUUUAUAAAAAAUUUAGAGGUCUCUCUCUAUACAUGUAAAUUUUUCUUAGAAUUUUGGGGAUCUAGGCUAAUGUUUCAUUAGUCUAUGUUCAGGUCCUGCACUUACUGCACUUAGUACGGAUUCAGAGUUGCUUUAUAUUGUUUGUUUUGUUUCUAGGCUCUAAACAAUCUUGGGAGUGUGUAUGUGGAUUGUGAGAAGCUAGACUUAGCUGCAGAUUGUUACAUAAACGCUUUGAAAGUGAGGCACACACGUGCGCACCAAGGCCUAGCUCGAGUCCAUUUCCUUAGAAACGACAAAGCUGCUGCCUAUGAAGAAAUGACCAGACUUAUCGAAAAGGCUCAGAACAAUGCAUCUGCUUACGAGAAAAGAUCAGAGUACUGCGACCGUGAACUCGCCAAGUCUGAUCUUGAAAUGGUCACACGGUUAGACCCUCUCAGGGUUUAUCCUUACCGUUACCGAGCCGCAGGUUUGUCUUUAACUCAGCUCGUACGCUCUGUUUGUUGUUUGGUCAUCUUGCUGAUAGUGUUUGGUGUUUGAUAGUGUUGAUGGAUAGUCGGAAGGAGAAAGAGGCAUUGAGGAGUUAUCACGAGCUAUUGCCUUCAAAGCUGAUCUCCAUCUACUUCACUUAAGGGCGGCUUUCCAUGAGCACAAUGGUGAUGUUAGUAGUGCGUUGCGGGACUGUCGUGCGGCGCUCUCGGUUGAUCCUAACCAUCAAGAGAUGCUCGAGCUUCAUAGCCGUGUUAAUAGCCAUGAACCUUGAGUGUCAAGAAAGCUUGAGAUGAUGGUAAAGUGUGAACAGAUUUGUAUUCAUAGUUGUAAACUUAUAUUCUCUCGUUACUCUUUAUUUAUUUUUGUUAUUGUUUUCCUUAAAAUCGGUAUUAAAUUUUCAACCUAUCAUCUUAAACUUCAAAUUUCUGUGGCCUAAAAAUGUGAAAACAAAAGUACAAACAAUGUGAUAGACAGAAAAGUAAAAGUAAAAACAUCGGAUUUAGCUUUACAAAAUCGAUGCCAAUUUAUCAUAAUUUGACUCCUAUUAUUUAAAUCUAUAAGCCAUAUUUUGUCAAAAAUACAAGUGUAUUUUUAGCAAUGGUAUCUCUCCGUAUAUGUAUAAUCUUUUGUAAAUAUUUUAUAAAUUCAAUAAUGUUGAAAUUUUAACAAUUGAUUAAUUUAUAGAAAACUUGUUAAUUAAUAAAAUAAUAUUUAUUAAUUUUAUAGAGAAAAGUCUUUUAGUUUAUAAUUUUAUGAAAAAUUAAAGAACUUAUUUCUAAAAAUAUUUAGACAAAAUUAAAAUAAUAUUAGCGAUUAUAAUAUAGUAAAUUUCUAUGGCAUAUUGGACUAUCUAGAUGACAUAAUCCUAAGUUCAAAACUUUAAAUCACGGUCUCAAAUAUUUAUGAAGUUGAAAAUGAUACAAUAAUAUGUUUUCGGAUAAUUAAGAGCAAAAACUCAAUUAUAUAAUAUGUGUUGAUAUGGGUUUCAAUAACAUUUUAACUUCAAUAAACAAAAAAAACUUGAGUUAUAUUUUAGUAUACUAUGUUAAGUUAUAUUUUUUUUUCUUUCAAAUCUCUCACAUCUAAAAUAAUAAAAAUUAGAAAAAGACAAAGAUAUAUAGGAAAAGACUGAAAGAUACAUAGAUGAGCAUUUCUAAUAAAAAUAUUUAAAAUAUAUAGAAAAUUAUUAAUAUUUAAAUUAUAUGAGUUUUUUUGAAAAAUGCAUACAAUAUUUUCUCAAGUUAGAUAUUUUAAAGAUUUUAGUGUAGAUUUUUAAAAAUUUAGAAGAUUCAUCCAAUUAAAUAUUGGUAUAAUAGUUUUAUUUCAUUUCAAUUUUAAAUACUCAUGUAAGAAGUUAUUCCUAUUAAAAAUGCUCCCAAAAAGGAAAAUAAACGGUGUUUGACUGUUUUCCUUGUCUUUUUGUUUUUUUGUUCUUGUCACGGAAUCUUAAAUUUACAGAAAAGAACAUUAUCUAUUUUUAGGGAAAUGAAAAUAAAGAAAAUAGCGUGAGUGAGGGAGAGAAAGUGAGAAGACUUUGACUUUGUUUUGAAGCGAGAAACAAGGCGCGGAGAAAUGAAGACGAUGAGAAACAGCUGCUGAAACAUAUCACACACCCAAAUUGCAGAAAAAAAAAUGUUCUUAAUCUUAAUCCACCAAUGAAAUAGUUUUUUUCUUUUGUUCCUCGUUAAAAUUAUUCAAAAAUAAAAUCUCGAUUUUUCGUGUCACCUCUCAAGAUCUGUUUCCUUAAUUAUGAGAUUAAAGGAUAAAUCAAAUUCGAAGCGUUGUUGUUCGAAUCGAUAAUCGCAAUUGGGGGUAUCAGAUCGAAGAAUCGGUUCUGAGCAACGUCGUCUCGAAACGGUGGAACGAUGAACUGGGGAACAUUGCUCAAGGACUUCAAGGAUAAGGUCGGGUUAGCUGACGGCACAACCGCCGGAGACGCUUCCCGUGACCUCAUCCCUCCGCCGUCGUCUCCACCAUCGCCUUCCUCGUCCUCGAGCUACGCCGCGUCUCCUCAACGUGACCUCACUUUAUUAUCUCCCACAAGGUAGGCAAUGAAUUGAUUAAUGUUGGCAUAAGCAGUCAAUCAAUGAGUCACUUGUUUAAUUUAAUAGCCGAGAGAGAUAUAACUUGGAGCUGGAGUUUAGGAGAUACUGGGAAGAGUUCUCUUCCUCCACCUCCGAACAGGUUCGUGCUUUUAUCAUUUGUUCAUUGAUGAUAAUCAUUUAAUUUAUAUAUUGUCACACCAGGAGAAAGAAGCAGCCUUGACUAUGACUGUGAAUACGUUUUGUACCAUAGCGAAGCAGCAUGCCAACAUAGAUCAUUUAGUUACCAUGUAAGCCACCCUCCCCUUUUCUAUCUCUAUGGAUUCAUAUUUUUUAUUCAUAUUGAGCUAUUUGCAGGUUAGUAGAAAUACAUGUAUUCUCCUUUGUCAUUGGGAGAGCAUUUGUGACAGAUAUUGAGAAGUUAAAGAUUAGCAGCAAGACAAGGUCAUUGGAUGUAGAGAAAGUUAUUAAGUUUUUUUCUCAAGUCACCGAGGUUUGCCUCUCCUUGUGAGUAUUAGUGAAUCAGGACAUGUUACCUUCUCUUCUAUUUUAAUCCAUGAUUUUGUUUUUUUUUUCCUGCAGGAAGGUAUAAGUCACGGUGAAAACCUUUUAACUGCUGUUGAAGUCCUUGUAUCUGGGGUACCCUUUUUUACUUUUACUUGUCUUCCUUCUCUUGACCGAAUGAUUGACAACACUUAACUAUGAGUUUUAAGUUUUAGUUGUUUACCAAAAAAAAAAAAAAACUACUCGAGUUUCAAUAUUUGAUAGCUAACUGGUAGUUACCCUCACCAAUUUUGGAGGACGUGGGAAAUAUUUUAGGGUGCUGACUCUUUUAUGGUUUGAAUGCUAUAGACUGUAUUGGUUUAUAUACUCAACCUUUCAUGUGUUUUCUUUUUAGAACAUUGACAAACAAUCUCUACUGGAUUCUGGGAUAUUGGGUUGUCUUAUACACACGCUCAACGCGCUUCUGAUGUAUAGUGUAGCCAGUGAAGGUGAAAAAUCUGUUAGCUUGGAAGAAAAGGUAAAUAUGGCAGAUGUAGUACUCUUUAAGCUAGUCACUUGACGUUCUAUUUCAAUGGUUUUCAAUACAAAUCUGACAUAAGUGUUUCAUCCUUGGUACUGGCCAAAGUGUUUACUCUGCAAUGCCUUAUCUUUGAGACUUUUAACGCAUCCUCAUUCUUGCAGGUGGAGGAAAGCGUUAUCCAUAUCAUGAAAGCACUGGCAAGCCAUCCUUAUGCUGCACAGAGUUUGAUUGAAGAUGACUCCCUUCGGUUGCUUUUCAAAAUGGUUGCCAAUGGUUCCGUUGUGGCUUUCUCUCAAUACAAAGAAGGUCUAGUUUCAUCCCGUAACAUACAGCUUCAAAGACAUGCAAUGCAGGUAAUUUGUUGCUCCCCUGUUCUAAAAAUUGGGCAAUGUGUUUUGAAGCUGAAACAGCUGCGAACUGCACUUUAGUAUGAUCUUUGAAAUUUGAGCGGAUGUUGUGAUGCUGAAAGUUUCAUUAUUGAUUCCCUUUGGUGUCUCGUUCAGAUUCUUGGGCAGCUUCUUGUCAAUGAUAAUGGGAGCACAGCAAGCUACAUACGCAAACACUAUCUGGUAUGCCAGUGGAUUCUGUAGAUAGCCUCUAUGUGGUAUACCGGUUCUUGUAUCAUGUAUCGUAAGAUGUAACCCUGAACAUAGGCCAAUCAUAUCGAGCUUAUCUUCAAACUAUCUGAGGUCUCUGUGAUAAGAAAUUUGGUUAUCAGGAGAAUUUAGUGAAUUUUACUAGUAGAGCCUGAGACUCAAACUAAUGAUAAGUAUUGGUUUUGUGCAUAUACUUUAGUUUGCAAUCUUGGCAGUGCCCUAUAUAUCUGCAGUCUGGUAUUUAAGAAGGUCUCUUUUGUGUGCUUAUAGUUAUUUUACCAUUCCACAAUAUUCCUUUUCUUAAAUUAAGGUGUUUAUAUGAAUGCGUGUCCUUGUUUUUUCUGUGAACUUUAAGAUGAAGGAGAUCAGUAAAAAGUGUCACUGGUAGAUCUUGUAACUAAGUACCACUUUUUGGAUUCUGUUUAGUGUGAAAAAGUGGGCGUAUGAAACGUUGCUUUCCUGAUUUUAAUUUUGCUUGCUCUAUUUUACGUCUUCGGAAGUAAUUCUUUGGCUAAAUUCUCCUGCAGGUAAAGGCUCUCCUAAUGGCUAUCAAAGAUUUUGAUCCAGAUUGUGGGGACUCAGCCUAUACAAUGGGCAUUGUGGAUUUGUUACUUGAAUGUGUGGAACUAUCGUACAGACCUGGUAAUUUGGCUUAGAGAAAUACACAAGAACUCAAAAUAUGUCAAUGCCUGUGGAAAAUGUAGCUGGAUAGUAUAAACAUUAGGCAGUCAUCUUCUUGCUUGUGGAUUUUGUAUAACGGCUCUGAGUAUGGUUGCUGAUCUUUUUCAAAUUUGAAUAUGUAGAAAAUGGUGGGGUCAGGCUAAAGGAGGACAUACGAAAUGCACACGGUUACCAUUUUCUUGUACAGUUUGCCCUGGUUCUAUCUUCCAUGCCGAAAAAUAUGGUUUCUGCCUCCAGUCAUUUAUCUCAACACCAAAAUAGUGGGUUGGAUGACUCUGAACUACAGUCACCCCAUUCAGUGAAUAGUAGGCAAAAUGAUGAGUUUGGAUCACAAAGUUUCUCCCCUUCACUAUCAAGAUUGCUUGAUGUUCUUGUCACCUUGGCGCAGACUGGUCCCAUUGAGUUAUCUGGAGGAAGUACCUCACUACUGCCUCAAACAAACCCCACUGGGUAUGAUGAAACAUGGGAACAAGGAAGUGGUAAAGUAAAAGACCUUGAAGCUGUCCAAAUGUUGCAAGACAUCUUUCUGAAAGCAGAAAACAAGGAUCUUCAGGCUGAAGUGUUGAACCGAAUGUUUAAGAUAUUCUCAAGCCAUAUGGAAAACUAUAAAAUGUGCCAAGAAUUAAGGACUGUUCCACUUCUCGUGCUGAACAUGGGUGAAUUUCCUUCCUCACUGCAAGAGAUAAUCCUCAAAAUUCUUGAAUAUGCUGUCACAGUUGUAAAUUGUGUUCCAGAGCAAGAGCUGUUGUCACUUUGUUUCUUGCUUCAACAGCCAAUCAAUUCCGAGUUGAAACAUACCAUACUUUCGUUCUUUGUAAAGCUGACAUCUUUUGAUGUGCAGUACAAGAAAGUCCUAUGUGAAGUUGGUGUUUUGGAAGUCUUACAAGAUGAGCUGAGGCAGCACAAGCUUCUCAUGGGUCCAGAUCUGUAUAGUGGUGUUUCCAAUCAUUUGAAUCGGUUACCUAGUUCGCCUAGCUUCAAACAACACCUAGAUAAUAAGGAUGCCAUCAUUUCAUCACCAAAGCUAAUAGAAUCUGGUUCAGGAAUGUUACCUAUCUUUGAAGUUGAAAGCACUAUAACGGUUGGUUGGGAGUGUAUGGUCUCUUUACUAAAGAAAUCUGAAGCUAAUCAGGAAGCUUUUCGUUCUGCCAAUGGUGUGGCCGUUAUUCUUCCAUUGUUGAUCUCUGAUGACCAUCGUACUGGCGUUUUGAGAAUUUUGUCAUGCUUAAUCACGGAAGACGCUAAUCAGGUAAGUUUACAUUACAGUAAAAUGUAUCUUGAUUAUUCCUGUUUUACCGUUUAUCUGAUGAAUUAAUCAAAUGAGUUAUAUUAGUUUGGCUAGGUGUUUUAUUCUUUAGAUUAUGCCGCCACUAGUGAGGUUUCUGUUGUUUCGGUAUCAGAAAUCCUCUGGUGUCUUGUAAAGAGUAACUCGUAUCUUACCAUCCAAUCAGGUCCAUCAUGAAGAGUUACAUGCUGUUAUCGACGUGUUGAAGAGUGGAGUGGUCACUGGAAUCUCUGGGCAUCAAUACAAGCUUCAUCACGAAGCCAUAUGUGAUACCAUGGGUUCUCUGUGGCGUAUUCUUGCGGUUAAUGGCUCUGCUCAAAGAGUGUUUGGUGAAUCCACUGGUUUCUCUCUUCUACUGACCACCCUUCACACGUCCCCGGAAGAAGCAUGCAGGGAUGAGUCUCAUUUGAUGGUUCACAUCAAAUUGUUCAAACAUGUAUUGCGCCUCAUGACAUCUGCAGUGUGUGAGAAUGCUGUGAAUAGGAUGAAACUGCACAAUGUCAUUAUAUCUCAGACAUUUUAUGAUAUUUUCGUGGAGUCAGGUUUGAUGUGUGUUGAUCUGGAAAGACAGGUGAUACAACUGUUGUUAGAACUUGCACUUGAAGUUUUGCUUCCACCUUUUUUGACAUCAGAAUCUAUGGCCUCACCUGAGAUGGCAGAAAGUGAAAAAGCUAGCUUUCUUGUAAAAACCCCAUCUGGGCAAUUUAGUCCUGACAAGCAGAGGAUAUAUAAUGCAGGUGCUAUCAGAGUUCUGAUCCGUUCACUGUUGUUUUUUAGUCCAAAAAUCCAGUUGGAAUUUCUGAAUCUUCUGGAAAGGCUUGCACGUGCCACCCCAUUCAACCAGGAAAAUCUCACGUCAGCUGGUAAGGUCUUAUGUCUUAGAGUUCCUUGGGCUUAUAUUGUAAUUAGCUAAGUCAACUUUUAAAUCUUGUUGUGCACUCUUGUCGUCUUUACCUGUGAUAUGAAUUAUUAUUGAGCAGGUUGCGUGGAACUUCUGCUGGAGAUUAUCCACCCAUUUCUUCCGGGUUCAUCUCCAUUUCUUUCUCAUGUUUUAAAGAUUGUUGAAGUUCUUGGGGCGUAUAGGUAGUUAACAUAGCUAAAAUCUAAUACAUAGUCUUAAUGUGACUAAAUUUGUUUCGAGGCUGAUCUUAUUCGGUGUUAUUCUGGUGCAGAUUGUCCCCUUCUGAGCUCAAAAUGCUUUGUAGAUAUGGUCUGCAAAUGAGGGUUAAGAAUUCAGGUCAGGCGAUAGUUGGUAUGAUGGAAAAGCUAAUUCUCAUGGAAGACACAGGAUUGGAACAUGUUUCGCUGGCUCCUUUUGUAGAGAUGGACAUGAAAAAAACUGGGCAUGCUUCUGUUCAGGUGUCCCUGGGAGAAAGAUCUUGGCCUCCUGCUGCUGGUUAUUCAUUUGUUUGUUGGUUCCAGUCUCGUAAUUUUUUUGCAACCCAAGGAAAAGCAGCAGGAGAGUAUGAAGCUGGUGGUUCAUCAAAGACGCAGGUUUUGAGUGGGCAGCAAAGUGAACAAAAUGUUUUCCGGAUAUUUUCUAUCGGUGCAAGUAACGAAAGUCCAUUCUAUGCGGAACUUUAUUUUCAAGAGGAUGAUAUUCUGACCCUUGCCACUAGCAGUUCAAAUUCUUUGUCAUUUUCUGGAUUGGAAAUUGAGGAGGGCAAGUGGCAUCACCUUGCUGUUGUCCAUAGUAAGCCUAAUGCUCUUGCCGGACUCUUCCAAGCUAGCAUCGCAUAUGUUUACAUUGACGGAAAACUAAGGCACAUGGGUAAAUUGGGUUAUUCUCCUUCACCUGUUGGAAAAUCAUUGCAAGUAACAAUUGGAACUCCAGCUACUUGUGCCAGGGUAAGCGAUUUGACGUGGAAAAUACGCUCAUGCUAUCUUUUCGAGGAGGUGCUUUCAUCAGGCUGCAUUGGUUUCAUGUAUAUUCUCGGUAGAGGGUAUAAAGGUCUCUUUCAGGAUGCAUAUCUCUUACGUUUCAUGCCUAAUCAGGCUUGUGGUGGGGGCAGCAUGGCUAUCCUUGACUCGUUAGUCACUGACAUGUUGUCAUCGUCCAAUAGCCAAAAAUUUGAGGAAAGUAACAGACAAGGGGAUUCCAAGGCAGAUGGUAGUGGGAUUGUAUGGGAUCUCGAGAGGUUAGGAAAUCUUUCUUAUCAGUUAGCUGGUAAGAAACUUAUUUUUUCAUUUGAUGGAACAUGCUCAGAGUUCAUGCACGCGGCUGGAAAUUUUAUCCUCCUCAAUUUGGUUGACCCAUUGUCCGCUGCUGCUUCUCCUAUUGGAGGUAUACAAUGAUCCCAUAUAACUGUAGUUUAUAUUUUACAUUUUUCCGUUUUAGUCUCAGUUGUGUUUCAUUCUACGUUUCUCAAUUAUAUAGGAAUACCUCGUUUUGGGCGCCUGGUGGGAAAUGCAAGUAUCUGCAGACAAAAUGUGAUUGGCAACACUAUCCGCCAUGUGGGAGGAAUGGCUGUUGUAAUUGCACUUGUUGAGGCUGCCGAAUCUAGAGAUAUGUUACAUAUGGCUCUUUCAUUGCUUGCCUGUGCCCUUCAUCAGAAUUCACAGAAUGUGAAGGAUAUGGAAACAUACAAGGGCUAUCAUUUACUAGCUCUGUUUUUACGUCCCAAGAUGGCGCUUUUUGACAUGCAAUGUUUGGAGGUAUUUUUCCAGAUUUCUGCAUGCGAAGCGUUCUUUUCAGAGCCAAAAAAAUUGGAGAGGGGACAGAGUACCAUUAGCAUGUCACCUACGAAGAAUAUACCUGAAAACAACUAUGAGGAUAUUAGUGUGUCAAAGUUUCAAUAUGAAACUUCUUCAGUUGGAUCUCAUGGAUAUAUGGAUGAUUUUUCAGGGCCCAAAGAUUCUUUUAGUCAGUUAUCUGAGCUAGAAAUUGGAGAUAUUCCUGUUGAAACUUCAAACUGCAUCGUCUUAUCUAAUGCAGACAUGGUGGAACAUGUACUCCUGGACUGGACUCUCUGGGUGACAGCCCCUGUUUCCAUCCAGAUCGCCUUACUUGGUUUUCUGGAGAAUCUGGUCUCAAUGCUUCGGUACAGGAGUCACAAUCUUACAAUCCUGCGCCGAAUCAACCUGGUAGAACAGUUGUUAGUAACACUUCAACGAGGGGAUGUGGAAGUUCUUGUCCUAGAAAAAAUAGUUGUUCUUCUUGGAUGCAUCUUAGAAGAUAGAUUCCUUACUUCUGAGCUUGAAAAUGUGGUUAGGUUUGUGAUUAUGACAUUUAAUCCACCUGAAAUAAAGUCUCGAAACUCACCAAGGCGAGAGUCAAUGGGAAAGCAUGUAAUUGUGAGAAACUUGCUUUUGGAAAUGCUUAUUGAUCUCCAGGUAACCAUAAAAGCAGAAGAACUGUUGGAGCAGUGGCAUAAGAUGGUCUCAUCAAAAUUAAUAACGUACUUCCUCGAUGAAGCUGUGCAUCCUACUAGUAUGAGAUGGAUCAUGACUCUACUCGGUGUUUGUCUCACUUCUUCCCCAAACUUUUCUCUUAAGUUUGUUACAAAUGGAGGUUAUCAGGGGCUAACACGGGUACUUCAAAGCUUUUAUGAUUCCCCAGACAUAUAUUACAUUUUGUUCUGCUUGAUAUUUGGGAAACCUGUUUAUCCAAGACUACCCGAGGUCCGGAUGUUGGACUUCCAUGCACUAGUGCCGAAUGAUGGAAGCCGUGUAGAGUUGAAGUUUUUAGAUCUGUUGGAUUCAGUGGUUGCCAUGGCUAAAUCUACUUUUGACAGAUUGAUCAUGCAAUCAAUGAUUGCCCACCACUCUGGAAACCUUUCCCAGGCGAGCGCUAGCUUUGUAGCUAAGCUUGUCGAGGGAAAUGUCGAUAUGACAGGGGAGCUUCAAGGAGAUGCUUUAAUGCAUAAAACAUACGCGGCACGGUUGAUGGGUGGCGAAGCAUCAGCUCCUGCUACUGCGACAUCUAUUAUCCGUUUCAUGGUUGAUCUUGCAAAGAUGUGCCCUCCAUUUUCAGCUGUUUGCAGAAGCGCAGAAUUUCUCCAACAUUGUGCUGAUCUUUACUUUUCAUGUGUCAGGUUUGCAUCACGUGCCUAUUAAGUAUAUAUAUAUAUUGAGUACCAUGUAAUUAACGUAGAUGUUUACACACAUUUGUUAUUCCGGAUUCAAAUUAUGUUUCUCCAUCCCGAUUUAUGACAUAGAUGCAACAGAUACAGGAUUUUGUUUUUUGGUGUUGUAGUUAGAUAUGACCUGAAAGAUAUUUUGCAAAUUUUGACCAAAAGUUGGGUUGUGUUGUAGGGCUGCUCAUGCUGUGAAGAUGGCCAAACAGCUCUCAAUGAAAACAGAGGAGCAGUGUAUAAGUGGUGGGGAUGAUAGCAGCGCACAAGGCGUUUUCUCUAACUUGCCUCAAGACCUGGACCAAUCCACAAAAACCUCCAUCAGUGCUGAAAGCUACCCUCAAGAGCAGGUCAGUGUGAGUUCUGAAGGCAUGCCUUUACCUUCAGAUUAUGUGGUUACUGAUAAGGUGGAGAAGAUUCUUACAACACCGUCAGGGGCUUCAGCAAAAUCAUUUCAAGAUCGUGAGUAUGUUAAGAAACUGGAUGGUGAUCGUGUUAGCCCUGUAUCAGCUUCCAGUGAACUGGAAUUUCGAGACUGUAAAGGUAAAUCAAGUCAAAUUCAGCCAACAGAUUCUCAGAGUUCUGAAUCCUUCUCGAUGCUGGAGUCUCCCGUUGUAUCUGAAAAAUCAAGUCGCAAAGGUCCAUUCACUUCUUCGCCAUCUCCGCUUCCAUCGCAUAUCUCAGUUAGUGAGUUUGAUGCAUCUUCAGAUCACAAGUCAGGUUCACAAGGUUUAUCUGCUGCCCAUACAUUGUUUAAAAUUAGCCCAAAACUUCUCCUCGAAACUGAUGAAUCGGGGUAUGGUGGUGGGCCGUGUUCUGCCGGAGCAAGUGCGGUGCUGGAUUUUAUGGCAGAGAUAUGUGCCGACUUAAUGACUGAGCAGAUGAAAGCGGUACAGACUUUGGAAAGCAUUUUAGAAAUGAUUCCUUUAUAUGUGGAUCCUGAAUGUGUUCUAGUAUUCCAAGGCUUAUGCCUUAGCAGAGUCAUGAACUAUCUUGAGAGGCGUCUCGUGCGUGAUGAUGAAGAGGAUGACAAAAAACUAGACAAAAGAAAAUGGUCUGCAAACUUGGAUGCAUUUUGCUGGAUGAUUGUGGAUCGUGUCUAUAUGGGCGCUUUUCCUCUGCCAACUGGAGUCCUUAGAACCCUCGAGUUCUUGUUAUCAAUCCUGCAAUUAGCUAACAAAGAUGGUAGGGUUGAAGAAUUCACUUCUUCAGGAAAAGGUCUGUUAUCCAUUGGAAGAGCAACCAAGCAACUAGAUGCAUAUGUUCACUCAAUCCUGAAGAACACAAAUAGAGCAAUACUGUAUUGCUUCCUACCAUCGUUCUUGACAACUAUUGGAGAGAAGAACCUGCUUUCACGUCUGGGCUUGCUUGUUGAAUCUAACGAGAGGCACCCCUCAGAUGAGGAAUCUGGAAUUGAUAUCUCAACAGUUCUUCAGUUGUUGGUUGCAAACAAGAAUAUCAUAUUAUGCCCAAGCAAUCUUGACACAGAUUUGAAUUGCUGUCUGUGUGUGAAUUUAAUCUCUCUGCUCCAUGACCAGAGGAAGAAUGUGCAAAACAUGGCAUCUAACAUUGUCAAACAUAUGCUGGUUCACCGAAGGUCUGCUUCUGAGGAUUUGCUUGUCAGAAAACCACAUCGAGGACAAACCCUCGAUGUACUACACGGAGGUUUUGAUAGAUUGCUGACUGGAAAUCUUCCAGAAUUUUCUAAGUGGCUUGAGAGCUCAGAAGAAACUGUAAAGAAAGUAUUGGAUCAUGGUGCUGUGGUUAUGUGGACUCAGUACAUAGCUGGCUCGGCAAAAUUUCCUGAUGUUAGGAUGAAAGGCAUGGAUGGCCGCCGUACGAGAGAGAUGGGAAGAAAAUCACGAGAUAUUUCUAAGUUAGACGUGAAACGCUGGGAGCAGUUAAAUGAGCGAAGACAUGCACUUGACAUAGUGCGUGAUACAAUGUCCACUGAGCUUAGAAUUGUCCGGCAAAACAAAUAUGGUUCGAUACUUCAUGCCGAGAGUGAGUGGCAAAAUCAUCUCCAACAGCUUAUACACGAGCGUGGUAUAUUCCCGUUGCGUGUUUCCCAGGGAUCUGGAGAUCUUGAAUGGCAACUCUGUCCUAUCGAAGGUCCAUACAGAAUGCGGAAAAAGCUUGAACGAUGUAGCCUGAAAGUUGAUAGCAUCCGUAAGUUACUAGAAGGGAAGUUGGAACUUGAAGAAAUUGAACUACCCAAACCGAAAAACGAAGAUGGCAUAGUUAUUUUUGAUAAGGAUUGUGAGCCAGAUUUCCUGCUAAGUGAACUUUAUAGCGAGUCCUUUUUCGAAGAAGCUGAUGCUCUUAAGGAUAUUCCUUCUGCUAGAAAUGGAUGGGAUAACGAUGGAGGCAGUAGUUCAAGUGAAACGAGUCUUCAUAACGCUCUUGAUUUUAGUGCCAAGUCUAGUGGUACAAUAUCUGUUCUAAUCAGCGAAAAUACAGAUGAAAAAUCAGAGACUGGAUCUCCAAGAGGGUCAUCUUCUGGUAAUAUGGAUGAAACAAGAGAUGUGGAGGAAGAAUCAGAGAAGGAACUGAACGACGAUGGUGAGUAUUUGAUCAGACCAUAUCUGGAACAUCUUGAAAAGAUUAGGUUCCGAUACAAUUGUGAGAGAGUUGUUGGUUUAGACAAACAUGAUGGGAUUUUCCUGAUAGGGGAACUAUGCCUAUAUGUUAUAGAGAAUUUUUACAUUGACGAUCAUGGCUGUAUCUGUGAGAAGGAAUGUGAAGACGAAUUAUCCGUUAUCGAUCAGGCGUUGGGUGUGAAAAAAAAUGUCACCGAAGGCUUGGAGUUCCAGUCCAAGUCUAGCCCACUAUGGAGUACAAAUAUGAAAACCGGAGCAGUAGGGGCAAGAGCAUGGGCAUAUGGCGGUGGGGCUUGGGGGAAGGAAAAAGUGCGUGUGACCGGUAACUUGCCACAUCCUUGGCGUAGGUGGAAGUUGGAUAGUAUUCAUGAAAUUUUGAAACGUGAUUACGAGCUGCGUCCAGUUGCUGUUGAGUUAUUUAGCAUGGAUGGAUGUACUGAUCUCCUUGUGUUCCACAAGAAAGAGAGGGAAGAAGUCUUUAGAAACCUGAUUGCCAUGAAUCUUCCAAGGAACCGCAUGUAUGUCAUCUCUUUUUUUUUUUUUUCUCAAUCAAGAACUGAGCACUAUGCAGCUUACUUCUCCACAAGGCCCUCCAAAAUCUUGAAGCUGCUUGUUUAUUAUGUUUGCCAUUUUUUUCUUUAUUGCAGGCUGGAUACAACCAUAUCAGGAUCAGGGAAACAGGAAAGUAAAGAGGGUAGUCGUCUUUUCAAGUUAAUGGCAAAGUCUUUCACCAAAAGAUGGCAAAGUGGAGAGAUCAGCAAUUUUCAAUACCUAAUGCAUCUCAACACCCUAGCCGGACGUGGAUACAGUGAUCUCACACAGUAUCCGGUAUUUCCAUGGAUUCUAGCGGAUUAUGAUAGCGAGAGUCUUGAUUUGUCAGAUCCAAUGUGUUUCCGGAAGUUUGACAAACCAAUGGGUUGCCAGACGCCUGAAGGAGAAGAAGAAUUUAGGAAACGGUUUGUGAUGUGCCUCUUAAUCUUUGUCUAAUGGUACUUAUGAUUGAUUGUGUCUUCAUCAAGUCAUAACUGGAUUAUAUUUUUUCCUUUCUACUUUCUCAUUUCAGAUAUGACAGCUGGGAUGAUCCAGAGGUGCCAAAGUUUCAUUAUGGUUCUCACUAUUCAAGUGCAGGCAUUGUUCUCUAUUACCUCAUUCGCCUCCCACCGUUCAGUGCUGAAAACCAGAAGCUCCAGGGUGGUCAUUUUGAUCAUGCUGAUAGACUUUUCAAUAGUAUUAAAGAGACUUGGCUAAGUGCAUCUGGGAAAGGAAAUACAUCAGAUGUGAAAGAACUAAUUCCUGAGUUCUUCUACAUGCCCGAAUUCUUAGAAAAUAGAUUUAACCUUGAUUUCGGUGAAAAACAGUCGGGAGAAAAGGUAAGGUUAAGUAGUUCUAAUGGUGCUUGUAUAUGUACCUUUUAGCUUCUCCGUUCGUGAGCAAGUUCCUUGUUAAAUUUCAGGUGGGUAAUGUCUUUUUACCUCCUUGGGCUAGAGGGAGUGUUCGUGAAUUCAUCCGCAAGCACAGAGAAGCGUUGGAGUCUGAUUAUGUUUCAGAGAAUCUGCAUCAUUGGAUAGAUCUCAUCUUUGGGUACAAACAGCGAGGAAAGGUACAUUACAUGUUCUCCUUCUGGAUCAUUUGCUUCGUGAAAUAUUGAAUCUUACAUGUUCUCAUUAUUUUCAGGCUGCAGAAAAAGCAGUGAAUGUUUUCUAUCACUAUACCUAUGAGGGGAAUGUGGAUGUAGAUGCAGUUACGGAUCCUGCCAUGAAAGCAUCGAUACUAGCGCAGAUUAAUCAUUUCGGACAAACGCCUAAGCAACUGUUUCAGAAACCUCAUGUUAAAAGAAGAACAGACAGAAAAAUCCCUCUGCACCCUCUGAAACACUCGACGCAUCUAGUUCCUCGAGAUAUACGUAAAUGCUCAUCGUCUAUAAACCAGAUCAUCACUUUCCAUGACAAGUUGCUUGUUGCCGCCUCAAACUGUUUCCUGAAACCGAGAGGCUAUAGGAAGUACAUAAGAUGGGGUUUCCCAGACAGGAGCUUGCGAUUCAUGAGCUAUGAUCAGGACAAGCUCUUAUCCACACAUGAAAAUCUCCACGAAGGCAACCAGAUCGAGUGUGCUGGUGUUAGCCACGAUGGGCGCGUUGUCGUCACUGGAGCAGACGAUGGUCUACUCUCUGUGUGGAGAGUCAGCAAGGAUGGUCCGCGUGGCUCACGGCGUUUACGGUUAGAGAAAUCCCUUUGUGCACACACAGCCAAAGUCACUUGUCUACGUGUAAGCCAACCUUACAUGAUGAUUGUGAGCGGUUCAGAUGAUUGUACAGUUAUCAUAUGGGAUCUCAGCUCAUAUAAUUUUGUGAGGCAGCUCCCUGAGUUUCCAGUUCCUGUUUCCGCAAUCUACAUAAAUGACCUAUCAGGAGAAAUCAUAACUGCUGCUGGAACUUUACUCGCGGUAUGGAGCAUCAAUGGAGAUUGCCUUGCUGUGGUUAACACAUCAUCACAGUCACCAUCUGAUUUUAUAGUAUCAGUAACAGGCUCAACGUUUUCUGAUUGGCUGGAAACAAAAUGGUAUGUGACUGGUCAUCAAAGCGGGUCGCUUAAAGUGUGGCAGAUGGUGCAUUGCACUGAUCCGGUCGGUGCUGAGAUCAAAUCUGCUAGCAACAGAACAGGAUGGACAAAUCUUGUGCCGGAAUACAAGUUGCUUCCACACAAGGAGUUGGAUUGCCAUAAGCAACCGAUCACAGCUCUGCAUCUCACGGCCGACCUGAAGCAAUUGCUGAGUGGAGAUUCGGGUGGACGUUUGAUUUCAUGGACAGUUCCAGACCAGAUACUAAAAGCUUCACUCAAAAAUGCUCUCAUAGCUCAGAAUCUUAAGCAUCAUCAUCUAGAAGCUAGGAUUGGAAUCUAAAGCAAUCACUAAUGGUAGAUGAAAAUCAGAAUGUAAGACCUCAGGACAAACGGUUGGCUUUGUGUGAAUCUCUUACCUCAAGUAUUGAUUCUACCUCUUCUGUUUUGCAGGUUUACUGUUUUCUUAAAUCGAAAAAUUGUGAAGCAACAAAGGGAUGGAGAAACUGGUACAAUAACUUACAGGCUUUUGUAUUGAGAAUUUGUGUAGAUAGAGCUAAUAGGCAAUUUAUGUAAAUUAAUAGUACAGUCCCAUCUCUAAAUUCUCAGAUGAAAAUUUUGUAACCAUUUUAAUGUUUUUUGUUUGUAGCUUAGGAACUUCUAACUUGAACAAUGGCUUCAACAUUAAUGGUGAUAUUUCUGUUUUUAAACUGUAAACCAGACAACAGUUUCAUGUUUUUCUGUUUUUAAACUGUAAACCAGACGACAGUUUCAGGUAAUGGAGUCAGUGAAUGACCUUGCACAGCACAGGUAAUGAAGGACUUAUCAGCUCUUGUGAUUGACCAGAACAUACUUCAUAACACUUUUUUGGUUUAAACAAUUUAUCUCACUAGAGCUCUCUCAACGAAAUGAAUACAAUUAACAUAGCAAAUGUAUGUCUCUGAAGUUCCAAGCAACUUCAAGUUGAUAGGGGUAUAUGCCCUGAAAAAUCUCUCUCUGUGUUCGGUGAAAAUCCAAGAAAACUCUUGCGAAACUCUAUCAAAGAGCCAAUAACGAUCCAAAUAUGAUUUGACACCAAAUCUAUAUAAUUCUGGUGAAAAUAAGCUCUUGUAGCGAUUCUAUUGAUGAUGGAAAACUAGUAACUCUUAGUCUGGAUUUAUAGUGUUAGCAAGCUAUAAAUAAAUUAGUAUGUGAACUCGGAUCUAAGAGUAUUCACAACGGUUAGCACAGUAAUAUACAUAUCUAUUCUAUUAAAAUAGAAGUCAUGAAUUUUUCCAUGUGUGAUUUUUUUAAUUUGGACUAUCCUUUAAAUUUUUUAUUAAAUGUAUUUUAUUAAAACUAGUAACACAUACACAUAGAAUCUAUUCUACUAAAAUAGAAGUAAUGACUUUUUUCAUGUGUGAUUUUUUUUUAAUUUGGACAAUCCUUUAAUUUUUUUAUUAAAUGUAUUUUAUUAAUAACACGUAGAAUCUUUGAACUACUUUAAUCAUAAUAUAUUCUUAUAUCUUUUUAUUUUAGAUAUAAAAAUAUAUAUAUUUUUAAAAAAAUCUAACAAAUCUGUUUGAAAAUAUAUAAAUAAGAUCUUAAUUUUAAAAAAAUAUAUGUACAUAUUUUCACUAAUUUUGUAACUAGUUAUGAAAUAUUAUAUAUAUAUAUAUAUGUCAAUAUCAAUAAAGUUUAAUUAUAUACCAUAUAAAAUAAAUAAAAUGAUUAUUUCGAUUUAUUUACCAAAAACAUGAUUGUAAAUAAACAAAAGAUAUUGGUUUUGAUUUCUGUGUUUACUCUAAUGUAUAUAUUUUUUAUGCAUACAAAUUAUUUUUUUUGUUUUUUGAAACUCAAUCUCUUUAGAUGCAUGGUGUUCUUCUCUAUUACAUUUGAAGCGUAAAUCAUUUUUUAAUAAUCUAAAAUCAUUUUUGAUAUAUAUUACUAAUGAAAUCCAUAUCCCCUAUAUAUUAUUUGAUGAUCAUUUAAAAAAUUGUAACAUCAAUUUUGUAUUAAUUACAAAACGAAGUUGCUGAGGUGUUAUCUCCAAAUUUCUUCUUAAUGCUUAUAUGGUACCCUUACAAUGAUUUUGGAUAAACCUUCGUCUUAUUUAUUUUUCCGUAGAUAAAUUUAUUAGCAUUACAUUAACUAAAACAGUCCACGAUUAUAAUAGAAGACGUUUAUAUUAAAGUUUUAUCUAACGUUUAUAUUUUAACAGAUUGUUAUAAAAUGGAUUAUCCCUUAUUUUAAAAGUAAAUCUAUUUCAUAAUAUAAGGUUGAGUAAAACUCAACCAUUUAAAUGAAAUGAUAUAUAAAACUCAACAUAACUUGCAAGAACAAAUCUGGUUGUAUAGCCCUUCUGACGGUUAUUCAAAUUUUCUUCACCAUUAGAAUUAAUGUAUUAUGAGCGCCUGUUAACUACUAAUUAAGUAUAAUUCAAAGGAGAAAUUACCUACACCGAAUAGAAUAGUAGAACAUCCUGUUUUAUGGUAAAAUUGGUAUCUUCCUUUUACAAACACAUCUAUAUUUCACAAACCGAGCAUUAACAAAACUUUCACUGGUGAUUUCUUUUUUCAUAGAUACCAAAUUCAGUCUAAACCUAAAGCAUAAAAACAGAACCAUGAACCUCGGUCUUUCACUUUUGAUGUUCUUCAAGUCGAGAUUAUAAUCAAUUGUUACACAUAAAUAAUCAAGGUAUGUUUUCAAAGGUUCAUUGUUAGUAGGUCCAUGACAUUUUUUGAUGAGAGAAUCUCUAUAUCAUUUGAAUACUAUAGUCUAUUGAACUAUCAAGUAUCCAUUUUAAAUAUAUACUCGACAGUUAACUAUAAACCGUGCAAUUAACGAGUUAUUUCAGUUUUUCUCUAUUUGUGGUCGGUUAAUAGUCUACAUUAUUUCAAUUGAACUGACGGAUACACAAUGCACAAUUUGGUCGGUAUAAUAAUAGUCUUAGAUGCGAUAUGUAAAUUAGCGUGAUACACAAAUGAAGAAUCAGUCUCAUAUGGUAAGUUUACUUUAAUUGUUUCUCCGUUUAUAACAAUGUAAAUACACUAUUAAUACUUGGCAUAUGGUACGUGAAACUUUGUCACCAAUUAUAUUGUUUCUUACGAAUAUUUUUUCUUGAUAUACAAUUUGGUAUAGGUGCAAUAUGGUAAGAUGAUAUUAAAUGUUUCUAUCGCAUAGUUUAAGAAACUAAGAUAGUUUGUCACCAAGUCUAUAUUUCAGCCAUAAAUUUUCUUAUAUAGCAUACAAAAUCUUAUUAUGCGAUAUUUUCAAGUUGCCAAAUAUGUAAUUACAUAUUUAUUGAUAUUUUACAGAAAUAUUUUUUCGUUGACAAUAAAAAGAUAUGGUUUAUAUUUUCAAAUCUAACUAAUAACCUAGCUCCUAAAAUUACCGACGAUAUAGAGGUAUAAAUCAUCACAUCUCUAAUUCUUACGAUUAAAGGAAACAAUAAUGGCCAGUAUGAAUUAUGUUGCCGAUUUGAGACCAUUCAAAAUGAUGGGGAAUAAUAGGGUUAAAGUAAUCCGACUGUGGAAACGGUACUCAGCUACUGCUGGUGAGAAAAUGUAUGGUCCUGACGUUAGGUCCUUAGAGCAACAUUAUCGGGCGGCCCUUGGCCCGUCCCGAACACUAUUUGGGCUAAAAAGAAAAUCAAAAAGAAAAGAUUUUGUUUGGUCCGGGUCUUAAUUAAGGUCUUUUUUGACGCGUCCCGUGAGCAACGUGGCAGCACAGGAGAGGGAGAUGUAAACGAAGUCGAUGAAACCUAUUCCGUGUGUUUCUCCUCUUUUGUCGAAACUGAAGCGAAAUCGAUUCACCGCUGUCGAUCUGAUUCGCCUCAAUCCGCUUCUCCUCGAUCCGUUUCUCUUCGCUCUGUUUCCUCUCCGACAUCGAUUCAGUCCACCUCCGAACAGUUUCCUUUGGACAUCGAUUCAGAGUCGACCCAAACUUGGGAAGGUAUGUGUCUAACCUCCUUUGUAAUUUUGAGAAACCGAGUAGGGGUGUGUAGAUUCAAUGGUUGUUUGUUGUUUGGUUGUUUGUUGAUUAAAUGAUUGAUUUGAUUCGCUCUUCUCGUUCGUUGUUUGAUAUGCUCCGCUCUUGUGAUUGAAGUGGUUGUGAACGGAAUAGAUAUAUAAAAAUGUAUUGAUUCGUUGGUUCUUUGAUGCUUGCAAAAACUUUAAGAUUGAAUGGCUGUGAAUGAAAACUCGUAUAGAUUGAUCGAUAAUUCGUAUAGCUUCUAAGCUCGGGUCUUCUGUAUAUAUUUGAUGUAAUGGUUGUUUCAUAAUUAAUAUUCGUAUAGCUUUAUUGAAAAUUCGUAUAGCUUCUCUACCUUUCAAAAUCGGAUAGGUUGAUAGAAUUCUUUGGUCUGUUAUCAGUUAAAAUUUGAAGUAUUUUAAACAACUUAGAAUUAUGGUUUACAUCUCUUCACUCUUUACUCAACUAGAGUGACACCUCCUUAAUUUCACUCUUUAGUCUAGUAGACUCACACUUCUUUACGUCUUUACUGAACUAGACAAACUAGUUCUACUGUCGUCGUUACUUGAAACCGUAGAUAGGUUAGUAAUAAGUUCAGAUUAGACAUAUAUGGUUUAUGGUUAGUCUUUAUGUAGAAACUUAAUACUCUUCACCAGCUAAUAUUAAACUCCCAUCUCAAUCCCCUUAAAUAUACACACCUGCCUUCUCUCUUCUAUCCAUCUCCUAAUCUACAACUCUCUCUCAAAUAUUUAUCUUGUAAAAGUCGUAUGGGUUCAAGAAAUUUUCAAAGUCAGUCCUCUAGUUACGUAGGACUGCUUAACAGUCAACAAGGAAGUCGUGUGAAUGAAAACUUUCCAUAUGAAAGUUUUCAUUCAACUGUCAACUUUGGAGAAUCGGAGAUCCCUCCCUUUAGUUCACAACAAGCUGAACAGACGCCAGUAGACACAUCAGUGGACCGUAAUGCUAGACGCAAAUGGGGCCCAGCUGAUGACGCGGUUCUAAUCUCUGCUUGGCUUAACACUUCGAAGGAUGCCGUUGUUGGAAAUGAGCAGAAGUUGGGGGCCUUCUGGAAACGGGUUGGAGAUUAUUAUGCUGCAAGUCCUCAUGGGCAACAGGAGGGUGAAAAGAGAGGGGAUCUUACUUGUAAGAAGAGAUGGCACAGAAUAAACGAUCAAGUUACAAAGUUCUGUGCGGCUUACUCCGCGGCAGAGAGACAAAUUGGGAGUGGUGAGAGUGACACUGAUGUUCUAAAGAAGGCUCACGACAUCUUCUACUCAGAUCAGCAAAGCAAGUUUACACUUGAGCAUGCUUGGUGCGUGUUGCGCUUUGAACAAAAAUGGCUUAGCCUAAACACUCCUAAAGCCACUCACACUUCAAAGAGGAAGGAUGGUGAGACAGAUACAAGCGCCGCUGUCCCUGAUCACGAAAUCCGGCCUGAAGGUUGCAAGGCGGCUAAACAAAAAAGGUCGACUGUUCAAGGCAAGUCUGUUGCUUUCUAUGAUUUAAAUAAAAUGUUUCUCUUAUUUUAUUUAUGCAUUUUGUAAUUUUUUUCCACUCCUUUGUAUUUUAAUUUUCAUGUUCUACGUAUUUUAAUUUUCAACUUUUCUUUAUAAUGUCAUAAGUUAUUCGAUAAUUUGUAUUCAAUUAAUAAAAAAAAAAUUAAUUCACUAAGGGACUUUCAUAAGUCCCACCAAUAAUCUAAUUUCUAAGGGAAAAUCCCUAAAUAUGACCUUAACUCACAAAUAACCUUAAAAUAUUCAAAGGGCCAAAAAAUCAAGUCCCACCUAUAAUGUUGCUCUUAUGCGAUAGGUGAUCUUUUGACUUAAAAAAACUUUAAAAAAAGAAUCAUCCCAACAAUACAGUACACAAAUUACAUAAUUAACAAAAAAGACAUUAUUGUAUUUUGGCCAAAAAAAUUAAUUCGAUCAAAUAUAUAAAUUUUAAUUUUCUAAACAACAUAUUUUAAAUAAUUCUUAUAUAAACUCAUCAUGCGCAAGACGCAAAUCUUAUCCUAUUUUUUAAAUAAAAGGUGAUUUCAAGGUUUUAUGCAAAUAUCAUAUCCAAUAACCUUUGAUUUGUAAAAUUUUUUAUAAAUACCAUAUUCAAUAAGGGAGGGUUUGGAUAAAAUCUAAUUUUUUUUAUAAAAUACCUAAUCCAAUAAGCCUCUUUAAUCCUUCAUAGAAGGUCUAACUACCACCGGGAAGUUUUAUAAACAUUGAUAUAUAAUAUAAUUCAAACUACAGAUUGAUAUGAAGAAGAGUAUAAACACGGUAUAUAUGUUAACUAAGAAAAAACAUGAUCAUAUUAUACUUGAUCAAACUGCUUUCAUCACAUGACGCAAUAAAAUACAUGAAAGGGGAACAGUAAGCACACUACUAGCCCACUCAACGUUAGCCCAAACUUCUUCAUCACCAUUCCGCUUCUCAAACGCAAUCAAAGCACACCAAAUAUUCGUCUUCUCAUGGCGAAGACGAGCAUUAUACACAAACUCGUCCCAAAUUAUCAAGAGUUUCCCACCGUAGUUAGCCAUUUCAAUAUGACCACUACCAGCUCGGCAAUGCCUCUCCAGUACCGACAAACCGUUGACCCUUCUCGAGCCAUUAUGCUUCAUACCGUACCAAAUAAAAUUUGUACCAGUGUAACAGUACCUUACAUAGUCUACCACAACACUAGACUCAAACAUGCGUGCUACAACUUCCCAUGUACCUUCUAUGGUAUCAUAAACAUCAUACACAUCCCAAUUGUUGCUUGAAAUAUAGAUCUUUUUCCCCAUCACUUCCACUUUCCUAAGUGUAGAAACACGUAGGAAGCCAGGGUCAGGUAAAGAUUCCCAAGUUUGAGUGUUUGUAUCGUAAACCUCACCCCAAUUCUUGGAUUCAUCUUCGCUACAACCUCCCAUAACGUAUAUUUUCCCAUCAAGGACACAAGCAAUGGGAUCCUCUCGAGCCACAGUCAUCAUUUUGGGGACUUUUCGCCAGAUGCCAGUUCCUAAUGUAGUGACCGACAGAUCGAAAGAUGGAUUACAGUAUCGAUUGAUUGCGUAGCACUCUGAACCAACCUUACACAUGAACGUUGGUGGACGACGACAAUAAGAAGAGGGUAUUGGUACUAACAGAGCAUUCCCGGUAGACUCUUCCUUCUUCUCCAAGUCAUUGGUUAGGGCUUGGUUAGGUUUUAACCAGAGACUGAACCAGGAAGGACUAGGACUUUUAGUGGGAUAAUGAAAACCGACAAGAAGGAUUUUUUCACAUGUUUUUUGAAGAAACCUAGUAUCUUUGAGCUUGGACGAUGAGAUGAGAGAGGCAAAGGUCUUGCUGACUAGAGAGAGUUUAGGGUAGUACGAUGGUGAUAUCCGCGCCAUGCAGUUCAGAAGGAUGUCAUUUGGAAGAGAAAAUAACGAAAGAGAUGGAUUCAAAUUCUUCUUCUUUUUCUCUGAUGGUUCAGAUUCGGAGUUCAUAGCUGCAGAGGCGGCCGUUGUACCACAAGUAGAGGGAGUUUUGUAAAACUAGGGUUAUACUAAAACAUUAUAUAAGUGCUAGAUUUUUUAUGCUAAGGCUCUGAUUGGGGUUUGGCUUUAACAGCUUUGAUUUAAUUUUAAAGGUUUUUAUGUUUUUUUAUUCAUUAAUAGCAUAAUCCUUAUACACUAAGGAAGAAACAUUGUAAUAAAUAUGUUCACACUACAAUAGACACGUGACAGUUUCACAGCGAUUUGAAAAUGAACAUACUGACAUGUCACGUGUAGAGAGAUUCUCAACCAAACUCUACAUAAAUGUGUUCACACUAUGUAUUUUACGUUUUGUUUUUAAAUAUAAAACUCACAUGUAAAAUUCCAAUAAAAUUCACACUAUCCAGAUUUUUCGAUUUGAAUCGAAAGUCAAUUAUACAUAGAUUAUACAGAUAGGCUGAGCAAAAUAUUUGUAAAUUUUAUAUUCGAUUUGUUAUUCAUUUUGAUUCAAACUUAAACAAAAAAUCAGGAUAUUUGUAGUCCUACGAAACCAUAAAACACUAAAAUGCAAUAUCUGUAAAAAAAAUGAAGCAAAUCACAAAUACUAAUAUUUUUAGGAACAAAUGUACAAUUUGAUCCAUUAUAUGCAUAUAUACAUAUAUUUAAAGAAUUAUAAAUGUAUAUAUUAUAGUUUAUAUAAUUUUUACAAUAAUUUUAUGUAUUAAAUUUAUUAUAUUAGGCAUUAGAAUUUAAAAAGUUAAAUAAUAAUUUAUUUUUGUAAUGAAAUAUUAUUAUUUUAUAUUAUUUUUAGAUUUUUUAUUUAUUUUCAAAAUUUUAUUUUAUUUACGGAUCAAAACCGGAUAUCCAUAAGAAAAUUUUAAAAUUUCCGGAUAUCUGAGACAUCAAUAUUCGGGUGGCUACAUAUCGAAUCGAUACUAGUACCUCCAAAUACUUGGAUAUCAGAUCCGUGUCAACCCCUAUUUACGGAUACAAUUUUAUUUUCUUUAUAUAAAAGAAAAUUCACUAAUUUCUAGGGUUAUUUUUUUAGUUAGUUUUAUUUUAAAAUUUUUAUCUUUCAUGUGUUAUUUUGAAUAAAAAAUAUCUUUAUAUAUUUACCAACCGCUUUUAUAUACUUUACAUACACAUACAUGUGGACAUUGACGUGAGUACCUAUAUAACUAAAUAUUCACAACAACUGAAGUAUUUAAUUCUCUUGGAAGUUGAAAUAUUUCUUUUUAAAUGAUUCUUUCACUAUCCACCAAAUUGUAGUGAAAUGAUUUAUUUUAAUAAUUUUAUUUUCUUUUUAUUGAAUUAUUAUAUUUUAUAAUAUGAAAUCAUUGGUUCGACGUAAGGACUAUCUAAAAUUCAUAUAACCUGAAACCAAACAGAUAAUAAUAAUUUUUUCAUAUAACCUAAAACCAAACAGAUAAUAAUAAUUUUUUCAUAUAACCUAAAACCAAACAGAUAAUAAUAAUUUUUUCAUAUAACCUAAAACCAAACAGAUAAUAAUAAUUUUUUCAUAUAACCUAAAACCAAACAGAUAAUAAUAAUUUUUUCAUAUAACCUAAAACCAAACAGAUAAUAAUAAUUUUUGGUUAGCACCCUGAUAAUCACAUUCUGCGCAAGGCGCGGGUUUUACCUAGUUGUAUAUUUAUAAUGAAACAUUUCAAAUAUUGUUUACUGUUUUUAUGGUUUUGAUUAUUAAUUUUUUUUUCAAUAUUUAAAAUAGUACUAACAGUUUUAACAUUCAAAAUUUCUACAGCCAAAAGCCUAAAUUAAGAGUGUAAAGCGCAAGUUCAUACCAAUCGAACCCUAAAUUUUAUUUGACGUCUUUUACGCUAAAUUUUUUUUUAGAAAAAAAAGGAAAGCUACCUUUUUGGUUCAAAAAUGUACUUCCUUUUUGGUUAAAAAAUACUUACUUCACAUAGGCACAAAGUUUUUAGUUUGGUUCAAAUAGUCUUUGUAGAGUAUAUUGUUUUUUUAAUUGAUGGCAAAAAAAAAAAGCUCCUAUUGCGCCAAACUAUAACUUUAUUAACUUGAACAUACAAAAUGAGAUACAAUAUGUGUAUGUUAAUCAAAGAGCUGGGUAAACACAAAAGAAUAUAAAAUUCCUUUAUUAGCUAAUUGACAGAGUUGCGGGAUUGUGAUUUUUGUUUGACAAAAAUCAAUGUUAAGCAUCUGAAUUUAGACUCCCACAACUUGAUAUGGUUAAUAUCCACAAAUGAUCCAUGUAAGAUCUUAGCCAGGAGCUGACAAGACCCCUUCUAAGGAAAGGCAACCACGUUGAAACCCAUGCAUGAUGCCAUUGUGUUUGUGUAUACUGCAUACCUAUUAACAAAUUGCUACGCUUCAAUGCUUGGCGAGGCAUCCGGUAUUUUUUUUCUAAUAUGAAAUGAUUAUUAGAAGAGGGGGGAGGGGGGGGGCAGUAAUGUUAUUAGGUGGCGAGAAGGAGGGGUAAUAUAGUCAAUUUAGUGUUUCUGACUUUCAAGAUAGUGAUUACGAACGAAUCUGUCAUCAAUCAAAUCCAAGGAGGAGGAGAAAGGUAAAUGAGCUUUGUUCUCCUGAGCUUGAUUUUUCAGAUGAGGAAUUGAUUAGGGUUUGUUCUACUGUGUGUGUGGUGUAGUUUUGAAUCGAAAUAUGGCUGGGAGAGCUUCGAUCCCUGCUCGCAACUCUGCCCUCAUCGCCAUGAUCGCCGAUGAGGUAUAACCAAAUUAAAUCAUCGCUUUGAUUCAUUAGAUCAAUGUUAAUGCUUGGUUUGGAUCUCUGAGAUGUGAUCUGAACUGUAUCAAAGCGUAGAGAGUUAGUUAGUUAGUUAGUUAGUUGGUUUGCGAAAGUUGGAAUCUUUCUGUUAAGUGAAAUAAUUUUGAAGAUAGUUUGACCUUACUUGUCUCUAAAAUGGUUGAUGUUUGUGUACACAGGACACCGUUGUUGGCUUCUUGAUGGCUGGAGUUGGUAAUGUUGACAUCAGGAGGAAGACUAACUACCUCAUCGUCGACUCAAGUACGCUUUCUUUUUUCUAUUACUGUAGAAUUGUAUUAUUAAUUGAUUUUUCCUUUGUCUUUUAGAGACAACUGUGAGGCAAAUUGAGGAUGCUUUCAAGGAAUUCUCAUCCAGAGAUGAUAUUGCUAUCAUCCUCAUCAGCCAAUAUGUAAGUGCUUUCUUCCAAAUCCAGUAUACUUGCACUGUUAUAUUUACAAAACAUUAACGGCUGUGCCUGUGUGGUGUUAUUUGUGUCGUUAUCAGUGAGGUCAUGGCUUGCUUCACCUUUUAAAUAAUGGAUCAAAGUUACUGUUAUUGUAGGGUAGUUUUUGUUAUCUUGUUCCCAUUAGCUGUGUGACUGAACAUAUGAUGAGGCCACUUUGCAUCAGCCUUUUAAGACAUACUAUUCACGAGUUUGAAAUUGAUUGAGCUCAUAACUUAUUCAAAGUCUGUUUCUUUCUUUAGUGUCAAAAAAAACAUGAUGAGAAAAUAUGGCAUAUGCGUGUAGGUUGCCAAUAUGAUCAGGUUCUUGGUGGAUAGCUACAACAAGCCAGUUCCUGCAAUCCUGGAGAUCCCUUCCAAGGACCAUCCCUAUGAUCCUGCUCAUGACUCUGUUCUCUCCCGUGUCAAGUACCUCUUCUCUGCUGAAUCUGUGUCACAGCGUUAAAACAUUUACACAUUCUGCAAAGCUCGCCUGAGCUUUUAUAUCAUUUGACAUUCUUGUAUUUCUCAGUUUUCAAUAAUGUCUAUCUCUUGGUUUUUGUUUGGAAAUGGAUGUUAUAUCAGUAAGAAGCAAUGAUAACACCAUCUGG